RNAcentral lists this long non-coding RNA (150431 nucleotides) under Triticum aestivum (bread wheat). RNAcentral's name for it is "long non-coding RNA (TAES_LNC026689)". The stretch from base 31406 to 31540 matches the Rfam family "MIR1120/MIR1122 microRNA precursor family". The record is from RNAcentral. Lineage: Eukaryota; Viridiplantae; Streptophyta; Magnoliopsida; Poales; Poaceae.
GCGUGCAUAGGAGAUGUAGGUAGUGGCGGAGCAUGAAGCCCAUUGUUGGGCGGGCCAAACAAAAGAAAACAACCUGUGGACCGAUGUUCCAAGGUUCAGAAGGAAAAAAAUAGUGUACAAACUGCAGAAAGUUGGACGGGCCAUGGCCUAUUCGGCCUUGCUGUGGCUCCGCCAGUGGAUGUAGGGGCUCAAGGCAGAGCUCACCUGGCCACAUGAGAUUACAGCAUCUGUGGCUAUGAGGACCAUUGCUGCCAUGAGGGCGAACACCACGAGUUAGCAGCUGCAGCACGGGCCAUCUUGAUCAAGCUAGCAAUAGUAGUGGUGUUGAGCUCAGAUGUAGAUGAUGAGAUGGAUGGACUUGCUAAGUGAUUGUACUUGUGAGGAGUUCUGUAGGGGUUGCAAGAGCUUAAAUAGGGAUUCCGGCAAAUAUGGGAUCCCAUUCGGAAUAACUGUACGCUAUCAUGGUGUCAAGUAUUGCGUCCAGAUGGACCAAUUGGGUUGAUGCGAGCAAAUACAUAAAUUUAGGUUGUUGUUUGAUGUUGGAAUUCAUUUAUGGUCGUUAAUGCAUUUUGCUGGAUGUUGAGUUCGCUAGUAGAAAACAGGGCAUACGUCCGGGCCAGAUAAGCCCAUUAGUCCCGGUUCAGUCACGAACCGGGAUCAAUGGGGCAUUAGUCCCGGUUCGUGUCUCAACCCGGGUCUAAAGGCAUUCAUCCCGGUUCAAAUGAGCCCUUUAGUCCCGGUUUGAGACACAAACCGGGACUAAAGGGUGGUGUGCCCUUUAGUCCUCGUUUGUGUCUGAAACCGGGACUAAAGGUUAGCCAUUUAGUCUCAGUUUGAGACACAAACUGGAACUAAAGGGUGUGAUGUCCUUUAGUCCCGGUUCGUGUCUCAAACCGGGACUAAAGGGCCCAUUUUCAAACUCUACACCCCCCCCUCCGGAUCGCCUUUUCAGUUUUGUAAGCAAAAGAAAAUGAUAAGAACUUCGAAAAUUAAAAUCCUUCGAGAUGUAGUUAUAUUACUUAAUCUACUAGUUAGGAAAAUUAAAGAACUUAAAUUUGGACAUGUUUUGCAAAAAAAAGUGUUAUAAAAAUGUAAAAUGGCCAUAUCUUUUGCAUACAAUGUCGAAAAAACACAUAAUAUAUCAAAAAAUCAGCACGAAAAUCCGCAUCCGAUUUUGACCGCCUAUGGUCUGUUUGCAAUUUUUUAGAAUCCUCAAAUUCUAAAACGAAAAAAAGUUAUGCUCAAUUUUUUUUAAUUUUCAUUAAAUCUGGUCAAACUACUUAUUCAAGAAGUAUUAGUGUUACUACACAAUUAUUCAAGAAUAUUAGUGUUACUAAAUAAUUAUUUCAGUUUUUUUGAAUUUUGGUCAAAUCUGAUCAAACUAUGGUCAAACUGUGCUCAAACUAUAGUCAAACUAUCAUCAAACUUAUUAUUCAAGAAAUAUUAGUGUUACUAAAUAAUUAUUGUUUUUUAGAAUAAUAGUUCCAAACUCAAACAGUGAAAUGUGUGACUUCAUGCUCAAGCUAAACUCCUGAGGGUUAAUAGGAUUAACAUCUUAUUAUUGUUAGGAAAACAACAAGUGCAGACUUGGAAACGAGGGGGAAUAGAACCCGGAGGUUAAGCGUGCUCAGGAUAGAGUAGUGAGAGUAUGGGUGACCAGCCGGGAAGUUAGAUGAUUUGAAAUGAUGAGGGAUGAUUAGAGAUUAGAGGUUAAAUUGAGUUGUGAUGAGGGGAUGAGGGGUGGUUAGAGACUAAAUUGUAAAAUAAUUCAGAAAUUUGAAAUCUUGAAAAAAAAUCAAAAGAAAAUUCAAUUUUUUUCCAUAAAAAUACCUUUAGUCCCGGUUGGUGUUACCAACCGGGACUAAAGGUGGAGUUCCAGACAGUGGCCACGUGGAGGGGCUUUAGUCCUGUGGUUCGUAUAAGAACCGACACUAAAGGGGUGCCUUUAGUGACGAUCCUUUAGUCCCGGUUCGGGAACCGGAACUAAAGGCCCUCACAUACCGGUUCGAAUGGCCCUCUUUCAACUAGUGGUUGGACCCGAUGGAUGGACCUAGUAUACAUAUACAUAUGAGUAGCGGUGUGGAAUGUGGUUGAUAAGCGUGUGCACAACACAUUAAUGCAUUUUGCUGGAUGUUGAGUUGAGCCCGAUGGAUGGACCAAGCAUACAUGUACACAUGAGUAGCUGUGUGGAAUGUGGUUGAUAAGGCUGGUCAUAGUGGGGAGUAACUUAUACUAGUGUCAUGCAUAUGACACUAGCCUAAGUUACUACCUUCAUAGUGCAAAAUAACAUAGUAGUAGUGUCAUAGAGGACUUCAUUAAUUAGCUUGUAGACUCAUCUUGUCUUGGAAAGCGCUAUGUUACAGUAACAUAUUAUGUUAUCACUUCUCAUUAACUACAUGCCACAUAAGCAAAAAAAUCUCGGAGUGCGCUAUGUUACUUGCUAAGUUACUCCCACUAUAACUAGUCUAAGCAUGUGCAUAGCCGAUUAAUGACGGGACUAAGAGACGUACUUCUCAGUCUCUCAUGCAGCAGUGUAGUUGAGUGCAUUGAUGACAGUGAGCUUGAACUGUGAACUACAUAAAUCUGACAGUGCAUGCGGUUUUAGAGAAAGUAUAAUAAGGUGACGUAAGCGGAUUGCAAGGAUUUAAAUAUUAUAUUAUUACUAAGUUGAAAGUGAGAGAAGAAUAGAGAGAAGAGAAGCGGUUGUAGACUUAUAGCCGGCUAUAACACGAGCUCGAAGAAGCUUUGUGGGAGUGGAUGGUGGGCCAUAUGUUGACAAAGUAGUAUAUAUAGCCAACUAUUGUACUAGUUGGCUUUUACAUUGGCUAUAAAUGACAUGGCAGCAUGUUAUAGCCAGCAGUUAGCUAUAUUAUUAAUCAUGCUUUUAUAGGGCUCCAGUCAAAUGUAUUUACUCAUUUUGUCUCAAAUGUUUAGUUCAACAAUGCUUAACUAAAAGUAAAUUAACUUUGUGCCAAUGUCACGAGUUGACAUUCAUUGAUGUGGUCUUCAAACGUAAAUUUUGUAUAUCAAUUUAGUUUUUAUGAUGAAAUACUCUCCCGUCGCACAAUAUAAGAUUGUUUGUCAAGGUAACAUAGCUUGAAAAACUUUUUUAUAUUAUGAAACAGAGGGAGUAUGCCUUUCAAGUAAAUAGAAAUGACUUAUAUAUGUCAAUUUGACUGAGUAAAACAUCAACUAUAUUUGGCAAACAGCUUUGGCCGACAGGAUCUGAUAGCUCAGUGUUGAUGCGAAUACAUGUACAUUGUGCCACUACCGUAAGGUCUAAGGCCAGCAUAAACAGGGUUCGACAGGUGUAACACGGAAGACAGAUCUUGGUGAGAUGUCAGCCGGCGGGUUAUCUCAUUAUGUGCCACUUGAUGUAGGAUCUCAAUCUAUUUGACGAUACCAUCAAGGAAAAAGGUCCAUAGGGCGCACACAUGGGAUAUAAAAUAGCACAAUUUGAAAAAAAAGGUAAUGAAUAAAAAAGGAAUUUCUAUUGUUGUGCCCUACUUGCUUAGUACUUCUCGGUUUUUCCCCACCCAACUAAUGUCCCUCACUUUUCCCCUUCAUCACUCGUCCGACAGUCAAAAAUGCCCAAAACAGCGCGUUUCUGUUGGGUAAAUGUAGCUGACCACCUGAUGCACAUACUAACACGUGGAGCACCCAGGACCCACCUAUCAGUGUUUGGUUUGCGUGGAGCACCCAAGACCCAUCUGUCGGCAUCUGGUUUAUUAGGGAAAAGUAGUUGAAUGAAUGAUGCGUCGAACAUCCCAGAACAUACAUGUCAGUUUCUGAUUUAUUUGCAAAAUAAAGGGUGGAAUAUAAUGCCGCCUAUGGGGUUCGAACACCAGAACAAUCGUUGACUAUGCAUAGUGCGAGCCAUUUCCACUGGGUUCGUCUCUGUGCUUAUUUUUGCAGAGCCUCGGCUAUAUAACCUGAUAUUUUCUUGCGAUCGUACAUUACAAAAGGACCCUGGAAAGAAAGAACGCGACGGUUUAAAACACAUCGGAUUCAGAUAUUCUGAGAUUCAGAUAAGCUUAACAAGCACGAAAUUUUAACAGGGGCGACAUAAGAUGGCUGGCCGGCGUCGACAUAGGCUACUUGUCUUCAUCGUUCGAAAGGACGACGCUGCGAUAGUCGUUGUCGUUGUCAUUGUGGUCUUUGUCAUCGUCAGAGGAUAGGAUGACGAUGUCUGGUCCCUCACCUUCCGCCUCAAGGGUGGUCACUGCACGCGGAUUGGCGGCCCUCCUUAGCUCUUGAGUUGCGUCCUGUUCUUCAGGUUCCCGACGCCUAACAACUUCUGGCUACGAUGUGGAUAGAGAUGCGGCUAGCACCGCCUACUCGAGAUGCUGCUGCACCGAGCGCAGGGCUACCUUGGCCUGGGCAGUGAGCACGCCAGCAUAAUGCAGGAGCCAACACAUCUUCCUCUGCCUCGUCUUCCAUGUCGUGGACGUCGAGGUACUCCUGCAUCGCCUGAAGGCCACCUCCUCCUCAGCGUCCUCCUCCUCAACCUCCAUACGGUUACGAGACAGCUCGAACGACACGAGCUCGAGCUUGGAGUUGUUGGAGUAGGAAGCGCCGAAGUUGGAGCAGGCGCCAGACUUGGAGCCUGCGCAGGAGUUGGAGGCUGCCGCCGCUCCGGAAUUGGAACCGCCACCGGUGCCGGGCACCGGCGCCCUAUGGCAAUGACCUCCCUUGGACAUGUUGCAGUUGUUUUUGGCUACUUACGUACAUGUUGUGCCGUUUUGGAGUACUUACAUACAUGUUGCAUCUUUUUGGACUACUUACAUACAUGUUGCAUCUUUUUUGGUAAGCUCUGCAAGUGCAUGAUACUCUCAUUCUAUGUUAGACCUAUUAUUAGUUAUUUUUGCAUGUUGCUAUUUUUUGGUAAGUUUGUAUGUUGCACUAUUUUUGAACAUGUAAAAGCCACUUAACAUAGGAAUUCCUAAAGGUAGCAUACACCAACCUAGUAAGAACAUUCAAACAAAAGUUAACGACAUGAUUAAGCUUACCAAAUCAUAGUACGACAACAUCAUAUUAUUUUCAGUUAACACUGGGAAUCCACAUGUCUGAUCCUCAACAAAGCUAGAAGGGGGUUGGAGACGCUUAAGAUGACGGGUGAUGACCCACAAGUAUAGGGUAUUAAAUGUAGUCCUUUCGAUAAAUAAGAGUGUCGAACCCAACGAGGAGCAGAAGAAAAUGACUAGCGGUUUUCAGCAAGGUAUUUUCUGCAAGCACUGGAAUUAUCGGUGACAGAUAGUUUGGUAGCAAGAUAAUUUUGUAACGAGCAACAAGCAGCAAUUGUUACUAAGGUGCACCAAGGUAGGACAACCCUUUUUGUAGCAAAGGACAUACCGGUACAAUCUCUUAUAUCAAGUAAAGCACUCUUGGGGACACACAGGAAUUUCGUCUAGUCACUUUCAUCAUAUUUACUUGAUUCAUGUUCGUUACUUUGAUGAAUUGAUACGUGGGCGGACCGGUGCUUGAGUGUUGUUCUUACUUGAACAAGCCUCCCACUUAUCAUUACCCCCUCUCGCAAGCUUCUGUAACUACGAAAGAAGAAUUAAGAUAAACCUAACCAUAGCAUGAAACAUAUGGAUCCAAAUUAGCCCUUUACGGAAUAACACAUAAAUUAGGGUUUAAGCUUCUAUCACUCUACCAAACCAUCAUCUAAUUACUACUCCACAAUGCAUUCCAUUAGGCCCAAUGAUGGUGAAGUGUCAUGUAGUUCACAUUCACAUAACAACACUAAGGGAAUCACAACAUACAUAUCAUCAAAAUAUUGAAUAAAUACCAAAUUCACAUGAUUACUUAUGACAAGACUUCUCCCAUGUCCGCAAGAAUAAAAAUAACUAUUCACAAAUCACGUUCAUGUUCAAGAUCAUAGGGGUAUUGAAUAUCAUUAAGGAUCUCAACAAAUAAUCUUCCACCAAAUAAACCAACUAGCAUUAACUAAAAGAUGUAAUCAACACUACUAGCAACCCACAGGUAUGAUUCUGAGGUUUUGAGACAAAUAUUGAAUACAAGAGAUGAACUAAGGUUUGAGAUGAGAUGGUGCAGGUGAAGAUGUUGAUGAAGAUUGGUCCUCUCACGAUGAGAGGAUUGUUGGUAAUGACGAUGGCUUCAAUUUCCCUCUCAAAGGGAAGUUUUCCAGGCGGAAUCACUCCGCCAAAGAGCAAAAGUGCUCUUGCCCGGGUUCCGCCUUGAGACGAUGGUGCUUCGUCUCGAAACCCUUCUUCUGAUAUUUUUCUAGGUUAAAUGGCAGCAUAUAGGAGAAGAUGGUCCCUGGACGAUUGCCAGGGGCGCUAGAACCUUGGGGGUGCUCCCUAGGGGGCUAGGGCUCGCACCCUAGGCUUGUUGCUUCCUGGUGGGUCCCCUUCUGGUAUUCUUUCUCCAGGAUAUUUUAUAUAUUCCAAAAUAAAUCUCCUUCAAUUUUCAGGUUAUUUGGAGUUGUGCAGAAUAGGUAUCUCUGAUAUAGCCCUUUCUGGUCCAGAAUUCCACCUGCCGGCAAUAUCCCUCUUUAUGUGCAACUUGCAAAAUAAGAGAGAAAAAGCACAAGACUAUUAUCAUAAAGUGAAAUAACAAUACAUAAUGCGAGAAAUAUCUAUAGGAAAACAUGAUGCAAAAUGGACGUAUCAACGAGCCACCUGAUGGUGGGACCGUUGAGCAUUCCACUCAAACUGAGCCGUGAUCUCAUACUACUCCUCCACUAUUGGGACAGUGUUGCGGCCCAGCUUGGCCUCCAAGCUAAGCAGCUGUAGAUUCUCCCCGGCAUCAGCCUCCAACAACUCCUAGUCAUGCAUCUUCUCAUCGUCGCAGUCCACUGGAAUGGUCAGAUUCGUGUUUGCCAAAGACUGAUGAGCGAUGACCUUCAUAUCCCCUAAUAGCGCACCCUUUCGGCAACCUCCUCCUGUUCAAUGAUCUCCAAACACCCUGGUAGUUGUCUUCUACUGCAUCCUCCUCCCGCUCCUUGUCAGAAUCCUCCUCCUGCUCCUACUCCUUGUUAGAAUCCUCUUCCUCCUCCUCCUCCUCGUUAGGAUCCUCUUCCCCCUCAUCCUCCUUGUCAGAAUCCUCUCCCUCCUCCUCCUCGUCAGAAUUAUCUUCGUCCUCCCCCUCAUCGCCCGCAUCCUCCUAUUAUGUUUCCUCGUCGAUGAUGUCAAUAUAUGCAAAUUCACCAUUCCUUCCGGCUCUGGAUUUGCUGAUGAGAGGCGGGAGAGAUACUCGUACCAGCAUGCUCGUUGUCGAGGAUCCGACGAAUCCAUCACUUCUGCCAUUGCCCAAAGGAGAAUCUCGAGAUUGGGCCCUUGUCUUCAGGAAUCAUCCACUCCAGUUUGACUGAUGUCACUUCAAAAGAUAGCCCAGCAAGUGCAACUCGAGAGCUUUUUUGCUCGGAAACUAGGAGCAUAUUUCCUUGCAUUCGGCCAACAACUCCUUGUCUCUGGCGCAAAAUUCUUCCAUUUCUCUUCCGUCCAAGUAAAACUAGGAAUCUAUUGAACACAAAAUUUGCAAAUAAAAUUAUUAAAAAAGAAAUCGAUUAUAAGGAUCGAAAUUACCACAUAACCUAUAAUGGGCUCCUAUGAACGGAUCAUAAUUUCUUGUUUUUUUAACUAGCUGCCACUAUCACGAAUCCAAUCCUAAAAAGACUUUCAUAACGUUUGCAAGCUGGAGCAGCUCAAUGAACAACAAUUCAAUCGCCCAAUCGCACGUUCAAUCGAAUGAUCCUAAUUACUAGGGUUCCUAUUAGAAACAUGCAUGUCACCCAACUAUAUCGGAUGGUUCUUGCGGGCUGCAAUAUAUGACCAGGUCGCUUCACCAUUGGAGCUAAGGCGUAUGGUCGAGUAGGAGGCGGGACUGCUAGGUAUGGCGGCGCGGGACUGCUACAUGAACAGUGAUAGCUCACCUAUCACUCGGGGCCAGGCUAUUUUAGGGAAAAGAAAGUGAUAGCUCACCUAUCCCGGAUCCCACUUCUACAUAAGCGGUCACAACCAUGGACCACCUACCAUACGCGGCCCGCAUGUCCAAAGAACUGUGGCCCCACAUGUCAGUAACUGAGCGGUAACUGUCAACUGGUUUGACCGGCGACAAAGCUCCAUUUUGCCUUUUGUGAGAAUGAGGCGAGCGGUGGAGGGGAAAAGUGAGGAAAGUUAGAUGAUAUGGGCAAAACAGAGCACAAUUACCAGGGGCACAGAAAUUCAAAACCCAAUAAAAAUAUGGACAAAAAUAUGAUACUAUGUUUUUUAAUAAUUAUGUUCACGAAUACAUUGUAUUCACAAUGACCAACUGUGGAGUAGUUGAGUGUAUUGAUGAUGGUGAAGUCGACAAGUGAACUAUACCAGUCUCAUGGGUGCAUGUGGUAUUGGUCGUACAAGGCUUGGGAGUAACUACCUUGUCUUACCUUUUCCCCUUGUCACAUUUUAAAAUUUCAUUAAUGCCAUAUUCAGAUCUAAAUUUUGAUUGUUGAUUUAAUUUAUAUCAAGACAAGCAUUUCGGGUAAAUAGCCAUACGCUACAUAGCACUAAGUAAAGUAUAAACAUUAUUUCGGAAGUGGCUUGGCCGCUUUGGUGCACCCGGAUUCAAUUUGGAAUAUGUGUGUGCCAUGCCGCUGCUAUUGGGACUAUGUACUAUGAUACACAUCCAACGCUUUUUUAACCGCACCAGUGAUACAUUGAGUCAUCUGUGAGCUAUGAUAUUUUUUCUUCAGCCACACAUACAACAUCGAUAAUAAUGAAACACGGGAUUCCUAUUUCUAAUGAUCGCAUCAUACUAGGUCGGAUUGUAUUGUACCACCAGAUGCAAAAAAUCAAUACUUCAAACAGUUUUGCUAAAGCACAUCUAGAUGUGCCAUAAGUAUUGCACAUCUAAAUCCUAUGUCUCAACUAAUUCAAAAGCUAUACUAGUCACGCCCAUGUUAUUUUGGUUGGCACAUCGAGCUCGUCAAAUUGUAUGGAAGCACCGUCCAAAUAUGGACCGAAUUAAUGUGCCAUAAAAUGUAGAUAUGUGUAGUAGCGUUGGAAGCAUUAAUGUGGCAACGCCAACCUCUGCUGCAAAUGUCUUCAAAAUGUGUCGUUUUCUUUCUUCGGUCUCUCUUUUCAUACACACAAUAGUAGAAAACAAGACUUUAGUUCACGCCGAGUCAGCCCAUUAGUCCCGGUUCAUGAGGCCAGGGGGCCUGCCGGACCUCGUGGGGGCAUUGGUCCCGGUUCGUCUGGCCCCUUUGGUCCCGAUUGGUGGGACGAACCGGGACCAAUGGGCCUGGCUCCUGACCAACCACCAUUGGUCCCGAUUUGUGGCAUGAACGGGACCAAAUGGUGUCCUUUAGUUCCGGUUCCAGCCACGAACUAGGACCAAUGUGAUGCCUAUAUAUACCCCCUCGCCGGCGAGCAGAGCACUCCAUGCUACUCUGUUUUUUCUGGUCGGCGGGGGGAGGGCUUUGUGGUGCUCUAGCUCACCUCUAUGCACAUGAGGUGUUCGAUGGAAUGCCCGAGCCACACUACUUAAGCUUUCCUCUCUCCAAGCUUGACCUCCAAACUCCAUUUUCCUCAAUACUUUUCUAGGUUUAGCGGUCCAUCACGUCCCGUCCCUAUCUUCACGGCCGUCGAUCGCCCCCGCCAAUCUUGUCGCCAGCACCAUCGUUGUGAGCCUCUUGUUCUUAUCUUCUUUCCGAAAGGAAAAAAUUCUUACUUUUAUGUUUAGAUAGAUACUUGUAUAAUUUUCUUACUUUUAUUAUUGCUUCUUAUUAUAUAGUGCGAUUGUUUUGGUAUCCGCCCCCAUCGGCCAUCGUCCUUUAUAGUAAAGUUAUUAAAAAACUAGUGAUUCACACAAAUUUUAAAAAAAUUCAAAUUUAAACUAUUCAAAUUGAAAAACAAAUGGCACUAACAAAAAGUUUAUAAUUUUUGUUACCUAAAAGCAAAAAGAAUUAAAAAAUAAAGCAAAAAACAACAGAAAAUAAAUGCAAAAAACAAAACAGAAAACUGGAAAAAAAUAAAAAAAAUGCCACCUACUGGGCCACCACGGCCUGAAUACGACUAGAAACCCGGCUAGUUGGGCCAGGAUUCAGGCCCGCAGAAGGCCCAACAGGCCCACAUGCAUAGCAGUGUCAGUUUAGUCCCAUAGGCCUGAAGUUCAGAGGAGUUCGAAAGGGAAGAGGCAAAGGAGCUUAUAAACAGGGGGUGGGCACUCUCAACUAGUGAGGCGGGACUGAACUCCUACCAGCACGCCGCUGUGCAAGGCCAUUGGUUCCGGUUGGUGCCAACAACCGGGNNNNNNNNNNNNNNNNNNNNNNNNNNNNNNNNNNNNNNNNNNNNNNNNNNNNNNNNNNNNNNNNNNNNNNNNNNNNNNNNNNNNNNNNNNNNNNNNNNNNNNNNNNNNNNNNNNNNNNNNNNNNNNNNNNNNNNNNNNNNNNNNNNNNNNNNNNNNNNNNNNNNNNNNNNNNNNNNNNNNNNNNNNNNNNNNNNNNNNNNNNNNNNNNNNNNNNNNNNNNNNNNNNNNNNNNNNNNNNNNNNNNNNNNNNNNNNNNNNNNNNNNNNNNNNNNNNNNNNNNNNNNNNNNNNNNNNNNNNNNNNNNNNNNNNNNNNNNNNNNNNNNNNNNNNNNNNNNNNNNNNNNNNNNNNNNNNNNNNNNNNNNNNNNNNNNNNNNNNNNNNNNNNNNNNNNNNNNNNNNNNNNNNNNGGACUAAAGGGGGGCAUUGGUCUCGGUUGAUGCCACGAAUGGUACCAAUGCCCCCCUUUAGUCCCGGUUGGUGCCAACAACCGGGUGUAGGGGAACGUAGGAGAUACUAGCAACGAUAUAUAUAUAUAUAUAUAUAUAUAUAUAUAUAUAUAUAUAGAGAGAGAGAGAGAGAGAGAGAGAGAGAGAGAGAGAGAGGGAGAGAGAGGGACUGCAUCUUCAUACCCUUGAAGAUCGCUAAGCAGAAGCGUUACAAGAACGAGGUUGAUGGAGUCGUACUCGCGGAGAUACAAAUCGCGGAAGAUCCGAUCUAGCGCAGAACGGACAGCGCAUCCGCGUUCAACACACGUAUAGCCCGGGGAGGUCCCCUCCUUCUUGAUCCAGCAAGGGGGGAGGACAAGUUGAGGGAGAAUGAUAUGUAUCCAACGUAUCUGUAAUUUUUGAUUGUUCCAUGCUAUUAUAUUACCUGUUCUGGAUGUUUAUGGGCUUACUUUAUACUUUUAUAUCAUUUUUGGGACUAACCUAUUAACCGGAGGACCAACCCAUAUUACUGUUUUCUUGCCUAUUUCAGUGUUUCGAAGAAAAGGAAUAUCAACCUAAGUCCAAACGGAAUGAAACCUUCGGGAAAGUUAUUUUUGGAACGGAAGCAAUCCAGGGGACUUGGAGUGCACGUUAUAGAAGCUUCGAGGAAGCCACGUGGGUGGGGGGCACGGCCCCCUACUGGGCGCACCACCCUGUCUCGUGGGCCCCAAGAGCGUCCCCUGACCGACUUCUUUCACCUAUAUAAGUCCAUAUACCCUAAAACCUUCGAAGACGAAGAUAGCUCGGUAGUUCUGCCGCCGCAAGCCUCUGUAGCCACCAAAAACCUCUCGAGAGCCCGUUCCGGCACCCUGCCGGAGGGGGAACCCAUCACCGGUGGCCAUCUCGAUCAUCUCGGCGCUCUCCAUGACGAGGAGGGAGUAGUUCACCCUCGAGGCUGAGGGUAUGUAACAGUAGCUAUGUGUUUGAUCUCUCUCUCUCGUGUUCUCUCUAUGGCAUGAUCUUGAUGUAUCGUGAGCUUUGCUAUUAUAGUUGGAUCUUAUGAUGUUUCCCCCCCUCUACUCUCUUGUAAUGGAUUGAGUUUUUCCUUUGAAGUUAUCUUAUCGGAUUGAGUCUUUAAGGAUUUGAGAACACUUGAUGUAUGUCUUGUCGUGCUUAUCUGUGGUGACAAUGGGAUAUCACGUGAUCUACUUGAUGUAUGUUUUGGUGAUCAACUUGCAGGUUCCAUGAACUUAUGCAUAGGGGUUGGCACACGUUUUCGUCUUGACUCUCUGGUAGAAAAUUUGGGGCACUCUUUGAAGUACUUUGUGUUGGUUGAAUAGAUGAAUCUGAGAUUGUGUGAUGCAUAUCGUAUAAUCAUGCCCACGGAUACUUGAGGUGACAAUGGAGUAUCUAGGUGACAUUAGGGUUUUGAUUGAUUUGUUCCUUAAGGUGUUAUUCUAGUACGAACUCUAUGAUAAAUUGAACGGAAAGAAUAGCUUCAUGUUAUUUUACUACGGACUCUUGAAUAGAUAGAACAGAAAGGAUAACUUUGAGGUGGUUUCGUACCCUACCAUAAUCUCUUUGUUUGUUCUCCGUUAUUAGUGACAUUGGAGUGACUCUUUGUUGCAUGUUGAGGGAUAGUUAUGUGAUCCAAUUAUGUUAUUAUUGUUGAGAGAACUUGCACUAGUGAAAGUAUGAACCUUAGGCCUUGUUUCCUACCAUUGCAAUACCUUUAUGCUCACUUUUACCGCUUGCUACCUUAUUGUUUUUAUAAUUUCGGAUUACAAAUACGUUUAUCUACUAUCCAUAUUGCACUUGUAUCACCAUCUCUUCGCCGAACUAGUACACCUAUACAAUUUACCAUUGUAUUCACUAGAAAAAAGAAUACACUUCCGUGAUGAUACGUGUUUUUCACAGUAGGUCGUGUUUUUUGUCAUGCAUGUACAUCCAUGACAAAUUUAUGACAGAAUCAAGAUAGUCAUACCUGUGCUGUCGUAGAAGUGUUCCAUGACAUUACCAAAAUUAUCAUCACGGAAGUGUCCACUUCCAUGACGAUAUAUCGCGCGUCACAGAAGUGCUUUCGUCAAGCGUGACCGACACGUGGCAUCCACCGUAACGGAACGCCGUUAAGCUAUCGGGUCGGGUUUUGGAUCCAAUAACCCGUUAACAGCCCCGACCAAUGGGGAUUUUCCACGUGUAAAAUCAUCAUUGGCUGGAGGAAACACGUGUCGGCUCACCGUUGGGACAGAUAUCAUCCACUCAUUGGACGGAAGACGCCUAUGGUACGUCGACACGUGGCACGGCCCAACAGAGGCCCUUUCCUGUGAAAAUGCCGGCCCAGUAAAAAUUAGCAGGCCAGCCCAUAUAAGGCCUACUUGUGUCAGGUCCAUUUAAGCCCACGACCCAUACAAGAUGAGCCAAUUCGGCCCGUCAACGGCCCGUUAAAGAUUUGACACCAUUGCAGCCGAUCGUCAGUUCGAGCCCGUUAACAACCAGCUAUAUAUCUGGGCUCAAUAUCGGCCCGAUGAGAUUUCGGCCUGUUAAUGGCCCAUUUAAUGGAUAGGCCAAUUUUCAGGACGUACAUCUUUCGACCUUUUAGCGACCCAUUUAAAUGUUGGGCUAGUUUCCGGCCCGGUGUGUCUUUCAGCCUGUUGACGGUCCAUAAAUCUGAUGGGCCAUUUGUUGUCGGACCUGAGUUUCGGCCUUUUUAGAGGCCCAUUUAAGUGUUGGGCCAAUUUUCUUGCCCGGUGUCACUUUCAGCCUGUUGACGGCCCAUAAAUCAGUUGGGCCAUUUUUAGUAGGACCUGAGUUUUAGCCUUUUAGCGACCCAUUUAAGUGUUGGGCCAAUUCCCGGCCCUGUGUGACUUUCGGCCUAUUAACGGACCAUAAAUGAGUUGGGCCAUUUGUAGUCGGACCUUAGUUUUGGCCCUUUAACGACCCAUGCCCUUCAUGGUGCAAUACCAUCCCGGUUUCUCUUUCGGCCCGCUAAAGGCCCACAACACAGUUGGGCCAUUUACAAUACGACCUGACUUUCGCUCUCUUAGCGGCCCAUGGUCUUCAUGGUCCAGUACAAGCCCACUGUCUCUUUCGGCCUACUAAAGGCCUACAGUAUAGUUGGGCCAUAUGUAGCCCAAACUUAUUAACGGUUUGUUAACGGCCCGUGAAAUAAACUGGGGCCACCUGUUGCCCGCUUCGAUGUCGGCCUGUUAACGACCCGGGAGGUAAGAGGGCCGACCAUUAACUUUCGGCCUAGUAACGGCCCAUUAACUUAAUGGGCCCACUAAAGUUCAUACAUGUCUUUAGGCCAAAUUAUAUAAUUUUAGCCCAUUAUGACGAGCAAUUAUGCACAGGACCAAAACCGAUCACGCAAAGGUACGACAUACAGGGAAUAACAUUGCACAUCCAACAUAUAUUAUAGGAAAUUACAUCCACUGGGCAAUCAAAGAUUGAUGCCAUUGCAAAUAAAUAAGCAGAACCUAACCAUCUACAACGUCACAAUCUGCAUCCUCAGCACAGAUGACACCCAUAAGCAUGUGGGCAAGUUCUUUCUGCUUUGCUACACUAUCUCUGAAAACAUUGAUCAGUUGUUGUGUCGCACGAGUCUGCACCUCUGAUUCAUCCACCAUUUCCAUCAUUGCUUCAGCCAUUAAUUGGUUCACAAACAUACAUUUAUUCCGUUGCAUUCGAGACAGAGGAUACUGAACAGAUUUAGAUGGCGAUUUUGGCAGGCUUGUAUUAUUGAUAGUGGAGAGUGUCUCGACCACUGCAUCAUAACAUAAAUUAGGACGGGAACCAAAAAGAUUAGUCAUGAGUUAUUGCCAUAUUACCUGGCCUAGAUUUAAUGGAAAGAAAGAAUGGGGUUGCCUUGCUAUUUUCAGAGUUUGUCUUCUUAUCUUCAGCAGCCUGCACAAAAUUAACACACUAGCAUUGCUAUCAUUGGCCAAGUUAGAUAAUAGAAAAGCAACAUUGACACAAUGAACGUUUGGGAAAGUAGCCUACACCAAAUUAACACAAUAUAGCACAGCUAUCAUCAACCAGGUAAGGUGGUACGAAAGCAACAUUGACACAAUGAAUGAAUGGGCAACCAGAGAAGCACUACAUUCAGUAAUGUGCGUGAUAUGAGAUAGUAUAUUCAUGCAGCUCAGUGUGCAAAACUACCAGGCAGUUUUCCUUACAAAAAUCAACAUUGGCGAAUUUAACAUUUUGCUACAACUAAUUUUAGAUUAGAUAAAGGUUAGAUUCACGCCGGUUAACAAAAUACAUGUUGAUGUAAAAAUAUAGUGAUAUACAACAGGUACUUACAUCAGCUAUAAAAUUUCAUGAUGCGAGGAUAUGCACAUGCUUCUUAGAAUGGAGUUGACAUUCUUUUGCUGGACUGGAGCGGACUAGUUCUUUGGCCACUAGAAUCUGCUUAUUAUCAAUGGGAGUUGGGUUUCUCUGUGCUGGAGCAGUAUAUAUGAAAAAUGGAGUUGGUUUAUUAUCUCCUGGCGUUUGGAUCUUUUGCAAAGACCUGGUGUCUAACCCUUCAGAUUCUAACAGAGCCGUCUUCCCCUUGCAUGCCUUAUGUAGAAGAAUGGUGAUUCAGUUAUAAAACAUGCUAUAGCAGAGAUGGAAUAGGCACUGAAGAAUAGAAAGGCAUGACAUAUUGACAUGUAUUCCCUCCAUCCAGAAAUAAAUGGACCGGUCUAGGUGUAUUUCAAUUCUAGAUACAUCUAGUUUUAUCCAUUUAUGCGACAUUUAAUUCGGAUGGAGGGAGUAUGAUGUAAGAGCUAAGGAUACGACAGGACAACACAGUAAAAAAAACACUGAAAAACCCACUGCAGAUCCAAAGUAUUCAAACCCACUGAUAUGAGAUAGUACACUCAUGCAGCUCAGGAUGCAUAACUACCAGGCAGUUUUCCUUACAAAAAUCAACAUUGUGGCCUUUAAUCAUACAUUUUGCUACAACUAAAUUUAGAUCAGAUAAAGGUUGGAUUCACGCCGAUUAACAAAAUACAUGCUGAUGUAAAAAUAUAGUGAUAUACAACAGGUACUUACAUCUACAUUGGAGCACAGAGAAUUCCUGCAAGAAUCUUUCCUCACAAACGAUACCAUUGCAGAAAUUCUUCUAUUUGUUAAGCUUGUUUUCUAAAAGAGAGAUGGGUAAGAAACAUGUAGAAAAUAUGAUCAACAUGCUAUAAAAUUUCAUGAUGCAAGGAUACGCACACGCUUCUUAGAAUUGAGUUAACAUAUUUUUGCUCGACUGGAGCGGACUAGUUCUUUGGCCACUGGAAUCGGCUUAUUAUCAGUAGGAGUUGGGUUUCUCUGUGCUGGAGCAGUAUCUAUAAAAACUGGAGUUGGUUUAUUAUCUCAUGGCAUUUGGAUCUUUUGCAAAGGCCUUGUUUGUAACUCUUCAGAUUCUAACAUAGUCGUCUUCCCCUUGCAUGCCUUGUAUAGAAGAAUGGUGCUUUAAUUAUAAAACAUGCGACAGCAGAGAGAUGGAAUAGGUACUGAAGAAUAGAAAGGCAUGACAUAUUGACAUGUAUUCUCUCCAUCCAGAAAAAAUGGAUGGGUCUAGGCGUAUUUCAGUUCUAGAUACAUCCUUUUUUAUCCAUUUCGGCAACAUGUAAUCCGGACGCAGGGAGUAUGGUGUAGGAGUUAGGGAUACGACAGGACAACAUAGCAAAAAAAAACUAGUUGCAUGUAACACUACUAGGGAAAAGCGUAGCAGCAGCGCGGGGUUUAGGCCUAUCAGUAGCGCGGGAAGGAGGGCUAUUGAUAAGGCGCUACAGCUAAACCUUAGCAAUAGCGUGCCUAGAUCCACGCUACUGCUAAAUUGACUUAGUAGUAGCGGUUCUUCAGAACCGCGCUACUGGUAAUUAGUAGUAGCGCUUCCCCUUUCCCGCGCUACUACUAUUAUUUAUUAUUUUAUUUCUUUUUUAUUUCAUGUUGUAUUCAUACACCUUUACACAAGUUUUCAUACAACAGGAAUUUAGAGAUUGUUUUUACAUCAUGAUGAGUUAUUACAUCACGGGGUGAAAGAACCGUGGACUUGUUUCAAGUGGAUGUCCAUCCACUUAAAACUAAUCCGCGGUUCUUUCACCCAAUGAUAUAAUAAUAUCAUCAUCAUCAUUAUCAUCAUCAUCAUAUCAUUAACAACUUAUCAUCAUAAUACAUCAUUGUCAUAUAACACCUCCUCAAGAUCAUCGUUUUCAUCAAUGACAUCACAUAGCAAAUUGGUCACUAGUUGUAAUCACAAGUACUCUUCAUUAUCAACUCUAACACAUUACCACAUAAUAAACAUAUUGUACCUCAUAGGACCUACUACAUUCGAUUAAGACCUACUACAUUUUCUAAGGUAAAAUAGCAAAAAACAAGAUAGCCCCUGACUCUCCAUUAUGGAUAGCCUGUCUCCAAUUCUUGCCUUUCGCUGAAUGUUACUUCCAAGAACCUCCUUGCGAAUGUCCAUACAUUUCUUCCAUUCUUUGAUGAUCAUGUGUUCGCCGGUUUUAGAAAUCCGAUAUGCACAGGUGAGCUCCCUAGAUUUACCUGGCAGUAUGUUCAGAACUGAGAGGCAACCAUUCAGAGACAUCAGAUGAGGCACACAAUUCAUCGGGAGUUUUGGUUGAAAAACAUAAUGAUGUACUAGUUUUAGAAGUAUGCAAAAGAUGCACAGAUGUCGUAAUAGUAAAAAAUCUUACCAGGGUAUCUCUAGAGUAGUUACCGUGGUUCAACACAUGCAGUAGUGGCACAUAUUCACCACAAUUUGGAGGAGUUCGAUAAUAGUUAUUGUAAUUCUCAAGAAGAGUACAAAAUGCGAUCAGAUGAUUUUUCUCCUUAUACGUUAAUUCGGUGCCAUCGGCGUAGUGGGUUGUAUCUACCAUCUUCCGCACAGUCUUUGAAGAAUCAAAAUAAGCUGUCAAUGGAAAUAAGCUAUCAACUAUUUUGAAAUAAGCAAUAUAAAUUAGUUAAUAACUAUGUUUGAGAAACUCACAUAGCGGUACAAUCGGAAGCGUAUCAACAAGGACCCAAAUAUCCAUAUUGUCUUGCUCGAUGUCAGGAUCACCAAGAUCCAUGGUGACAAUCAUACCCUCAUAAAAACCAUACAUUUUGCAAAGUGCUUCCCAAUUUUGGCAACCAAAAUGGGUUACGCUCUGAGCAUUGCACAGAUUUACUUCAAAAUCCAUAUCAUGAUGGGUCCUUAGGUGUAUUUUCUUUGUUUCAAAAUUUUCAUGGUCUUCAAAACCCAUCCUCUCCAAGACAAAGCAUCUUGCAUGGCAUGAAAUAAGCUAGUCGAAUUGUAAAAUAUGAAAAUUAGACGUUGAAAUAGUUGAAGUCAUGCUUAAUUACGAAAAACACACUUGUCGUUGUUGCGUACCAUUUCAACAUCGAAGGUCUCCUCGAGCUUAAUGCUGAAGCGCCGAUCUUCGUCCAGCUCAACGAACCUGUCGCACAUACCUCGAUCGUCGUGGCACUAGCUGCACUCCCCCGGGAGACCGUCAUCGUUUGAGUACGACAUUUCCUACGUUCAUAAUUCAAAGAUUAAGCGUGUACAUAUUCUAGCACAAGUCAUGCUAGAAUUCACGAAAAAAUGCGGCAUAACCUUUGCUAAAAAAGGACAUAUCGAGCGCCUGAAAUUUGCCGGAACGGAAAUUAAUCAACACUCCGGCAAAACAUAGGCCACUCGGAGAUGUAAACUGAACAUGAAUGGCCACUUGGGCAACCACAUAUCCUAUUUGAGCAACAACACAAGAUAUACAAGGAUAUUUGGCUGGUCUCACCUCGAUGUCGGAGGGGGUCGGGGACUGGGACGACGGCGGGGAUGUCGGAGGGGGUCGGUGACUGGGACGACGGCGGGGAUGUCGGAGGGGGUCGGUGACGGGGACGGCGGGGGUCACCUGAAACCGUAUAAGUUAUCACUAAUACAUCUCGAAUAAUUGCUUAAACUAAAAAAAUAACAACAAAUAUGACAUGUUCCACUAGUUUUAUUAAUUCAACUAGUUCUUACUAAAUAUAAACUUACUAUAAAUAUAAAAAAACUAGUUCUUUCUAAAAAUAAAGUAGUUCAAUUAGUUAUAUUAAUUAUCUUACUAAAAAUACAUUAGUUCUAUUAAUUCAACUAGUUCAACUAGUUUAUUAAUUUACUUAGUAAACUAGUUCAACUACAACUAAAGUAGUUCAACUACAACUACUAUUAAUCAUACUGCCCUAGUUAACUAGUACCAUCUACUACUAAAAAUCUAGUAGUAAUGUGAACCCUAAAUUAACACCUACUACUACUAAAAAUCUAGUACUAACUAAGCAACAUCUAGUACUAGCUAUUAACCCUAAAUUAACAUCUAGUACUACUAAUUAUAGUACUAACUAGUGGCAGGGGGUGGGGGCGACGGAGAGGUAGCUAGGGGUGGCGAGGGCGGGAUCGGGAUCGGGAGGCGGCGGUGCUGGCUGGGCUCGGGUGGCGGCGGUGAGGUCGAGGGCGGUGGGAGGAGGGCUGCCGGCGACGGAGGAGGAGGGAGGGGCGGCCGCAAGCGGACGGAGGGUGUGCGAGGAGGAGAGAGGAGGGACGGAAGAAGGGGAGUACCUCGGCGGCGGACGGACAAAGGCGGCAGCGGCGGCGACGCACAACGACGGUUAUCGGCAUGCGGGCGAGAGUGAGAGUGUGAGUGAGAGAGAGGGUCGAGCGUGGGCGUGGGAUUAAGGUAGGGAUAGUUGUAGCGCGUUUGCCGAAACGCGCUACAGCUAAUCUGAAUAGCAGUAGCGCGGUUCAUUAUAGGGCGCUGCUGCUAUAACUAGCGGGGGGCGAGGUCAUGGCAAUUAGAGCAGUAGCGCGUUUUGCGGAGGACGCGCUACUGCUAUUUUCCUUUCAGCAGCGCGUUUUUCUAUCACGCGCUACUGCUAAGUAGCAGUAGCGUUGUAUUUUGAGCAGCGCUGCUGGUAAGUUUCUGUGUAUAGGCUUUUCCCUGGUAGUGUAAAACUAUAUGCUAGUGGCAUACAUAUAGAAAUAACCAAGGCAACAUACAUGUGUAUGAUUGGGAAAAUAAGAUGGCAUUGCAACAGAGCACUAGAACAGCACUUCAAUGUAAAAAAACAUGGUAUGGCAGACAGAUGAAGUAUAUACUGAUGAAUAACAAUGCAUAAGAUAUUCAGAAGCAUGAUGUCCAAAUUAAGCAGAUGGCAUUGCGAUAGAGUAGAAUGACAAUACUUGAAUUUGAAAACAUGUUAUCAUGAAUGGAAUAGGUACUGAAAAACAGGAAGGCAUGACAUAUUUACAUGCAUGAUCAGCAUGCUAAGCACAUGGCAUUGCAACAGAGUAGAUACACUCCAGGACAUUAUAUGCAUGUUGUACCCAUAUCACAUGCCAAGUUAGAGCAAGGACCUUGUGGGGUGAAGAGGAUUCAUCAUCUUUCUGCAAGUCUUCUGAAGAACUGCCUUUUUACAUGUUCCAUCAUAUUGGGUAUCAUUGACAUCAAGUUUAUUGGCCUUUACAUUGCUCCGUGAGGUUCUUGUGGAUAUAUCAGUGUGUGCAAUUAUAUCUGACAUGCAUGGAAGACAACUAGUAGUUAGAUUUAUGUAAAUGAGUGCCUGUAGGAGACGACAUAAAUAGUAGGACUGGGUUAACUAGCAGCAACAUGUCUCAUAAACUAAAGGGAGAACACAAAUGAAAGCUACAGAAUAUGUAUCGUUUGUACUCGAGAUUAACUAGAUGGCACACAAAAGUAUUAAAGAACAACAUAGGUAGUACUAGAAGUGGUAUAAUACUAUAAUCACCAGCCCGUGGGAUAGCAUUGGCUGAUGGAUGAUAACUAUGGAACAGCGUUACCUAAAGAACAAGUAUCUUAGCUGAACUAUGGAACAGCGUGAACUCCUGAACAAGACCCGUAAGAGAUCAGCAUGAAUAUACAGUGAAAUGUGAUGAUCUAUUUUCUGUGCUUAGAUGAAUAACAAAGCCAUAAAUGUUGCACACAAGUAAGAUGAGCGUACAAUCUAUCUGGCUGCUAUCCAUAGGAGUGAGCAUCAUGUGCUGACUGGUCAAUGGCCCUGUAGUUGUUGUGACUGUCCAUGUCGGGCACGCGCAUUCGAUGCAGGGAACUGUUGAGUGGGGACUGUAGCUCCCUUCUGGUGUAUGCUUCCCUUGUUGAAGCAGCUGCGAUGAGUCGGAAGACGGUGUGUCUGAAGAUGCAGAUAACGCAUAAAGUUAAGAACGACAUAUCUCUUUGAUCUGAAGAAAUACACUAAGAGAUCAACAGCAAGGUACAAGAGUGUUCACACGUCUGUUGACUUAAGACUAAAUUGGGGUCACACUAUUUUAUUUUAUUUUGGUACUGUUCGAUCUACGCUGGAUGGCUUGAUGGUCGUCUUGUGCCUCCCGGCUGACACUGUUCGGAAUCUUCCCCAAAGAGCCAGCGACCAACCGCAGAGCAGCCUGCCUCCGUCGUCCGUGGCCCCGUCCAAAACCCCGCUCCUCGCCCCACCGCACUGUGGUGGUUGCGCCGCCCCCGGGCCAAUCCACAAAGACUCCCCGUCAUCCAGAUCCGGCGGCGACAGUACCUUCAACCCACGCAACUCUAAAAGAUAGCCAUCUAAGUGCUGCUUCCGCGGCGAAGUUGCGGUCCCGCACCCUUAUGUUAGACACCAGCCAACCGGCAGCCUAGGAGCUCUGCCGCCUCGAGGGGUGCUGCUUCCCAUUGGGAAUCGAUUGGCCCAGAAUAAAAAUUCAGACAACUAAUGCCUAAAUAAAGUGAUUUCAGAUGAGGGUGCGACCUAUCUGGCGGCAUGGUGAAGUAGACAGGUCCACCUGCCGAGUCGGUGAGGCCGGCGUGGUUGCGGUGGUGACUGGCGACAGGGAAAGAGCGAUGUCGCGACGGUCGACGGCUACGCGGAAGCAGCGCCAGGACUCUGGACGGAUCCGAAGUUGGAGCUGCUCCGGCACCGUGAACAACGGUGGGAAUGAAUCGGCUCCAGUACGGUUCACGCGGCCGUCGUCGAGGCAGCACCAGCAGCACGGAGUAAGAGGCACACGGCCCACUGCACGACGGCAAUUGGACAACGUCUCCGGCAUUAGGGAGGAGGGCGGUUGUGAAAUUGGUGCGGUGGGGGCACCAUGGAGGUGGGGCUGAGGUGGGACGGCAAUUGGGAGGGGAGUGGAACCAUGUCUUACGGACGCAUUUGUCUGAAAUGUGAGUGGGAGUUACAGUUCUACUCUUGCCUAUAGGCUUCUCGGCUUGGGUCUGUGUACUGAGGCUCGGGGAUAGUAGAGUAACUUUGCUUCUCCCCAAAUAGUGGGCGGGAGCGAUUUCUGGCGAGGAGGGCGUGUUUUGAACUAUAGUGGGCGCGAGCGAAUUCGGGCGAGGAGAGCGUAUUUUGAAAUAGUGGGCGUGAGCUAUUUCAGGCGAGGAGAGCGUGUUUUGCCGACCAUGGUUUAUGAAUUAUUCGGCACAUGUCAUUUCGGCCGAGGAGAAGGCGCGCUUGGCUGAAGUUACGAACCUACCCUCAAUGUACAAUGGGCAAUUUAUGCGUGUCCCACAUAGGACGGUAAUUUCGCGUCUCCCAUUUAUUUGCUCGGGCGAAUUCCACCAAGCAGAGAGGAUGUUUAACGGUUCGUUCAAAUUUUGGGAGAACAAGCAUCCACGUCUACCUUACCAAGUCGAUUCGAAUCAAAUUUUGAAAUAUUAGCUUGCCACUUCUUUUUUAGAUGGAGAGAUGAGGCUCGGGAGUAAUGUGUUUUUACAUGCUCGUUGCUAGCGAUUUACUAUAUGACAAAUAGUUGACACACUCAAAAACGCGAAUCAAACCCAAAAUAAAGUAUCUCGAUUCAAUGAACUAGCUCGUUCAGUAGGUCAAAAUAGUGAACUAAAUCCAAAAUUGAACACCUCAAUCGAGUAGCAUGUUGUACAGUAUUAUAGUACUCCAUGAACAUGUUGAAAGUAAAAUUAAUGAACUUGUUUGAUAUACGCAUAUAUCCGUUCAUGUGUGGAUUGCAGACAACGUGGUCUCCAAUUUAAAUAUUUGAAUGCAAGUUUAUAUCAGUCUUUGAUGCAUAAAACGCGACCUCCCCCUCUCCCGUACUCCUGUUCUCUCUCUCUCUCACUCACUCUCUCGCCGACAAUCUUCAAUUCUGUCGCACGCAUCCGACACAAAAACCAUGUUGGUCCCUCUCCCUUUCUCUCUCUCUCUCUGUGUGUGCGCGCACUACAAGAAACCUGUUAAUUCAUAACGGAUUUCCUGUGACAUUUUUAGAAACUGUCAUGGAUGGGCUGGUAUAGCCCGGCAAGCCCGCCAAAGCCCGGCUAACUGCCCUUGCUAUAAAAAUCUAACCCUAACACCCUCCUCUCUCUCCCUCCGCAGCCCGCUCCCAUUCCCCAUAGUCUCACAUCGCCCCCACCCUCCCCCUCUUCGCCUCCCUCCUCCAACAACUCGCCACCGGCCCUCCAACUCCCCUGCUCUCACCUCGCAGUUCCGGGAGCUACCAGAUCCGCUGAACCCCCAACCCAUCCAUCCCUCUCCAACCCAUGGCUAGGGUUUCGGUCUCCUUCAGAUUGUUCAACCUCGCCUCACAUACUCCCCCUUCCUCCCAGAUCCACCAGGCUGCGCUCCUCCCAUGGCAUCCAUGGCGCGGGUCAUCCUACAACAGCUGAUAUGUGACGAGCGAGGCAGGGAAGAGGUGUUCCUUCUCAUGAUCUGCAGUGCAUCUCGUGUUCCAUGACGUCCUUGGAGAUAUGUACACGACUGCUUCAGCACGUACAACCACGGUGGUGGUAAGAGAAGGACGACCCCUUCCCUUCCUUGCUAGCUAGCUGUUCUGAUUUGGGUUGGUCCAAUCCGAUCCAAUCCUGCCAUGUAGUUUGGUUGUAACAUAGGAGAGGGAUACCUGUAGUUGAGUUUCAGUUUGGACAGCAUUUGACACACAUUAUUGGGGGAUUUGGUUUAGUUCAGUUUGUAUGUGCAUUCCUAAAAUUGAAAAUGAAAUUGGUUUGGUGUUCAAUCCCCACAAACUAAUCUGCAACAUUUUUUAUUUGACUUGUAUUGCAUCAGCAACUUAAAUUUGUCUGUUAUGUUUACCAAAUCUGUAGAGGCUUGAUAGAUAUCAAUGUCACCCUACUGUUAGUUUCUUGCUCCGGGUCUUGUGGGGUUGGGGAGUGUUGGGUCCUCACUCUGCUGAGCUGCAACAAGCUGGCUGGGGGAGCAGUACUGUUUAGUAGUACAUUAAUGCCACCCGUCAGGUUUAUACUGUUGUUUACUAGAUCAAACUUGAUCCAUGCUCCUAUUGGUAUUAGGUGAUCAUGUAGGUCAAGUUAUAUUACAGCUGGAUGCUUAGUUUCUUACUAUCCCUGAUCCAUGCUCCUAUAGAGUAAUUUCUGGCAUACACGAGGGGAAGUGCGAAAUGGCUUGGUUUUGUUGAUGCUUUUAUUGCUUUACUAAGUACCUGUACAAUUCUUCCAUAAGUGAAAGAAAUUUCUGAAUACAGUACUUCAACAAGUGUUUUGACAUUCAGUUAAUUUGGCACGUGGCUAUGGAACCUUGGAGGAGUUGCUCAAGUCAUCACGUGGGCACAACUAGGUGUAAACAAGAGGACGGUAAAAACUAACUUCCAUUUGUUGUUGAUGCUUAUCAUACAAAAAUCAUACAACCCCAAUCAUCCUGGGAUGAUGUGUUUGUCUGCAAUAUACAGUGACUUGGUCAUCAUAUACGCAUUAGACCAACAGUGAACAUAUUAAAGUUAGUUGCCAAGAGCAAGUGUGCUACUACUAGUCUGCUACAUAGGAGUCAUUUGUGCAUGCAAGUGAUGUGCGUACUUGUACAGUGCUCCUCCGUAAAGGCUUGGUGGCCCUGUGCCGCAAGCUAGUGUGCUACUACAGAAUGAACAUUAAAGCAUGCAAGUGUUUGCGCUAGCUUAGAGUGGUACAGUUUGGGUAAAUACCUUACUGUUUGUGCUACACAAUUGGAAUGAGUGUUGGUGGUGUUAGUUUUUACUUAAGAAAAUUUAUCACCUACUCAAUUUGUCAAGUAUAUACUCUUUUUUAUGUGGUAUUUAACGAAAUUGUACCAAAAUAAUAUGGUAUAUAUCGAAACCUUGUCGAGGGAACAUCAAGGCUUCAUUACUGCCUUGAUGUCUCAUUCAAUUAUUACUUGACUUCUUAAUAUAGUUGUAUGAUUAACCCUUCUGUUUUCCCUUCUUUGGGUUUGCAAGCAACAAUUUCAUUGAUGUUGAGUGUUUUUCGCUUAUUACAGCAGAGAUGGUGAAUUUUGUACUAUUGUAUUUACAGAAAUGCGUGUACAUAGAUUUGCAAUCUGAAGGAGCGAUGAAGUGAAGAUUGAGUGCUUUUCUUUAAGAUUAAUAAUAGAUGGUAUAUUUUUUUGUUUUGAUUUAAGAGUGUUUGAUCUGGUACAUAGUGCAUUUGUUUAGUCUCAAAAUUUCAGUGUUAUCUCUCUAUUUCUCAUAUUAUUCACACCACGUCAUUGGUGAAAGCCUGCUGAAAAGAAUAAUUAAACAAUGGUGUGCUAAGUUAAACUAAAAUGUUAUGUACUAAAGGAAAAAAAUGACAUCUAGGUAUAUUCCCUUGAAUGAUUUACUAAAUACAUUUUCAUGUGAGGGCUCUUUACAGAAAGUAACUGAGAUCCAUUUAGAAAAUCAUGUUAAUAUUUUUUUGCGUAUCAUUAACUAAUGGUUCCAUUGUUAACAUUGUAUUAAUAAUCUUGUACCCUUUUUAUAAUACUAUCCCUCGUAUUCAUUUUAUUGUAAAGACAAUAAUCAGGAAGUGGCAUGUAUAAAAUUUCAACAUUUGCUCUCUCUCUCUCAAUUCCUUGUCCCAUCUCAUUCUGAAGUUUGGGCAGAGAUAAUUAUUUACCUUGUAUGCCAUGAAGACUAUGAUUUAUUGUAAUUGGAGAAUGCAUGCGUUUUUCUCUUCCAACAUAUAUUAUUGUUCUUCACAAUUCCCGAGUGUGGUUAUAUAUAGAUUGCUUGGAAAAUCAACUAAUAUUGUUACUCUAUUCAUUUGGGAGUUAGUUGUUAUAACUUACUAUAAUUUUGUAUGUGUUGAAUUUUUUGCAGGUUUGGCAAUUAGUCCGUGUCACUGGAGAUUGAAGCUUUUUAGCAGGAAUUACUUGGGCCCGAAUAGCUGCCUGGAAGUGGUGGUGUACUGUUGGAGAUUAAGAUAAACUAGUAGUGCAUUUUAGUCAUGUUUAUUUGAAAAUUUAAAAAAUACUUAUAGUGCGUUCUAGAUAUGCUUCUGAUAUUUUGAUAUUAAAUUUUGUUUUUUGUUGGAAAUCUGUAAUUGUCUUGUGAAUGAGUGCUAUUAUUUGAAUGAAUAUAAUUUGGUUGCAUUUGUAAAUUAUUCUGCGUCAAGAAAACAAGCUGGGCAGGACAAAGAUGGACAUCUAAUCGGUUUUACUCGAACAAAAUUAUUGGGCAAAACCCCUAAUUGGGUUGGUCACUACAUGUGCCAUGCAUGUUGCCUCCACGUCAGAUCCACAUAGAUGCCAUCAUUGCUUCCACGUCAUGUAAAUCGGUGACAGAUUGUUCCGUCACAUCCUAGUUUGGGUCGGGCGGGCCUGGGGCAGAUCCAUGACGGCCAAGAAUCGUCAGGGAAGGUAUGAUGGGAAAUUCUGACGCGAUAUACAUGACGGAUUCCAAAUCCGACAUGGAUGGGUACGCAUGAUAAAUUUUGACUAGUCUGUGACGGACCAAGACCAUCAUGUAUUAACAAGUUUCUUGUAGUGGUGGUGGUGGUGGGGGGGGGGUCUUUCUAGGUCUCUCUCACACACUAUGUAUGAUACUCUAGCUAGUCCAAGCUAGAUAUUUUGGGUGCACUCAUCGUACGCACACAAAUUCCUUGGCUCUCUGCCCUUAACUCUCUCACGNNNNNNNNNNNNNNNNNNNNNNNNNNNNNNNNNNNNNNNNNNNNNNNNNNNNNNNNNNNNNNNNNNNNNNNNNNNNNNNNNNNNNNNNNNNNNNNNNNNNNNNNNNNNNNNNNNNNNNNNNNNNNNNNNNNNNNNNNNNNNNNNNNNNNNNNNNNNNNNNNNNNNNNNNNNNNNNNNNNNNNNNNNNNNNNNNNNNNNNNNNNNNNNNNNNNNNNNNNNNNNNNNNNNNNNNNUCACACAUACACAUGCAUAUCUCACUCGCACUCGAUAGGCCCAUCUAAAAAUCUAUCUCUCUCCAUCGUUCUCUCUCCAUCUCACACGCACACACACACAAUCUCAUGCCCAGCUAUCCAAGUAUGAUGGUCUCUCACUCAAGUGUAGGCACACGCAGUCCCCCGUAUAUGUAUAUGACUAGCUAAUCUUAGUCUCCAUCACAAACAUGUGCAUGGUCUAUCUCGAUUUCUCUCGGGGCAUCUUUCUAUCGCGCACGCACUCCCUCGAUCUCCCACCUAUAUAGUCCCCUCAUGAUCUCGAGGGGAUCUCUCUAUCACAAACACACCCUCUCUCCCUCCCCAUGCGUCCAUGCCAUCAAUGUGUCCCUCUCGACCUCUUUUCCUUGUUGGCCAAACCUCUAUUGGACAUGUGCUACAGGGGUGUCUCUCUCCGUUGCAAACAAUCACACACUAGCUAUCUUCGUGUAUCCCCUCACCUCGCUUUUCCAUCUCGGAGAUGCAUGCGUGAUAUGUUCGCAUAAGAAACGAAAAAACACUCUCUCUCUCUAAUUUAUCGUUUGUUGUCACUUUCUCUUUCACAGACAUACUCUUUUUGCACACUUACUCAUUCUCCUUCACACGCACUUGAUCUGUCUGGACUGAGGCACUCACCUCCGUCCAUAGCACAUAGAUUUAUUGAAAAGUCAAACAUCACAAAGUUUGACCAUGUACGUGGAGAAAAAGAAUUACAUCUAGUACGACAAACAUGUACCACUAGAUUCACCAUGAGAUGUAAUUUUGUAUGAUGUAUCUUUGGUAUUGUAGAUAUAAGUAACAUUUGCGUAAACCUGAUCAAAGUUUCCAAAGUUUGACUUCUAAAAAAUUCACAUGCACUGCAUUAUCGAGCGAAUGGAAUAUCUCUUUCCCCCUCUCAGCUAUCUGACACACCACUCAACCUUAUCGGGGCUCCUCAAUCUCUCUCAAACUUUAUUGGUCAGUUUGGUUCGUGACCAGACCCUCAUGCCUUGAUGGUCGGUACUGCCUGGUGUGGACGUGAGAUGUAAAAUAUUUCUACCUAGCCAGGCUUGUGUGGUGCUGAAGCGUUUCGUUCAUGCCUAGGCCAGGCAAAGCAUCAAUGUCCCAUCAAUGAAUCCAUGCAUCGAUUAUUUAAUGCUAAUAUCCAUCCAUGUUGUUGUUAGCCUCGUGGUCGCACGACCAGGCACGGCCAGGCGUUCGAAAUCGGUCGCUUGGGCCAGGCUACUUGCAGUAUUUGGAGUUCAGCCAGGCUAAUCAAAGUGCAAGAGAACCCAGCCUAGGCGGGCUUUCUUUUUUCAUAGGGUAGAAACCAAACAAGCGUGCAUGAAAUCCAGCCACAACCCCAGGCCACGCAAAAGAUGCUCACGACGCAAGCCAAACAUGCCUUAUAUCUCCCUGGUUCACACAUACACAUGUCUCGCUCGGGCUAUACAUAUAGACCCAUCCAACACUCUCCGCCCUUGUUCUCUCUCCAUGUGACACGCACCCCCCUAAGUACCAUAAUCCCUCACUCCAUCAUAGGCUCUGUUUGGAUCCAUGGAUUAGAGUUAGUUUGGGUUAGUUUGGAGUCAACUAACCCAAAAAGAUCCAAACAGGAGGGUUAGUUUAGGUUAGAUGCAUCUAACCCAUCCAAAAAAACUAACCCAUCCAACAGGUGCUUAUUUGGGUUAGUUCUUCUUGGGACCAUUAAUAAACACUUUUUUCUCUCGCUCUCCCCGCAGCAGAUCCCUCCCCACUUCCUCGAAGCUUCUCGUCCUCUCCCUCCCUCCCUCUCGCACCGCCCGUGAAGGUGCCUCACCGUAUCCGCGCUCCAUCUAACCCUGCCAUGCAAACACCUCUUUACUUAGAGUUAGUUCAGGGUUAGAGUCUAACUCUAACUUCUAACUGAGUUAGAGUAUCCAAACAGGGCCAUAGGCGCAAGCACUCCCCCCCUCCUAAGUAUGAUUAUCUCUUACUAGCCAUCAGGAACACACGUAUUGUCUCCUUCCAUCCAUACGUCUAUCUCGAUAUCUCUCGGGGCAUCUUCUAUCGCGCACACACCUUGUCACUCGAUCUCCCACCCAUGUAGUCCCAUCACGAUCUCCAGGGGAUCUCUCUAUGACAAACAUACACUCUCUCCUCCCCAUGUCUGCAUUUUCUCCGUACGUCGCUGUCGACCUCUCUCCCUUGUUUGUCAGACCCCUCUUGGCCACAUGCUAGGGGUCUUCCUCUCUCGGUUCCAAACAACCACACACUAUCUCCUCACCUUGCCUUCGUUGUCGAAGAUGCAUGUGUGAUAUGUUUCCAUAAGACACGCACGCUUUUUCUCCACUUUUAUCGUGUGUUGUCCAUGUCUCUUUCACACACGCACACACUUUUUUCACUCUCUCUCUCUCUCUCUCUCUCUCUCUUGUUAGGGACUGUGUCACGUCCAUAAGCAUAUGGAUGUUUUGAAAAGUCAAACCUUAGAAAAGUUUGACUAGGUAUAUGUGGAGAAAAACAUUUACAUCUGGAACGAUCAUUAGAUUCAUCACAACAUGUACUUACUUCAUACUAUCAUUUAUCUUUGGUAUUGCCGAUAUAAGUAAUUUCUUUAUAAACUUGGUCAAAUUUCAAAAGUUUGACUUUAAAAAAAUGUUGUAACUACAUUAUCGAACGGAGGGAGUAGCUCUUUCUCUCUCUCUCUGCUAUCUCUCACGGGCCUCCCCUCUCACUCGAACUCUCUAUACCGACGGAUUAUACACUCACUAUGUCAGCGUAUAGCUUUGUCUAUUAUUUAGUUGACCGGUCGACCGAUCCACAUGCUGCGUUGUUAGCUCGUGUUCUGUAUCUUGGUGUGCUGGUCCAUGUGGCAGUGGGUGAAAAUAAGUAAACUAGAGGCCCAUCUGACACGCGGUGAAGGAAACAAAGUUGAAACCACUCGGGGUAGCACCCUGCAUGCUAGUAAAUUGAGGGUGCAUUGAGGACAAACUUCUUGCGCGCGAAGGACGCACUCGCGCACAAUUCACCACUGUGCGGCGGCAUGCACAGAAGGACGCACUUGCGCACACCCAGCACACAACACACACCAGCACACGUGUACACCGGUGUCACCGCCGGUUGAGAUGGACGGCGAGGCAGCCAACAAGCGGAGGCCGCUCAAGCCAAAACCGCAUCCGGCGAGCCUGGAAUUCAUCGGCACCCCCCCCCCCCCGACGACAUGCUGCUCGUCAUCAUCGGCCUCCUCCCCACAAAAUCUGUCGUGCGGACCGCCCUGCUCUUCUAGCGGUGGCGCCCCCUCUAGCGCUGCGUCCCCCUCAACCUCACCGUCGAUAGCUACCUCUCCGAUGGGGAUUGCAACCGCAUGGCCGCAGUCUCCAAGAUCCUUUCAUCGCACCCUGGGCCAGCCAGACGCCUUGACAUCCGCAUGUUCAGUACCAACUUCAAGGUCCAACCCAAGUUCGACAAGUGGUUCUUAUCCCCCGCCCUAGAUUAGCUCGAGGAGCUCAGCUUUGAAGCUGGACGAUGUCGCUCUCUGCCGCGCUCCGCCUCACGCCAACGCUGCGCCGCGCCAGCUUCAGCUCCUGCUAUCUUCCCCAGAUUAAUGUCGCGCCCUCCCUUCUUCUCCCUCAACUCAAGCAGCUCGACCUCUUUGACGUUGUCAUCUCGAAGAAGGCUAUGGAGCACCUGCUCCGUAGCUGUACUGCGCUCGAGUAUCUUCGUCUUGAGCAUAUCCACGGGUUAAUUAGCCUCCACAUCGCCUCAACGAAUCUCCGAUGGAUUUAUGUGUCUCGCUGGCCCCGCAACAAGACAUCAAUUGGGAAGAGAUCACUCCAGCUGUUCCAUGUUAUGGUCAUUGAGAAUGCGCCUUUCCUUGAGAGAUUGCUUGUAUUGGAUCUAGAAGGUCCAACAAAAAUCAGGGUCAUUGACGCGCCGAACUUGACAGCGUUGGUGUACUCGUCCGCCAAAUUCUCCGAACUCUUUAUUGGAUCAGUAAUUGUUCAGGUACAUCACUCAUCUUCUUCUCCGUCUUCUUGAAAUUAACAUUCUUAAAUUUCUUCUUGAUGUAUUUACGACCGUCUUCCAGAAAAUGAUUCCCACAAGCAUGACCCAGUCCAUGCGCACAGUGAAGAUCCUAGCACUAAAAUCUACCGGCCCCAAUCUGGAUCAAGUUGUUGGAUUCCUUACAUGCUUUCCAUGCACGGAGAAGCUACUCAUCGAGGUGAAACUUCUUUCCUAUUAGUAAACGGUAAUCACAACGUAGCUCAAUUUUUUCAUAAUUUUCCCAAAUUACGAUGACAAGUGUAGUGUUCAAAACUACAUCUACGCACUGCACCGAAAGAAAUGUUUUUAGUAUUUUUCUCACGUGAUCACCUGGAUCAUUUUUAUGCUGUAGUACUAUAGUAGCCUAGGCUAGUCAUAGUGGAAAGUAACUUAGACUACUCCAGUAACUCUAUGGUUACCCUAAGGGCAAGUACUACCUCCGUCCUGUUUUACCUUCCAAUUUUGUAGUAUCAAAAUUUGACCAUAGAUUUAACUGACAAAAUUUUAAUGCAUGUCACUAAGAACUAUAUCGUUGAAUUGUAUUUGAACAUAAUUUCAAAUGGUGUAAUUUUUAGUGACAUACAUUGGCAUUUUCUUAGGUAAAUCUAUGGUCAAAAUAUUAUACUAAAUAUGAGGUAGUAUUCCCUCCGUCCCAAAAUUCUUGUCUUACAUUUGUAUAGAUACUGAUGUAUCUAACACUAAAAUGUAACUAGAUACAUCGGCAUUUAGACAAAUUUAAGACAAGAAUUUUGGGACGGAGGGAGUACAAAAGUGGGCUAUGUAGGCCAAAACAUGUGGAAAAUUCACUUCUGAUACAUUUGGCAUCGAUGCCCCUCAAUUGCUCACCUGGUGCUCCAAUCUGGAGCACCUACUUUGCUCCGGUGCCAAAUUAACUCACGCAAUGAAAAAACACUGCAUGGGAGAGAGAGAGGACUGAGGCAAUAAAAAACACUUGUUUGGGAGAGUGAGAGGCUGGUGUAGUUGGUUUGAUUGAUUUGUUUAUACAUGUGGGUCAAUGUGCACAGCGGUGCCAACUCUCUCACAUCGCAAGAGCGGUGCCAAAAUCUUUUGAUUUGACAUCGAUGCGUAUUAUGUGGCAUACUUUUGCGAAAUAUGGCCUCGGCCACAUAGGGGAAGGCAACAAAUGCCCAAUCUCUUCAUGUGCUCCUAGUUAAAUGAGAGGAAACAUAAACAGAGAGAGAGAGGAGGGGGGGGGGAGAGAGAGAGUGGAAAAAUAUCAAUAGCCAGCCAACCCUAUCGUAUGAGCGAAUGAUAUUGAUACCUCUUGAUGACACAACAAUCUUAUGCAGCCAACUGCUCUAAUAUGUUCUCUUCUUUUGCAGAUAAAAAAGACCCGAAAGUGAAAAAUGUGCUACACUAUAACAAUCUCAUCGAAUGCCUUGAUCUCCAUCUUACAGAAAUUGAUUUGAUCGACUACCGAGGCAGCACAGCUGAGAUUAAAUUGGCCAGGUUCUUUGUUCUGGAGGCAAGUGUGCUCAAGGUAAUGAGGUUUGGCAUUCUCUGGCGCAACAAUGAAUGGAAUGCUGAUCACCGCAAGCGUCUAAGCCUAAAUGACAAAGUUUCCGCAGAAGCUGAAUUUGUUUUUGAAACAUCAAGUGGCCAGAGACUCAAAAACUUAUUUGCCCAUUAGUGACUUGUCAGGGCGGUGGAUUUUAGUUUGUACGAUAACGCUGCAUCCACCUAAAGUAACGAAAGUUCUUACGUGAACUUCCUAGUAAUGCCCUCUUCCUAGGUGCAGCAUUACUCCUAACAUUUGUAAUAUCAGUUUGAAACUUGUAAUAUUGGCGUGUCCUAUUCCCGCGUUUUCAAAAUCCUGCGAAUCAAACAGGUCCUGAGUUGGUGAUGAUGUUGUGCCUCCCAUCUUUCACCAGUAGCCGUCAGAUCUAGAUUUGAUGCAUACAAACCAAGCUUCUCCACUUUUGCAAAAAGAUGCCCGCACUUGUUCCCUAUUUACAAAAAACUCCUUGUCUCUCACAAUCAGCCUUAUCUCCUCCCCACCACAUCUAGAAGGCCGUGGAAAAAUUUGGCGCUAUGGCCGCUGCCGGAGCAGUCCACCCCCAAUCUUAGUGUUCCGUGCAAUGCACGGGUAUCUACGCACGGGAAAUUAUGUCGAACAGGGCUAGUUGUAAGCAGGCUAGCUCUACAACCAUGAUGAUAGUGACUGCAAACAGUGAGGCUGACUAUGGUAUGCCGAACACGGCGCCUAUACUCAGGUGUCAUCUCCGGCACAAGGUCUUGUCAGUUCACUGUGAGGAGCAACACGUAAUAAUUUGACCAAUGGGUAGUACAGUGCUAGUACUCCUAGGAGUACUACAUUGGUAGUACUACUACUAGUACUAGUAGCACCACCGUCUGGAUUUAGGAGUACUACCACGUCCAUCUGGAUUUUAGUAUUUGACUAGCAAUAUCUAGUAAUGCAUGUCACAAAAAAUGUACUACUCCCUCUGUAAAUAAAUACAUGGUGUUUUAUUCCUAUCUGCGAGAGAACUUAAUGUUUUCUUGCUAACUAGAGUCUUAAUAGGAUUACAUGCAAUGAACUAAACACUGCAUGUCAUGUUUGGUAGUCUCAAUUCAUUGAAAGCAUGCACGGCCCACAUCUCUCAUUGGUUGAUAUGUCACGAAAUAAGAAACAAGGAGGGAGUUAAUGCACCGUGCCUAAGGGUUUUGGGAUUAUUUGGUUUUCGUAAUGUGACUUACACAACAUUUUUGUUUACAUGCAUUAAAAUUUUAUUAGUUAAAUCAAAGGUCAAAACUUGGCGCAAAAUGCAAAGGGGACCAAUAAACUAGUAAACAUCAAACUUCUCUCGUUUGGCCCCAACUAGAGGUCCGGUGAGAUGACUAUACUGCACCGACAUAUAGGGGGGCGUAGCUUCAUUGACUUACGGCAACUGCCUUUGGGUGAGUGACACGUGGGACCAGGGGGUUGCUGGCCCACCUAUCAUACAGCCAAAGGCAGGUGCAGUAGAGGGCCGAGGAGUAGUACGAAAUCCUACGCACCUAUGCACGCUAACCAAGGGCAAGAGUGAUCACUCGAAUUGCAAGAUCAGUUGACUAGUAGAAGCUAAGCUAGACCCAUGGAGGCGAUGAGCGUGAGCAUCAGCCGCCUGUGCCAGAUGGUCCACGAUGCCGGCCUGCGGCCCGGCAAUGAGGAACGUCUCCAGGUAGUAUUGCUUGAGGCCGGCAUGGUGAGGGGCCGCUUGGACGACAGCUUCGUCUCCUUGUUCAACGAGGUCCUCAUCGGUUUCCUCGACAAGUUCACCGUCGUGAAGAAGCUCGCGGACGACUAUGACGUAAGCCUUCAGCCGACGCGCCCAGGCUCUACGAUGCCCGGCACCCUCAACGGACACUAUGGUGACAACCUCUUCGACGCACUGGUGGCCCUGCGACUGCCUGCCGUCACACCGGAGAAUGUCCACCUUGAGGUCGCGCUCGCCGCGCAACGCCUGGUGUAGCAAGACACCAUGGACAUAAUCACCCACGUCUGCGCGCAUGCAAGAGGAUGACGAUAGGACGCUGGCCUUCUUGGACCGCAGUGCAACCUUGGACGCACUGUUCAGAAGCACGUUGAGCUCGCCGCCAACGCUGCUGCUCCUCACACGUCUUUUGGUGACCCGGCGCACUAGGGCGUGAGGAUGUCGUUGAUGGAUCCAUAUGUAUUUUUAUCUUUCCGUCAAAUCCAUGUAGUAGUAUAUGAUACUACAGUAAUUAUCUUAGCUUUUGCAUCAACUUCAUAAUUUUCGUACGUACUCCAUGCAUGAACGGCGCCAGAACCAAACUUCUCAUUACUCUAGGCAAAAUUGUUAUUUUCUAUCUAUCGAUCGCGCCAUGGAGCAGAACCAAAUUUUACAAGUUAUGAGUUCAAAAGGAAAAGCCUGUCGUGUUCGCGUCGCACCCCCACACGGUUGGUCUGGCACGCCGCUCAAGCGGGAAUGCGUGCGGUGUUGCAUUUUCACUUAAAAGUGGGACCGUAGUUGAGCAAACCGACUAUCGGCAAACCCCCACCCCGCCCACCGUGCGAUGGCUGAGAAAACACGAGGGAGAAGAGAUGGCUGUAGCACGGACUCCAAGAAAAUUGGUGUCGGAUGGGACUCGUGUGGGUGGCAUGUGCCGUAGUGCUAGACGUGAAUGCUAGUUAUGGCCCAUGCCACCCCACUAUAUCGAGCCUAUAUCGAGGUACAAUACAUAGAAUAAAUUUCCUGCAGUCCGUGCUCAGCACUCCUCUAUCUCUCUUCUCAGCCAGCCAGCGGACACGCGGAGCCCAUCGUCUGUUUGGUCACAUGCGGUCCCACAUGUCAGUGAAAACGCAAGCGGACCCACUGAACCUGCACAUCUUUCACCUCGACGUGCUGGUGAUGAAAAACAAAUCCAAGAAAGAUCUUCGGUGGCCGCUUUUGGAGUUACUCAAGAGUAGUAAGAUUCUAUUUACAAUUUAACCCAAGAUGCACAUAUCGUGGCUUCAACUUAUCAACUACCCCUCUAUUUUCUUUCAUGACAUGACCUGGAUGCUGGAUGUCCCACGUGUCGGCAAAAGGAGGAAGAACCGACCAAAUCUUCGGUUGUGCUCUCGGACUAGACUAGUUGUGCUAACUUAAAUUUUUUAUAGUGUACUCCCUCCGUUCCAAAAUACUUGACUUCCAUUUGUCCAAAAAUGGAUGUGCCUGUAUACUAAAACAUGUCUAGAUACGUAUAUAUUUUGAUAAAUAGAAGGCAUGUAUUGUGCAACGGAGGGAGUAGAAUGGAUGCAAGUUUUUGUAUUGGGAAGAAGAGUACAUCCAUAUAUUCAUAGAGCACAAUUUAGUAGAUGUUCUAUCACUUUUAGCUAGCACAGAGGCUAUAGAUGAGAUUAGUGCACUUGUUGAUACUCCUAUUUGGUAUGCGUGUUGCUGCUUAGACGUAGAGAAAAACGGACCAGAGGGAGUACUAGAAUAGAGGCUAGACAUGAGACUAGAUGCGAGGAAGCAACGUCUACUUCUUUACACUCGAAGAAGAAAGAAGCACGCAAGAUCGAGCCUCUGCAGAUCAACAAUGAAUGCAUCGAGAAGGCACUAAUCCAACUUACAGGAGUAGUAAAAUGUAUUCUUGUGGUUCUUGUUUUCUUUGGUCUUGCUUUUCUAGUUAAAAUUAUCGUUGGAGUUCGUGCAAAACGGAGGUCUUUUUGGGGUCGUGCGUUGCAGUUGGCCUUACAAGUGGGACCGCAGUUAAGGAAACCGACUAUCGGCAAAUCCCCACCUCGCCCGCCGCGCGAUGGCUGAGUUAGAGAAACGAUGAGGUUGAAGAGAUUGCUCUAGCACAGACUCCAAGAAAUAUGAUGUCAGAUGGAAGUCGUGCUGGUGGCGUGUGUCGUACUCCUGGACGUGAAUGCUUGUUCUGGCCCAUGCCACCCUACUACUCCUACUAGUUAGUACUAUAGGCCCUGUUUGGAUCAUGGGGUUAGAGCUAAUUUAGGUUAGUUGGGGGCUCAAAUAACCCAAAAGUAUCCAAACAGGGAGGGUUAGAGUGGGUUAGUUCCAUCUAACCCAACUAUCCCGAUGAAGAGGAGCUUAUUUGGGUUAGAGUGGGUUAGAAAAUAACUCUAACUCUAACUGUGUUAGAGUAUCCAAACAGGUAUAGUACUACUAGUAUCGAGGAUUCAAGGUGCUGGUUACGUAGUAUAGUAUGGCUAUAGUAAAAACACCCGCACGACGCGCAAAGCAUGUGAAGCUAGUACAAAUAGUGUACUACUAUUGUUGAUUGGCCCCAUCCGAUAACCUGUUGCAAUGCAAGUACAAUUUUGUAUUCGGAAAAUAUAUUUUUUGCCUCGUCGCACCACUCACUCAUAGAAGCAACUCAAAAGCCAUUCAUAAAUUUAGUAAGUUUCUCACAGGCCUAUCAUUUUAUUACAUACAACAGGUCAUCAACCCACAUCGACAAUGCAACAAAUAACAAGCAAUGAAAUGAACUUCAACUCAACCAUUCCUCGGUGUUGGAAACACUUGCUUUGAACCACAAGUGAUUCUCUCGGACGGGCCAUCCAUUGUCGAUCUGGAGACCAACGCAGGACUGAUCAUCCAGGCUGAAGCGGCCUACUAUAUCAGUACCAGGGUAGGGAACCAACCAAAUGUCCGAGGUAUAGACACAGUUGCUUCUCAUAAAUGGUAGUAACAUUGUGUCAACAAUAGUUGGAUCGCCUUUCACCAUCAUUGGAUAGUUUUGUCCAAGGAAGAGCGAGUUUUCUCCAAGACUAUCAAUUCUGUACCUGGGAGAAGGAGUUGGCGCUAGCACACUAGUAUCCAUCCCGAAUACCAUGCAACGGGUGUUGGAAUAGGUCUGGAGAGUGCGACCAUGGGAGACUACACCUGCUUCCUUAGCAGUAACAUCACCAGUGGGCUGUAUACACAUGAGAAGAGGUGAUCCAUCGGAAUUAGUUGCCAGGCGCCAAACAGUAUAUGGGCGCUGCUCGUCCUCAUGCUCGUGAUCAUCACCAUCAUCAUCUCCCCCUUGGUUAUAAAAAUCUUCAAGUAUAGGUGGUGGAAUGUUCACAGGACCUUGAAAACACAAGAAGAAGGUUAAUUAGUAAGGCUGGCCAUAGUGGGGGUAACAUAAGUAGUAUCAUGCACUUGGGACUCGCAAACAUGCUUAUGUGGCAGGCAAUUAAAGAGGAGAGAGAUGGUUAUAGUAACAUAGGUAGACACCGUAACAUAAUAAAUGUGAUGCUACAAUGUGUCAUGCAUGGCAAUAAAUGAGCCACCUAUGAUACUAAUCUAAGAUACUAUGCACUAUAGAGGUAGUAACAUAAACUAGUAACAUAUGCAUGUUACUAGUCUAAGUUACUCCCCACUAUGACCAGCCUUGCUAACCCGCAUGCAUGUGGAUGAAACAAUUAUAAUUACGGUGGAAGACAAACGUACCGAAACAACGAGGAUGCCAUGCAAAAACCGUGCCACGAGUGGUGGCAGCAAACACAAGGCCCUCGUAUUGAAUUGCAUCACAGUACUCAUCCGUGUACAGAAACUUGUUUUUGAGCAAUAUCCAUCCAGUCAAACCACUAACGACGGCAACAAGCUUGUCGAAAAUAGCAACAACUUCAUAGUUGUUGUAAUUCCAAGAGCGGUUGGGGACUCGAGAAAUUGCUAUCUUCCGUAGAAGACCGUCACCAUGAUUGUAGUUGAACGUGCGUACAAUAUCGGUGUGCUCAGCCUCUGGGCAGUCUGCUGAGAUUUUUGGAAGUGGAACCCGGUCACGAGUGUACACAUUCACAAGUUCCCACUCGCAGUUGGCCCCAAUGUAAACAACCCAAUCUCCAUUUGCACCUGCCCAAGCCUUUCCCUCAAGCGAUGGCAUCUUAACAUCAUACAUAUCAUUAUCAAGCGGCAUCAACUUGCACAGCGCGAGGCCUCCGUCGUGACGGUGCUAGUCAUCAGGGUCAUGGCGAAGAAGAUAGGGGAGAUCAAACCGCUCCUUGACUCUGGGGUUCCUUGUAAUGAUGUUAUUAGUUGAGUCGAGAAUGGGCUUGAACGAAUCUGCCAUGCUAGCCGAGGUGAUGACGUUGCACCAAUCAAUGAGUUCCUCCACCACGUCAUCUUUCAGAUCGGGGCAAGAAUAAUGGGGUCGUUUCCGUCCUGUUCCCUCCAUGGAGAAGACGAUCGAACAAUGGCAGAAGAAAGGGUGAACGGCUGAAGGAAAAUGGAGGAGGGAGAGGAAGAGCGUACGACAGCAGUUCCAAAUCGAGAGGGAAAGGCGAAUAGUCGGUGGACGGUUGCCAGUUUGCCACGGUUCACGAAGGGGCGCCCCGGCCUACACGUCGGUUCGGAAAUACUCCUACUACUCGCCGUUGUCUCACUGAUAUGUGGAACGGGACCACAUGUCAACGAGACAUGGUGUGUAAUUUCUCGUGAAAAAUGCGAUCUGGCCGCGUUGGCCCGAGGUGCCGCAUUAGUUAUCGGCCUUUAUUUUUUAAUGGCGCGCCGUUCAGUUUUGAAGCACGACUAACAGGUAUUGUACUCAGAGAAAAUAUAAACUACUCUACCACUACUCCUCCUCCAGUACUAGUAGUAUAAAGAAGAUAUAUAGGUUGGAGCUUCAGCGCUUUCUUGCCAAGGGCUGCCGACUUGCUUCUCACACUACCACCCUCUCUCCAGAUCUAAAAAAGACGGCCCCUCUCUCCCUCCACAACGGUGGUCACAGAUCCGCCGGGGAAGAAAAGGACGUGCAGCAUUGACACACUCAUCAUCGGCGAGCGAGGUCACGCACUGACGACAAGGCCGUCCUCUCAGAGCUAGCGCCCGCGCGGGAUCGCUGUCGUAGUGUGUGCGGAGGACAACGACCACGAGCGAAGCCAUUUCCCGCUGACCCUAAGGUUUGCUACCUCUUUUCGAACCAUACCCUUGUUCUAUUGCCCCAUCUGACACGUCAUUGCUUGUGGAUAUUUUUCCACUCCACCAUCUUCCCAAUUUGCUAUCCUCUGCUCUGCUGGCCACGCAGACGAAAACCAUAAUUUGCACUAUUAAAGGAAACCCUACUUCAUGCAGACUAAUGCAUGUCUGGGUUGAAUAAGGAAAGGAAGGAGACUGUAUUGUCCAAGAGAGUAGGCAUCAAACCAGCAUCUAGGUUGAAAAGGGGAAAAUCAGUAGCUAAGGAACAAGUCGCGUGUCUCUUGGUUGAAGAAGGGUAGAAAGGCAUGACAAUGCAGUAGAGAAUGACCAGGUCGAUCGGUUUGUUGUCCUCACAUAGGAAAAAGGUGGCUAAAGAGAACAAAAAUGGGACGUAAUCCACAUAUGCUUCCUGGAUAUUUGUUACUCUGGGCAACCAUACCUCCCUCACCACUCUGCGUCCAUGGAGGUACAUCAUACUGGUGCGCCCACUGUCCGAAUGGGCCUCCCAUGCUCUUAUUGCCACUUUUUUUGCUGUUAGUAUAACGCCAGCAGUCAAGUCAUGCAAUGCUACUGCUAAAGUGAUGCCACAUUUAACUAAUGCCGCUCUCAGUCUAAUGCCACAGAUAAAUUUAAGCAGUGCCAUUUAAUGUCACUGGAUCAUUUCAGGGUUAGUUGUUGAUUGUGGAUGUAUUAAAGAUUUUUCAGCUAAGGCAUUCUAAUGCUGUUGCACAGCCAGUAUACCAACGAUGAAACUUGUUACUGCCUUCAGAUUUUUGCACUGUUAAUGCUUAUAGAUUACAUACCUCACUUUCAUGAGAUAAGUUAAUUUUUUUGUAUAGUGUCACCAAAAUGGCAAGGCGCUGAUGUCAUUUUAUUUUGGUUAAACUACACAGACAAUUAUGAAGACAAGAGGAAAGGUCAAGAGUGGGCACCUCCUCCUCUGGUUGUUCUCUUGAUUAUCACGAGGAAAGAUCAAGUUUUUAUGUUUGAUCGAUUUUCAAGAUUGGGAUAGCAAUUUUUAAGGUCCCCCCUAGUUCGAAAUGAUAUAUACCUUGGAGGUACAUGGUUUGCAAUUUUUUUAUACUGUCAUUAGUUAAUAAUGCUAGUUACCUUCAGGCUUUUCUAUUUGGUUUAAUGCUCAUGCACAGCUAGUAUACCAAUGCUGAAACUUGUUACCUUUACAUUUUGUAUUGUUAGUUCUUAUAGAAACCUUCCAGUGCUAGAGUUUAUUGAAAUCUGUUCAGUAAAACCAUUGUAUUGUACCCUGUAAUAAACUAACUACUCUACUGUUGCACUAGCCACUGGAUGACUGUAUAUUUGUAGUAUUCGAAUGGUGUUGCAUUAGCGUAUGGACAUAAAUAAAGUGCGGCAAGAUUUCCCACAUAUGUGCUCAAGAAAACGACUACCUGUUUUUCUAAAUACUAGACGUUUGGGUACUUUGAAUUGAACCGCGAACAUGUCUUAUAUUAAGGAACAGAGGGUGUAGAAUUCACUCAAAUUAUCCCCGUAAAGCUAGUCACACCUUUGUUAAAAUUAAUGUUCAUUAUGUUAUCGGAGGAGGUCUGUAUGUUUGUCUCUAAUGCCUGUCUACUACAUACCCGGCAUCAUGAUGUAAUGUUAAGUCAUUUCCUUUUGUACAGUGUAACUAAAUUGUCAAGGUGGUGAUGGCAUUUUAUUUUAGUAGAACUGCACAAAAUUUGCUUAAAAGAAGAGGAAACGUCAGGAAUGGCUCAGUUUUUUAGAAAAAAAUAUGUAUGCCUUCCUGACAUUUGCCGUUGUUGAUUUAUUUAUUCCUUCGAACAGGUGGUUAGAAAUAGUCUUGCUACCUUUUCCCAUUAAGAAAUUGGAAUGCUUAUAUUUGUGAGUCUAUGCUUCAACUAGUGCCACUUUUAUAGUAAUCACACUUUCAAUAUCUAUGCAAACAGGGAUGCUCGAUUUUAGUGGAGCUGCACAAAAAGUCCAACUGGUUCAACAUUAGGAGCAUGUUUUUUUCCAAACCUUUAUAUCCAAUUGGUGGCACUAUGAGCUGUUCAUUACGAAAGUACAUGGUUUGCUACUAUCUUGCUACUCUUUUUGUACUGUCAUUAGAUAGUAAUACUAGUGGUUUGCAUGUGAAUUUAUUGGCAGGGUGGACCUACAUUGGAGGUGCAGGACAGGAUUCAAAAUUUGGAUGCUCAAUUUCGGUUGUAUCGAUUUUACCUCUUCCAUCACUGCGAACAUGGUGUGGUAUUUGUUUACUAGCUACUUGAUAUUUGUGCAGACAGAGAUGUCUGCCCGUUGCUAUUUGGGAAACAAACAAAGUGUCCGCAAUUUGGUUGAACUGCACAAGAGAAUAGCAUAGUCGCUGCAUGCAGUGCCAUUUUAAAAUAGAUACAAAGAUUGGAUAGUCACUUCAUGGACUGCAGAAAAGUAGUACUGUACUAUUUACUAGCCAACAGUUGUGCUUCAUUGCUUUGGUCUGAUUAUACAAUGGGCAUCAUUUUCCCUAAGUUAAAGUUUGUAUUCUGAAAAUAGUAUCGCGGUGUGAUCGAGAGAAGACCAAAUCAUAUGUGGAUGUUCCUCCAUCAUGUGUGGUUCAUUCUCAUGGUUCCAGCUGUUGGUGAAACCACUUACGUUUGCAAGAGGAAUUGUAGACUUCACAAACAAAUUUGUUUUUCAGUCUGUACUGAAUGUUGGCCAAGAGAAGCAUCCAUGUUAGUAGGAAGAACAAAUGUUUUUUCUAGAUCUUUGCUUUUGGAGCUACAUAUUUGUAUAUGAUCUGUGAAUCAUUGAGAUGCAUUAACAUGUUGAUCUUAUGUAUGGGAAUCGUACUAGUUAGUUUUAGUUGCGACGCAUGAUCCGAGCUGGCUGAUCUUUGCUUUUGGAGCUACAUAGUUGUAUAUGAUCUAUGAAUCAUUGAGAUGCAUUAACAGUUACUUAUUUCUGUCCGCUCAGUGUUUACAAGUUACUGAUCGAUCAUUAGCUAGCCUACAAAUGCGCACCUGGCAGUUUUAUUUGCGACGCAAGAUGCGAAGUGGAAGUUUUUUGAAUAAAAAUGCCUACCUCUGAAGAAACUGACAAGCUACACUAUCAAUCCUACACGGAUAAAAUGCCUACCUCUGAAGAAACUGACAAGCUACACUAUCGAUCCUACACGGAUAAAUAGCGUAUCACGCACGUACUACCUCCUUUCCGGUUUGCAGGGCUCAAUUCAAGAAACGACCUACUCGAUCCUACACGAAUAAAUAGCGGAUCACACACGUACUAGUACCUCCUUUCCGGUUUGCAGGGCUUAAUUCAAACCUCUCACCAACCAAGGUACUCCCUCCGUCCGGGUUUAUUAGUCCCGUGAGCAAAGCAGCAAGACCAAGGCAUGGCAAUAAUUAACGGCAUGCAGAAGUUUAUGCCUAAUUAAUUUCCAACGAUUUAAGUGGCUGCAUACGUGCCCUCAACUGCGACUUGUUGCAUGCUGCUUCGCGUACUGCCUGCGAGCGAUUCUGAGUGCCUGCAUGCAGCUGGCCAUAAUUAAGGCAGCUAACUGAUGUGAAAAAAGAUACGCUUUAAUUGUUGCGGGCUUUUUCAAUCUGUGAAAUCAUUAUUGACAAGGAGGGAGAUGAUUCGAGUGCACUCGUUUGACCGCCAUGCCGGUGUGCGACCCAGACGGGACGGGACGGCAUAGUCAUAAUUUCAGUUUCCCUUGUUUUCCACAGCAAGCUGGCUCGCUAAGCCAUUAUGCAUUGAAUUCCGAUGACCGUCGCGCUACCUUCUCCCUAUAAGUACUGUUUCCCGGCAUUCUCCAGUGCCAACAUGACCCAACUCGCCAUAUCCUCAUAAGCCCCCACCAUCCCGACAUCGCUUGCCACGUCCGCCAUGCCCCUGCCCGUCCGCGGUAGGCGACGUAGGAGGCGGUCAUCGCCGGAACUAGUGUUCGGUUUUUCACCUGAAGGCAGACAGAGUCAGGAGGCAUUCUAUAUGUCUUUAGAUGGCAAUGCGCAGAUCGAGGAGUUGUUGGAGCGCGACCACAUGGCGGAGGAGCAGGAGUUGUUGGAGCGCGACCGCCUGGCGGGGGAGCAGCGUAACGCCGAUUUGCGCCGCCAGCGGGACAUGGAGCAGCAGCGCACCGACGCCCUGAGUCGCGAGGAGAGCGCCCGCAACUGGGCCUACUACGUGGAGGUCGGCACCCGGCAAAUAGCCCUGGAGGCUGUCGGGCACGCACCCGUUCGCGAUGCCGAUUUUUACUACCAGCUCGUCAAGUGGGUUUCCCGCUUGGAUGCCGAAGCUUCGGUGGACCACGCCGGCAUGGAAAGGGCCAACGCGCGCGAGCAACACACCCUAUCGCACCUCUGGCAAGUCUGAGGCGAGGCGCAGGAUGCCGGUGCCGGUGUUUAGCGUGUACGGCCGGCAUCGUCUGGUUAGCUAAGAGUAAGUUAGUACUUGUCUAGUGGGAGUAGAUAGUUAACUUGGCUAUGAUGGUUGUCAACGUGGAAGUUCAGUACUCUAUAUGUGGAUCAAACGUGUUACUUUGCUCUGAAUGUUGAAAUUUCCGUUUGAACGUAUGGAAUGGGUUGUUAUUUUUUUAAAUGGGUUGUACUUGUCCUCCACGGGUUUAGAGGCUGACUUGUGGGCCUAGCAAGUUGAUGCGUACACAAUCAGGAGAAGAUUGUACGUGGAGAGGAUGACAGCAGGGAGGUCAUGGCAGUACACAAGCAAGUGCCUCCUUAUUUCAAGCCAAUAAAAAAAUGGCUCCUCCUAGUGGAUUUCUGACAUCUGGGUCCCAUGCCAUUGUCAAUGUAGUCAAUAAACGAGAGAAUUUCACAACCAGCGGCUGACACCAGGGACACAACAGCUCGCCCAGUUAUUUUUGUUUUGGGUUAAUUUGAUAAAUGCCUCCGAGAAAUGCCACUGAAAUUUCCAAACUUUGAAAAAUGCCAUUUCAUGCCAUUUCUAGUGGAAUUUUUUGAAGUCUAGAGUGGCGUUUUUCAAAGUUUGCAAACUGUAGUGGCGUUUUUCAAAGUUUGCAAAAAUUCUAGUGGCAUUUUUCAAAGUUUGGAAAUUGCAGUGGCAUUUUUUAUGAAUUGCCAUAAUUGGAGUGGCAUUUAUCUAAUAUGUUUUUGAGACGGAAGCAGGGUAUCAACUGGGCUGUGCGGGACACUCUGGCCUGUCUAGACAGCCUUUUCUUUUAUGUUUACCACAUACCAGCCCAGUAGUUUUUUUUCUUUUUGAAAAUGGCUAGCCUAGUUUUUUUGUGAUUUGUCAAGUAAGUCACUGUAUCAGGCCUGUUGGGCUAGACGAGGAGAGCUUCAUUCGGCUGGCGGAGAAAAUGGCCUAUCAGUAAUGAGAAAUGGGCUGUAAAUUUUAAAACACAUCAAACCAGCAAUUAGUUUCAAAUAUCUUUUUUUCAUUUCGAGAUUUUAAAUUGCAUUGAUAUUUAUGCGUGGAUGAUUUAUUGGAUUUUAUAUUGAUAUACAUUUAUUUUUAAAAUCAGUCUGAAUGUGACUCGAAAUUUCCGGAAUAAAAACAAUUCAGACCGCACCAACAUAUGCAAAAUUUCGUAUAAUUUUUUAACCGUGGCCACAAUAUGGGAUGUAAUGCUACCAAAAAGAAUAUGCGCUCCAAAAAACCAUAAGAAUUAGCAAAUGGGCUGUAAACUAUUUGAAAUAAUGGCAGAUGGGCUGUAUGCUGUUUUCCACAGAUUUGAGGCUUUCCACAGAUGGCCUGUAUACUGUUGGAUGUCCAUCCAACGGCCGUCGUGCUUCUUCAAUCUCUUCUCUUCCUGCUCCAGCCGCUCAAACAAGCGCCGGCGGGACUGCCUGCUCCCUCCUCCCCGCGGAUGGCUGUGCUGCCGCGCAGGCCUCACCGCCCCACCGUACUCCCAUCGCUGGCUUAGCUAUCCCUCUACUCACCAUCAGUCCCACACAUGUUGUUAUUCUCCGGCGACGGCAGACGAACCAGUAAACCCUCGUGUACUCCUCCGCGUGGGAAAUAACUGCCGAGUAUUCCCUAGCUCCGUGUCGUUCCCUUCCUAGGCCUCUCCGUCGUCCACUACCCUGGUGCUCUCGGCGCAGCCUGGUCAACGUGGUCAAUGAACGACAUCCAUCGGAAGUGGACUGUACUUGGAGAGGCUGACAGCUGGGUCCACAACCGCACGCAAGGAAAUGCCUCCUUAUUACGCGCAAAAUAAUGAUUCCUCCACCUGACAUCUGGAACCCACCGAAAGGGCCUCUGUAUUUCGUGAAAAAAAUGUUACCGCCGCUGACAGCUCGGACCCACCAGCUAUAUCUUUGCACGCAAGGAAGUGCCUCCUUAUUACGCCCAAAAAAAGAAUACUCCCCCUGCUAGCUGGGACCCAGUAGUGGGCCUACUAAGUGGAUGGGGACGAAGGGAUUUUUCAACUUAGUCAAUAUGCACGAUUCUAGCUCGACUGACCAUACGAUGUCCAUCCAACGGCCGUAGUGCUUCUUCAACCUCUGGUCUUCUUGCUCCAGCCGCCCAAAGCAGCGCCGGUCGUGCCACCUACUCCUGCCUCCCGUGGCCGGGUGUGCUGCCGCGGAGGCCUCACCGCCCCCAUACUACUCCCAGCGCUAGCCAGGCCAUCCCUCCACUCCACUCACCCACACCCCCUAUUAUUCUGCAGCGACGGCAGUGCAACCGAACCAGUGAACCCUCGUACUCCUCUCCGCGUGGGCAUCCACUACCGCAUCUUCCCCGGCUCUGCGUCGUCCCCUUCCUAGGCCUCGCCGUCAUCCACCGCCGUGGUGCUCUUGGUGCAGCGUGGUCAAUGUGGUCAACGACCGAAUUCCAUCGGAAGAAUACUGUACGUGGAGAGGCUGACAGCUGGGUCCACGGCAGCCGCAAGGAAGUGCCUCCUUAUUACGCGGAAAAUAAUUAUUCCUCCACCUGAUAGAAGGGAUCCACCGGACGGGCCACCAGUAUUUCGUGAAAAAACGUUUGUCCCUGACUGCUGAGACCCACCCGACGGGCCACCGUAUUUCACGAAAAAAACGUUCCCACUGCUGUCAGCUCGGACCCACCGGAAGUGCCUCCUUAUUACACACAAAAAAAGGAAUACCCCCCCCAGCUAGCUGGGACCCACCUUGGUGGGAGGCUGACUUGUGGGCCUACUAAGUUGACGGGGAUGGAGGGCUUUCUCAACUUAGUCAAUAUAAACGAUUCUAGCUCCAGGGACCAUAUGAUGUCCAUCCAAUGGCCGUAGUGCUACUUCAACCUCUAGUCUUCUUGCUCCAGCCGCCCAAAGCAGCGUCGGUCGUGCCGCAUGCUCCUGCCUCCCGUGGCCGGAUGUGCUGCCGCGGAGGCCUCACCGCCCCCUACUAUUCCCACCGCUGGCCAGGCCCUGCGGCGAGGGCAGCCUAACACCACUGCCGAACCAGUGAACCCUCGUACUCCUCUCGGCGCGGGCUUCCACUGCCGCGUCUUCCUCGGCUCCCCAUCGUCCCCUUCCCAGGCCUCGCCGUCGUCCACCGCCCUGGUGCUCUCGGCGCGGCGUGGUCAACGUGGUCAAGGAAUGGCUUCCAUCGGACGUGGACUGUACGUGGAGAGGCUGACAGCUGGGUCCACGACCACAGCAAGGAAGUGCCUCCUUAUUACGCGCAAAAUAAUUAUUCCUCCACCUCACAGCGGGGACCCACUGGGCGGGCCACCGUAUUUAGCGAAAAAACGUUUCCUCCUGUCUGCUGGGACCCACCAAUUACAUCUUCGCACACAAGGAAGUGCGUCCGAAAAAAAAAGAUUCGCCCCCUGACUGCUGGGACCCACCAGCUACAUCAUCACACGCAAGGAAGUGCCUGACAGCCGGGACCCACCUGGUCGAAGCGUACGUAGCGUUGUCAUUCUGGUAGCGAACGUGUACAUACAUAUAUACUGGUGGAUGUAGAGGCGCGCACGUGUCGUGGUAGAUGCGCGCACGUAGCAUGUACACGUACGUACAGCGGCGAGGGUGCAAGAAAGAAAAAACGGCCACGUGCGUACAUACGGGCAGGAUCUCUAAUGCCUAUCGCGCAUACGUACAUGGCUGGGUCGGAACGGAGAAACAGCGUCAUCGUCGUGUUCAUGGGGAGCCAACCGGCUGGGUCGGAAUGGAAUGCGUGGUCGUGUUCAUCUGGAGGGCUUGGACGGAACAGGCGAUGGAAAAGAGGCCUGGCGUACCGCACAACGGAGGAAACGACCUUGUGUUCAACCGGCCACGUUCGAAACGGGGUCCUGUUGAUCGGGAGGGGCCUGGCGUACCGCAAAACGGAGGAAACGGACCUCCUACAUUCAAAACAGGGGUCCUGUUCAUCGGGAGGGGAGUGGCGUAGCGCAAAACGGACAAAACGGACUUGUGUUGGAGCGCUACGGUCGAAACGGGGGUCCUGUUCAUCGAGAGGGGUGUGGCAUACCGCAAAACGGNNNNNNNNNNNNNNNNNNNNNNNNNNNNNNNNNNNNNNNNNNNNNNNNNNNNNNNNNNNNNNNNNNNNNNNNNNNNNNNNNNNNNNNNNNNNNNNNNNNNNNNNNNNNNNNNNNNNNNNNNNNNNNNNNNNNNNNNNNNNNNNNNNNNNNNNNNNNNNNNNNNNNNNNNNNNNNNNNNNNNNNNNNNNNNNNNNNNNNNNNNNNNNNNNNNNNNNNNNNNNNNNNNNNNNNNNNNNNNNNNNNNNNNNNNNNNNNNNNNNNNNNNNNNNNNNNNNNNNNNNNNNNNNNNNNNNNNNNNNNNNNNNNNNNNNNNNNNNNNNNNNNNNNNNNNNNNNNNNNNNNNNNNNNNNNNNNNNNNNNNNNNNNNNNNNNNNNNNNNNNNNNNNNNNNNNNNNNNNNNNNNNNNNNNNNNNNNNNNNNNNNNNNNNNNNNNNNNNNNNNNNNNNNNNNNNNNNNNNNNNNNNNNNNNNNNNNNNNNNNNNNNNNNNNNNNNNNNNNNNNNNNNNNNNNNNNNNNNNNNNNNNNCCCGGAGGCAGCAUCAAUCGGCUUCAGUUAGCAGUAGUAGCGAAGGAAUCGCUCCAUCGGGUUUAGUUAAUAGCCAUCGAUCGAUCGCUCGGGUCCAGUAACGCGUAGCCUGCAGUGCAAUCGCUCGGGUUCAGUUAGAGCCCAAUGCCUCGCUCGGCUUCAGUUAGAGGCAACUCCUCGCACACACGCGUGUACGUACGAGAGAAACGUGCAUCGCUCCGCCCUCGACCUCCAACCGUAACCGGCAACUCCCCGAAAUUUUCCUCCCCCUCACUUCUACCACGAUUUUUUCUGUCAUGGACAUCCCAAAGAAUGUCAUGCAGCUGCGUCUCCGGCCCGCCCAAGACGAAAAGCCCAUAGUUUGUCAUAAUUUUUUGUCAUAGAAGUAGGAGCCCACCACAUCUAUGAUGAUACCGGGUUUUUUCACAAUUAUCAUCAUAGAAGUGUCAUAUGUAUGACAGGAAAAAAAUUCGUUCGGCCCAAAAUGUCACGGAUGUGUCUUUUUUUUGUAGUGAUUGGGUGUGUGGGGGACAUAAGAGACUCUUUGUUAUUUGGUUGCAGGGUUGUUUGAGAGAGACCAUCUUCAUCCUACGCCUCCAACGGAUUGAUAAACCUUAGGUCAUCCACCUGAGGGAAAUUUGCUACUGUCCUACAAACCUCUGCACUUGGAGGCCCAACAACGUCUACAAGAAGAAGGUUGUGUAGUAGACAUCAAGCUCUUUUCUGGCGCCGUUGCCGGGGAGGUGAGUGCUUGAAGGUAUAUCUUUAAAUCUUGCAAUCGAAUCUAUUUGUUUCUUGUUUUAUCACUAGUUUAGUUUAUAAAAGAAAACUAUAAAAAAUGGAUUUGAGUUUGUCUCAUAUCUUCCGUGAGAAUGAUGGGAAGGAAAAUUGUGCUCAAGUGCUAGAAGAAGAAUGCAUUAAAAUGCUUGGUACUAAAUCUUUGAAUGAUGAGCAUAUUUGCAAUGUUGUUAGUAUGAACUCUUUGAAUAUCCAUACUCCAUAGUACUAAUGAUGAUUGUAGUAGUUAUGAUGAAAAUAUCUCUUAUAAGCAUGUCCUUUUUUUUGGAGUUGAUUGGGUUUGCAUGUACACACCAAAUAGGGAAAAUAGAUAUUGCAAGAGGCAUAAGUAUUUAGAAACUAAAGGGUUGCAAGAAAGGCUUAAUGUUAGUGCUAAAAAUUGAAGAUAUUUUCACCGUACUUGUGAACUUUGCAAUGAACAUGGUCAUUUAAAUCUUCGAUGCAAAUUAUUUCAUGAUCGAAUCAUGUCCAAAAAUUGUGAUGAAUUGAUUUCCCUUGCGCAUCAUAAUGAACUUAGUUUGCUUUUGGGUUAUGAAGAAUUGAAACGUGCAACUAAGCUUAUUCCAUAAUUUAAUCUUGAGAAUUUCCAUGAUAUUGACCUAGAGGAAAUUUAUAUGUAUUGUGCGGUGAAUUGCAUUGAAAAUCCUUAUAUUGCCAAUUACCUAAAGAAUAGAAAGCAAAUAGAAGAUGAAGAGAAUGCUAAUGAAAGGGAAGAGACUUCCCAAUAUCCUCCUAUUAUUUCUUAUGAUGAAUGCGGUAACGAGGAGGAGCUUUCUAUUCAACCAAUCUCAUCAAUAAGGAGCUCAAAAAAGAGGGAUAAGCUAUACUAUAACAUGUUGUGAAGAAGAAAAAGAAACGAAGGAGCAACAUAGGUAAAAAGGUAUCUAUCUCAAAUGAUGUUGCUCCUACUACUCAUUGUGAUGAUCAUAAUUGCCAUACUAUUGGUGCUAUCCAUACUAUUAAUGAUGAGAGUGAUUAUGCUUAUGAUAUGAAAAGGCCCAAGCUUGGGGAAGCUAUGUUUGAUGAGUAUGACAUAUUUGAGACUAUAUUUGCUGAAAUUAUUGUUUGUCCCUAGCUUGGGGAUGCUAUGUUUAAUGAAGAUGAUAUUUUCAGCAUCCCAAGUUUUGAUAUGCAAAGUUGUUAUGAUGAUAGCAUGCCUCUUACUUAUGAUUAUAUUGAUGAAAGUGGGUUUGGAAGAGUGUCAACUUUAGGAAGUAAUGAUCCCACUAUUUUGGAGGAUGUUGAAUCUUAUUGUGAUGAAUAUGAAAGUGGAUUUGGAAGAGUGUCAACUUUAUUUAGUGAUGAUUCCACUAUCUUGGAAGAGGUUUCAAUCGAUUAUGAUGAGAACCAAGUUGCUACUUAUGAUGAUUAUUGUGAUGAAACUUAUGCUAUAACAAGUAGUGAUGAUUAUAUUUAUAAAACUUGUCAUGAUUAUGAUUACCCUUUCUCUGAACAUUACUCUUUUAAUGUGUAAUCAAUUUAUAGUAUUCAAGUCUCUUAUGAUACUCCCACCAUUCUGAAUGAGAAGAAUUUUGCUUAUGUGGAGAGAAAUAAAUUUUGUAUGCUUGUAGAUCAUGAAAAGAAUGCUUUAGGUGCUGAUUAUAUUGUUGAAUUCAUUCAUGAUGCUACUGAAAAUUAUUAUGAUGGUGGAAAAUAUGCUUGUUGGAAUUGCAAUAAUAUCAAGUAUCCUCUCUAUGUGCUUAAAAUUUUGAAGUUAUGCUUGUUUUGCCUUCCUAUGCUAGUUGAUUAUUGUUCCCAUAACUUGUUUGCUCACAAAAUCCCUAUGCAUAGUUGAUUAUUCUUCAUGAUGCUCUCUUUAUGUUUCAAUUCUUAUCUUUUAUGUGAGGACCAUUGUCAUCAUCAUGCCUAGCUAAGGGCGUUAAACGAUAGCGCUUGUUGGGAGGCAACCCAACUUUAUUUAUUUCCUUGCUUUUUAUUCCUGUUUAGUAAUAAAUAAUUCAUCUAGCCUCUGGUUAGAUUUGGUUUUAUGUUUUAAUUAGUGUUUGUGCCAAGUAGAACCUUUGGGAAGACUUGGGUGAAGUCUUUAUGAUCUUGCUAUAAAAAAACAGAAACUUUUGUGCUCACGAGAUUAGCUGCCAUUUUUUUACUGGAGAGUGAUUUUAGGUUGAUUAUUUUUGCAGAUGUUUAAUAGACAAAUUCCUCAGGUCCACCAAUUUAUUUCAGAAUUUUUUGAGUUACAGAAGUAUUCAAAUGAUACAGAUUACUACAGACUGUUACAUUUUUGACAGAUUCUGUUUUCAUUGUGUUGUUUGCUUAUUUUGAUGAAUAUAUGAGUAGUAUCGGAGGGUAUGAACCACACAGAAGUUGGAAUACGGUAGAUAUUACACCAAUAUGAAUUUAGAAUGAGUUCACAACAGUACCUAAGUGGUGAUUUAUUUUCUUAUACUAACGGAGCUUACGAGUUUUGUUUUGAGUUUUGUGUUGUGAAGUUUUCAAGUUUUGGGUGAAGAUUCGAUGGACUAUGGAAUAAGGAGUGGAAAUAGCCUAAGAUUGGGGAUGCUCAAGGCACACCAAGGUAAUAUUCAAGUUCAUCGGUAACUUUACUUAGAGCUAUAUUUUUAUUCACCACAUGAUAUGUGUUUUGCUUGGAGCGUCAUUUUAUUUUGUUAGUAUUUGCUUGCUGUAAUUUAGUGUAAUCUUUUGCAUCUCUAGUUUCAAUAAAAAUGUCAAGGAUAGCCUUUACCAUGCUUAUUUUGCUAGUAUACAUGUUGCUGUUUGAAAACAGAAAGUUUACCGUUGUUGCAAAAAUUCCGUAGAAAAGUCAGAGAGGGAUAUAAUGUUGAAUCUUUUUGAAUAUUGAGAUCUGAUAAGUCUUCUACAGCAUAGUAUUUUUCUCAUAAUUUUUGGAGUUAGGGAAGUAUGAUCAAUCUGGCAUUCUUUACAGAUUAUACUGUUUUGGCAGAUUGCUGUUAUGUUUGCAUGUGUUUGCUUGUUUAAUGAUUCUAUUAGAGGAUAGGAGUAUUAAAUAUGCAGAGACAUAUAGUAUGCAAUGUUGAAUAAUAAUCUUAGUGAUUUGCUACAGUACAAAAUGAUAAGGCUUUUGCACUGAUUUAUACUAACUUAUCUCACGAGUUCUUGUUGAGUUUGGUGUGGAUUAAGCUUUCGAGAUUUAGGAAAUCGAGGUAUAAAAGGAAUUAAGGAGACACAAAAGCUCAAUCUUGGGGAUGCCCAAGGCACCCCAAGAUAAUAUUUCAAGAAGUCUCAAGCAUCUAAGCUUGGGGAUGCCCCGUUAGGCAUCCCACCUUUCUUAUUCAACAACUAUUGGUUACUAUCGGUUCAACCUAAGUUUUUGCUUCUUCACAUGAGUUGUGCUAUCCUUGCAAUAUCAUUUUAUUUUGUUUUGCUUGCUGUUUGAAUAAAAUACCAAGAUCUGAAAUUCUUAAAUGAGAGAGAGGCUUCAUAUAGCUACAUAAUUAUUUAACUACUCAUUGAUCUUCACUUAAUCUUUUUGGAGUAGUUUGUCAUUUACUCGUGUGCUUGACUUAUAUCUUUUGAGCCAGAUAACUUUUGCUCUAGUGCUUCACUUAUAUCUUUUAAAGCAUAGUGGUGGCUUAAUUUUGAAAAAAUUGUUGAUCUCUCAUGCUUCACUUAUAUUAUUUUGAGAGUCUUUUAGAACAGCAUGGUAUUUGCUAUGGUUAUAAAAUUGGUCCUAGAAUGAUGAGCAUCCAACUUGAGUAUAAUAAAAACUAUCAUAGAAAGUGCAUUAAACACUAGGAUCAAUUUGAUGCUUGAUAAUUGUUUUGAGAUAUAAAGGUGGUAAUGUUAGAAUCAUGCUAGUGGGUAAUUAUGAAAUUGAGAAAUACUUGUGUUGAAGUUGGCAAGUCUCGUAGCAUGCACGUAUGGUAAAAGUUGUGUGACAAAUUUGUUACAUGAGGUAAUCUUUUGAUUGUCUUCCUUAUGAGUGGCAGUCGGGGACGAGCGAUGGUCUUUUCCUACCAAUCUAUCCCUCUAGGAGCAUGCGUAGUAGUACUUAUCUUCGAGGGAUAAGUAGACUUUUGCAAUAAGUAUAUGAGUUCUUUAUGACUAAUGUGAGUCCAUGGAUAUACACACACUCACCCUUCCACUUUGCUAGCCUCUAUUGUGCCGCGAAAAUUUCGCCAGUAUCAUGCACCCAUAAUUUACCUUCCUCAAAACAGCCACCAUACCUACCUAUUAUGGCAUUUCCAUAGCCAUUCCGAGAUAUAUUGCCAUGCAACUUUCCACCAUUCCGUUAUUAUGACACGCUCCAUCAUUGUCAUAUUGCUCUUUGCAUGAUCAUGUAGUCGACAUUAUAUUUGUGGCAAGGCCACACUCAUAAUUUUCAUACAUAUAACUCUUGAUUCAUUGCAUAUCCCGGUACACCGCCGGAGGCAUUCAUAUAGAGUUAUAUUUUGUUCUAAGUGUUGAGUUGUAAUUCUCGAGUUGUAAAUUAAUAAAAGCGUGAUGAUCUUCAUUAUUAGAGCAUUGUCCCAAGUGAGGAAAGGAUGAUGAAGACUAUGAUUCCCCCACAAGUCGGGAUGAGACUUCGGACUUUAUAAAAAUAAAAGAGGCGAAAUAAGCCCAUAAAAAAAGAGGCCUAGGAAGCCCACCAAAUAAAAAAAGAAGGAAAAAAAGGAGAAAAAAGAAAAGAAAAAGAGAAAAGAAAAAAUGAAAAGAGAGAAAAGAGAGAAGGGACAAUGCUACUAUCUCUUUUCCACACUUGUGCUUCAAAAUAGCACCAUGAUCCUCAUGAUAGAGUCUCUUGUGCUGUUACUUUAAUAUACUAGUGGGAAUUUUUCAUUAUAGAACAUGGCUUGUAUAUUCCAAUGAUGGGUUUCCUCAAAAUGCCCUAGGUCUUCGUGAGCAAGCAAGUUGGAUGCACACCCACUUAGUUUCCUUUGUUGAGCUUUCAUACAUUCACUACUAGGGAAAAGGCUAGCAGCAGCGCGGGUUUUAGAUGUAUCAGUAGUGCGGGGAUAGGCGCUACUAAUAAGGCGCUACAGCUAACAGAUAGCAGUAGCGUGUGCUCACCGGCGCUACUGCUACAGAAGUGUAGCAGCAGCGCUGUUAGCGAAAUCUCGCUACUGCUAGUAGCUCUAGCGCGCUUUACCUUGACGCGCUACUACUAUCGCGGCGCUGCUGCUAACUUUUAUACACUCGCUAAUGCUAAUUUAAGUAGGUUUUUUUGCAUAUUUGUUUUGUAUUUGAACAGGCUUUAUAGAAGAAUCUUUAGCACAUAGAAAUGUCAUCAUGAUACACAUACAAAUGCCUGCGAGACCACAAAUGUAAUCAUAGCCUGUACAUACAAAUAGUCUCAUCAUAAUCAUCAUCCAACACAAAGUGAUAUCUUGUCAUCAUCUCGAAAAUAGCGAUACAUGCAAGUCUCGAAUACUUGCAACUACAACAACGUCAUCCAUCUAAACAAAGGUAUACGCAAGAAGUGCUAUCACUAUGAGUGAGAGCGGAACUAUGCAGUACAUGAGGUCGCGGUUACGAGUCCUCUCUCGCACUAGCGUGAACCUCAAUUAACUAGCUUCUCCUUCUUGUCUGCGUUUGAAGCCUUUAUGGCUGGCGCCCGUUAACCCAUUCACUUGUGCCUGACACUCAUGCCACUCGUUGUACACCCCCGAAACCUUCCCUUUGUACAUGACAUAGCGAUUCCAUCUCGCCAUCAAGAAACUAGGUACCUGUUAGAGAUGCAUGUUCAUGAAGAGGAUGUACAAUCAUAUAUAUGCAACAAAAUAUACUAGAGCAACACCGAAAAAGAAAGGGUUAGCAACUAGAUGCAACAUACAGUACGCAAAUUAAUUAACUAGAGGUACGCAGGUCAUCGUACGCAAACUAACAAAAUAGCAUUACGCAAGUUCGGCAUGGACCGUGGACAUCACAAAGUUUCAUCGCUACAAAAAGUAUACAAGUUCAACUGACACAUAUCAUCAUCAUUGGCAUCAUAAAUCACUAGAAGUUCCAUCCUUCCAUAUCAUCAAGGACGAACCCUAGCUUCUUGAACGGCGUGAGGUCUAGACGUUGCAUGCCUAUGCGAGUUCGGACAUCAGCUCGCGAUAUAGGGCCGUGAUGGAACAUCCCCUUCUCAUCGAGGACUUCUUUCAUGAUGAUCGUCGCAAUGUCGCUUUGGAUGCGAAAGAAGUCAUCUCUAAGUUUAUAAUCCGCUUCUCCAUGAGAUUCUAGCCACUUGUGGAUACGAUCAUCAUUUCUACUGUUAAUGCGAAGCUUUUGGUGAUCCGUGUUGAACUGAAUCAUGAGAUGGACGAUGUAGAAUCCAUCCUUCCUGCUUGUUUUUGGGACAUGGAUGCAGGAGAAGUUAGUUUUAUGCGCGAAACCCAUCUUCUUGUUCCUUUGUUUUCUUGAUCUGCACAUGGCCACCUCUAAAGCUGAAGCCUUGGAGAGCAUCAUCUAGAAUAUUCAUUAUGUGAGUGUAGUCUUUUUUCUCGUAGUCUCAGGAAGGGUCAAAAUACACGGCGUGGGAGACUUGCGGGUAAAGAACGAUAAGGAUGGUGCCCCUUAUGAGAGAGAAGGAAUGAUUGAAAUGUACGAAAGGGUUGUCCAGAACUGACUUACUUUGGAUGAUAAGGCACGAGGACAAUUUCCCGGUCCUUAUUCUGUACCAUGAAGUUUUGGAGGUACUCCCUAGCAGUUUCAAGCUCAAAGUCGACGAGACUCAAUAAAGACUCGUGCAUGUAGUACGGAUCCGCCACACAGAUUUGCAGGACUUCUUCACUCUUCAUGACGGAGCUCAUAUGUAGAGCAAAAAGGCGGACGAUGGUAAAAUCAAGCCGCCUUGUUAGAAACAUCUCAAAGAUAUGGUAAAACCGCAGGAAGAACACCUCCGCGGGAUGUGUGUCGACAUAGCACUUCCCCUCAGGCACACGAGCCGCGUAUGUCGGAUAUCUUGGAUGCUUUGAGGUUAGUAGGCUUUUCUCAGUCCACAACACAUGGUCGUGCAGUCUCCUAAGAUACCCUGAUAGUGCCUCCAGCGGUUUCGGCGGUAGCAUCGGCUCGCCCGUGAGAUGGAACAUGACCGCACUUUUCACGGGUACACGCUCUUCAGAAUGCAUCGUUUGGCUGCUAUGUGCUCUGGCUUGUUUGGAGGCAGUUACCUUCCCCGAUCUCUUCCUCUCCUUUUUCUUGGGCACACCUUACAGACCCUUCCUUAACCCCUACCCCAGUGUUCCCGGGCUAAGUACUAUACGACCCUCGCGCCCGGCUAGUUGAUCCUGUGUUGAGGCGGCAUCUUCAGGCGUGUCCUGUGAGGAUUUCAUGAAGAGAGACUUUUUGCAAGCUGAUAGCCCGAUUCGUCACAUGGUUGACUCAUCAUAUCUAUGUCACAGUCAUACGCGUUUGUAUUGAGGUAAUCCAUAGGGUCGACCUCCGUCUCCUCAUCCAUUCUCUGCUCUAUAGGAGAAGUUACAUCAGCCAUAACUAUUGCACCCCCUUCAUCAUGUCGUCCGCCGCUCUCACCCGGCACUACAGGAGCUGGUAAUUGCGUAGGCGGGGUGGUGGUCUUCGCACGUGCUUGUUGAUGUGUGGUAGUUAUUGGUGUGCUCUCGGCCGGCUCCAAACGAAUAAGAUUCUUUGGCCAUAGCAGCACCCAAUUCUUGCAGCUUCCAAUCCGCGGAGGGGUCUCGUCGUCCGCUCCCACAUGCUGUACUGGAGGAGGCAAAUCCUCAUGCCCCGAUUUCACACUGGUCAAGCUAACCCUGAAGUUCCCAGCAGGGAUCGGCUGGUUGUGGAACGUGCGUUGAGAGGGGUCCAUUAUCAUCCCCUUUCCCACGUAUGGCCACCUUCUGGCCUUUGAUCAAGUAGAGUAUGGUGCACGGGGUUUCUUUCGCCUGCAAACACAUAUGUGUCUGUGGCGUAAAGCAACCGAAAGGCAACAAAAAUGGAAUGUUAUAUAUAUAUAUAUAUAUAUAUAUAUAUAUAUAUAUAUAUAUAUAUAUAUAUAUAUAUAUGUUGGUGCGACAUGUAAUUACCGUGACGGCGUCAAGAUCAGCCAAACACGAAGGCCCACCUACCGCGCCUGAGACUGAGGACGGGCUGCUAUGAGCGGGAGCAGCUGCGAGAGGAGGCCCAGUUGCGUGAGCAAGUGAUGGUGCGAUGGUGUUGUUGUUCAUGGAGUUGCUCCCGACGAAACUGGGCAUCGGGAAAUCAUUUACCGUCUUGUUUGGAUUUUCCUUCGCCCAGUUAAUGAUAACUGGAACCAAGUUAGUAGCGAAAUCAUUUCUGUAGGCAGUUACAGCUGCAUUGACUGCCUGUUGUAGAACUCAUAUUUGUCCUCGGCUGCUUUUUUCGCGUCCUCAGCUGCUUUUUUCUCGACCGCAAGCUUCACCUUCGCGUCGAUGUCCGCAUGACUAAACUUCUUUUUCAGCUUCUUGGCCUCCGGGCCCUCGUUGUAAAACACCUUCCACGUGGCGCUGUCUCUAGCGCCGUGCACACAACCAUAUUGCGGACGCUGAUCCAAAGGGAGUCCCUUAAGUUCAUUCAAGGCCUGGUUGAGAGGGGUGUCCCACUUGGGCCUCAUCGGAGAAGUAGGGCUUUCGGCUGCAAGCUGGUGUUCCUUCUGCAGUAGUCUAAUCAAUUUCCUCGUGAUCUUGUUCGUGUAAAAAACCUUUUUCUCCUUGUCCCACUUGUAGCGGGCCUUGAUGAAGUCAUGCUCCAAGGGGUUGGUGAACUUCACGAAGGGGUCUGGGAGACCCGCGGCUUCACGUUCCGCGUCCUUCUUAUCCCAUAUGGGCCUUUUACCGAGGUAGCCACGGCUUCCAAGGCGAUGCUUCCCCGCGUUCCUUCGCUGAAGGCUCUUGAAUUUCGCAGCCUUAGCCUUGGCUGCCUCGGUAGCGCAAGUGUCCUUGAACUUUUCGAACUCCUCUUCCGUAAGUGUCAGAUUUUCCUCCAGAAUCUUGGACAGGGGUUCAUCAGCCUCAAUAGCUCAUUUCACCCUUGUUUUCCAGGAGGCCAAAUCAUUGCUGAACAUGCCCAUGGCGUGAUUGUUAAUAUUUUUCAUCUUCGGAUCAUCCCACGGUUGUUCUAUGUUAUCAUCCCGGUCGGGGAACUCGAAUCUCUUGUGCAACUUUGUUAGGAGCAACUGCGUCAAAUGUUCUUUACUCCUUAAGUCAUCGUCGUUGAUGCUCGCGCAUUCCCGUAGGAUGCAUCCUACUUGCUUCCCAUAGCACUUGCGAGGUUCUUCCGGUUGUAACGGCUCAAACUUGCCCGGUGCCAUCUUUGUGAUCACAAGUCGUCCAAUCCCUAGUUUGUUAGGUUUUCGUAUCCUCUGCUUCUUAUGCUUCCUCUUUUCGGUAGCGGCAUCGGGGCCGGUACCUUCCCUGCCGGUACCUUCCCCACCGGUCUCGGUGCCGCCAUCGGUGCCGGUGCUGUCGGUGUCGAUGUCGGUGUCAGUACCAUCAUCGAGGCCGACCUGCAAACAUUGCUUAGCAGUCAAAUAGUCGAAGUACUCUUGUUCACCCUCAUAAUCCAUCUCGUCUGCAUCUUGGUCAGAAGGCCCAGUUUCUUCGUUGUUCGACAUUUUUCCUAUGAUUAAGUCUCUUCAUUUAUUUCUAAAAGUAUGAAUAAAUGAGAAAUGACAUAAAAAGAAAUCUAUGUGCCAGCACUCGAUAUGCCAACUAUGUAGCACAAAAUCAUGCCUUUAUUCACGGGAAAUUUCGGCAUGACCUUUGCUAAAAAAUGGACAUAUCGAGCGCCUGAAAUCACCGGAACGGAAAUGAAUCAACAUUCCGGCGUAACAUAGGCCACUCGGAUCAUUUUCCAAACAUGACAUGUCCAAAACAUGACAUAUGCACAUAUCACAUGUCCAGCUCAAAUUUGCACAUAUCACAUGUCCAGUUCAAAUUUUGAAACCUAGCUAAAUUAAUAACUAAAUAGAUAACCUAAUUAACAUAUUGCCCUAACUAAAACCUAAGUAAAUUAACCGAAGAACCCUAGCAGAGAGAGAGGGGGUGGGUUUACAGAGGGUGCAGGGGCGAGGAGGCAGAACCGACGGCGGCUGGGAGUGGAGAGGAGGGAGGCAAGGGCCGACGGAUCGGGGGCGAGCGCACCGGGGUCGGGGGCGAGGGCCGGGUCCGGGGCGAGCGCCGGGGUCGGGGUCAGGGGCGAGGGCCGGGUUGGGGGCGAGCGCCGGGGUCGGGGGCUAGCGCCGGCGCCGGAGUCGGGGGCGAGCGCCGAUGCCGGGUCGGGCGCGGCGGUGCGACGGGGGAGAGUGGGGAUUUGAGGGGGGGGGGAAGGCGGGAUGAAGCAGGGGGGUGAGAAUUUUGGGUUAAGUGGACGUAGCAAUAGCACAUUUGGACAAAACGCGCUGCUACUACCUUCAGUAGUUGUAGCGGUUUAUACAAAAUUCGCUUCUACUAACUUCAGUAUAUGUAGCGGUUUAAGCAAAACGCGCUGCUACUACCUUUGCUACUGCCAGUUUCCCUUUUUAUUUUCCUUUAUUUUAUCCCACUUUUAUUUCCCGAGGGCAGUGAACGAAGGGAGGGCGAUGUAUAUUGCAUCAUUUGACGGUUAAAUAUGUAUGCAAAAUAGGAACAUAUAUAUUACACAUCAUUGGACCCAUGCAUAAUAAUGGCUAAGUGUGUAUACAAAAUAGGAACACAUAUAUAUAUAUAUAUAUAUAUAUAUAUAUAUAGAUAUAUAUAUAUAUAUUACAUCAUUUGACCGAUAACAUAAGUUUCCUCAGUUCUGACAUUUUCGUUUUUGAGUCAGCUUCUUUCCCUUCUUGUUCGUCGAAGAAUAAUUGAGCCCCUCAUUUUGACUUUGCCUUUUCCAUGGAGUAUGAUUUUUCUUAGGUAAUGUAGUAUUGAUUCUUCUUUUGACGUAUACUUCAUAAUCAUCGUCAUCUUCCCUCAUUGGGUUGCCGUACUGAUCAUAGUCUUCCUCGUUGGCGACUCCAUCCAUUCCAAUGAUGUUCCUUUUGCCUCUCCUCAGGACAACACGGCUGGGAUUGCGCGGGUCAGUUAUGAAGAAGCAUUGUGUCAUGUGCUUAGCGUGUACCCAUGGCUCGUUUUUUGUGAUAGCGUUCACGGUAGCGCUCUUGGCGUCGGGUAUAGUCAUGGUAGUGAAAAUUCGGCUUUCCCUUUCGACAUUCUUAGCCCAUCUGACACAGAACAUCGUUGUGUUGUGCAGUCCAGAGUAGUCAAGCUCCCAGAUCUCCUCGACCCUUCAAUAAAAUCGUUCAGUUGCGCCGUUGUCGCUGCCGGUCAUGCAUUCCAUCGUCACCCCUGAGUUCUGAUCAUCAAUGUCCAUAUCUUUGGCCUCCGUGUAGAACGUGUAUCCGUUGAUAUCAUAUGCCUGAUAGGUUACGAGGUUGGGCGAGGGGCCAUGUGCUAAGGCGUAUAUGAGCAAUCCUUCCUUAGAGCCCUCCUCUGGAGGAUUAGCAAUAAUAUGCUUUUUGAACCAAUGCAGGAAAGUGGAGUUGUGCUCUCUAGUAACUUCGUCGUCCGUCCUGCAUACCCCCCCGGUCACGAUACUUCUUUGCGAUAAUUUCUUUGUGCAGUGCCACGAAAGGAUCUAUAUCGUCUAUGUGUUGUAGCACUACCAAGUUUGCUCUGUCAAAGUCGCUGCGUCGAUCUGAGUAUGCCACGUGCAGUUCCCUGCGACCGUUGCAGUGACCAUCUCCUUCGAGCCUCCCAUCAUGCUUGUUAACGGGCAAACCAACACUAACAACAGGCGGCUGGUCUGCACCAUAUAGAAAAUUCUCACAGAAAGAGAUGCACUCUUGUGCCAAAUAGCUCUGGACGAUGCUUCCAUCCGUACGGGACAUUUUACGAACGAAUCCUUUGAUGAUCCCAUUCAUACUCUCAAAUGGCUUCAUGUUGUGCAGGAAUGACGGCCCCAGGUCUAUUAUGUCAUCCACAAUAUGGACACACAGAUGCACCAUCACGUCAAAGAACGCGGGCGGGAAGUACAUCUCAAGCUCAUUAAGUAUCACAACGAUCUCUUCCUGUAGCCUUUGGAGCUGCUUCACACUGAUCGACUUUCGAGAGAUGACGUCGAAAAAGUUGCAGAGACCAAUAAGCGUGUCACGGACGUGCUUGUCCAUUAUCCCUCUAAGGACAAUAGGUAGUAUAUGCGUCAUCAUCACAUGACAGUCAUGAGACUUCAUCCCGCUGAACCUUUUCUUGUACGUGUCUAGAUAUCUGCUUAUCUUGCCACAGUAACCGGAACUAACUUUGACUCCGAUAAGGCACUUAAAGAAGGCAUUGAUCUCAGCCUGACUUAAGGUGAAGGAAGAAGGGGGGCAAUAAUCCUCUUUCUUUAUUUUCCUGCCCUUCUUCUCCCGUGCCUCUGUCUCCGUCUUUGUCUCGUCUGACAUUUUACGGGGCGGCAUGUGCAGAUCUUCCCCAAUUUUCAAAUCUUGCAAGUCUUUUCUUGCCUUCGGCCCAUCCUUGGUCUUAUCCGGCAUGUUCAUCAGUGUUGUGAGCAAUCUCUCAAGGACAUUCUUACAGAUAUGCAUUUGAUCAAGGCAAUGAGGUGUAUCGAGUUUGUGCCAGUACUCCAAGUCCCAGAACACAGACCUCGUCUUCCAUACCUUCAGGAGCGGCUCCGGCGCCUUUCUCAUCAUCUUUCCCGGCGUGGGGCACUCGUUCUAGUUUUUCAACAGCUCUUCGAUUUCGGCACCGCUCCGCUUACGUGGAGGUCCUCGAUGCUCAGCGUGACCAUUGAAUAGAUCUUCAUGGGUCGUCCUGUUCAAGCCAUCUUCGAUGCCCCAUCUACACGAUUUUCCCAGACUCGCCAUCUUUCCUUGACGUUAGCUGCUGAGACAUCGUAUCAUCCAUGCACUGCGUGCAUCCGUAAUAUCCAUGGCACACCUGGCCUGCCACAUAUCCAUAACCAAGAUAGUCCUGCACUGUCGUGAUCAGCGCGGCUCUCAUGUUGAAAUACUCACCUUUGAUGGCGUCCCAUGUCUUGGCCGGUGUUUUCCAUAACGUGUCUAACUCCUCUUGAAGUAUCCCUAGAUACAAAUUAAUAUUAUUUCCUGGUUGUUUCGGCCCUUGAAUAAGCAUGCUCAUGUGAAUGUACUUCGAUUUCAUGCACAACCAGGGGGGAGGUUGUACAUCCAUACAAACACGGGCCAUGUGCUAUGGUUGGUGUUCUGGUUGCCAAACGGAUUCAUGCCAUCGGUACACGCGCCGAGCAUGAUGUUCCUUGCAUCACAUUCAAAAUACCAAUAGAAGUUGUCCAAAGCUCUCCACUGGCUUCCAUCCUUCAUGUGUCUCAGCUUGGGAUCAUCUCCAUCGUCGGGCUUCUUCCUCUCCACGUGCCAGCGCAUUAGCUUUGCUUCCUUGGGAUAUACAAAAUUAUGCAAUCGUUGAUGCAUGCAUGGUAUCUAACGUGUGGCAGAUCAAGAGGGCACACGAUCUUCUUGGCCUCAUCAACACUGGCAGGACAUAAAUUACCCGCGGGAAGAACAUCCUUUAGGUACUUGAGAUGCUCAUCGAGGCUAGUGUUGGUCCAUUUGUUUUUAGCCUUCGUCUUCAGGAGUUGGAGCGUGAAACUCAAGCGGGUCAGCUCAAGAUUGCAGCCAUCAUACAAUGGAGUGUUGGAGUCUACCACCAGUUGCUCCAGCUUAGCCUCCUCUCUAGAAGCAGCUCUCUCAGUACUCGUCUCCUUGCGAAGCAAUGCUUGAACAUGAGGGUCCCGCACGAUUGAACUUAGUACCGACGAACUCUGCUGCGUGGAGUCCAUGUCGUUCUCUCCGCCGCCAUGUCCGGCCCCUUCUCCUCCGCCAUGCCCGGCCCCUUCUCCAAUGCCAUGCCCGACCUCUUCCCCGCCGCCAUUAUCGAUCAUCUCUUCGUCUUGCCCCGUGUCAUCAUUGCCUGCCCCACCAGCAUCCUCAACAUCGUCAUCCUCAUCUUCAAUUAUCUGCCGAGUAUAGCCAUCCAUGAAACCAGUCUUGAGCAGGUGCGCUUCGACCAUCGUCAUGGGGGUGGAGCCAAACUAUUCCUUUGCAUUUUCGACACGGACAUAAAACCUCUGUCCGGUUAUUUUCUUUCAUGUCCCGCACCGCCGACCGCAACCACCUGUCAACCAUCGUGCCAUUGACCAUCGUCAACUCUGCACGGUAAUAAUAAACAAAUUGAUUAUAAAAAUGCAUGCAUGCAUCAAAGUCAUACAAAAAUUUGGCAUGACCUUCCCAAAAAAUAGGACAUAUAUGGAUCUAGAGUUUGCCCGAAAUUCGCCGAAACGGAAAUAAAUCGACAUUUCGGCAAAACAUAGGCAACUCAAAAGCACAAUUUGGCAUGCCACACACACAAUUUCCACAAACAUAUCACACACACAUAAACAUAUUUCCAUUUUGCAAAAGCAUGAAAUUUUCAUCACCUCUAUCUCGAUCGAGAUCGAGCACACGGUGGAGAUGAUAUUGUAGGGAGAUCAAAAGUGCACAAAGCUCUUGUUGACAAAGAUAGAUCUAGUUAGGGGGCAAAUAGGUCACUUAACUAAAUCCUACAUCUACCUAGCUACCUAAUUUGGGAGGAGACAACUUCAACUAGUGGAGGGGGAAGGAAAAAGAGAAAGGAGAUGCAUUAAUGGAGGUGGUGUAGUUAGGUAGGAGUAAUGAAGAGAGAGAAAGGUGGAUAGAAGAGAAAGAGUAAUGGGGAGAAGUAUUGAGGAUGAAGAAGAGUGAGAGUGGGAGCAUGUGGGGGAGGUAGGGGGAAGGGAAGAGAGGAGGGGAAGGGGAGGCACGGGUGGGGAAAGGUGUGGUGGGUUGGUGCGGGUUAGCAGUAGCGCGGGAGCAGAAACGCGCUGCUGAUAUAGAAUUAGCAGCAGCGCGCUUUAGGCCACGGCGCUACUGCUAACAGUGACAAAAAAGUUCCAAUUUGAAAUGUAGCAGCAGCGAUCUCAUUAAAAGCAUGCUACUACUACAUCUGUAGCAGCAGCGCGGUUCGGGCCACGGCGCUACUGCUAAAUGGAGCUAGGCGAACACCGCCGGUCGAUAUUUGUAGCAGCGCGGUUUACACAGAGCGCGCUACUGCUAAAAACUUAGCAGCAGCGAGUUUCCCGCGCACGCGCUACUACUAAUUAGCAGUAGCGCUCCUUUUUGAGCCGCGCUGCUGCUAAGAUUCCGUGUAUAGGCUUUUCCCUAGUAGUGAUUUAUAGCUCUAUUGCAUCCGUUACAUGGCAAUCCCUACUCACUCACAUUGAUAUCUAUCGAUGGGCAUCUCCAUAGCCCAUUGAUACGCCUAGUUGAUGUGAGACUAUCUUCUCCCUUUUUGUCCUCACAACCACCAUCAUAUACCACCAUAGUGCUAUGUCCAUGGCUUAUGCUCAUGUAUUGCGUAAGAGUUGAAAAAAGCUGAAGCGUGUUAAAAAGUAUGAACCAAUUGCUUGGCUCGUCAUCGGGAUUGUGCAUGAUGGGUGUAUUUUGUGUAAUGAAAAUGAAGCAUGGCCUAACUAUAUGAUUUUGUAGGGAUAAGCUUUCUUUGUCUAUGCUAUUUUGAUAGGACAUGAUUAUUUGUUAGUAUACUUUGGGUAUUACUAUUUUUAUGUUUUAUAAGAUUUUAUCUUGAAUCAUUUGCACCAGAACAUUCAUGCCACAAUAAAGAAAAUUACAUUGAGAAAUAUGCUAGGUAGCAUUCCACAUCAAAAAUUCUGUUUUUAUCAUUUACCUACUCGAGGACUAGCAGGAACUAAGCUUGGGGAUGCUUGAUACGUCUCCAACGUAUCUAUAAUUUUUGAUGGUUCCAUGCUAUUAUAUUACCUGUUUUGGAUGUUUAUGGGCUUUACUUUAUACUUUUAUAUCAUUUUUGGGACUAACCUAUUAACAGGAGGCCCAACCCAUAUUGUUGUUUUCUUGCCUAUUUCAGUGUUUCUAAGAAAAGGAAUAUCAAACGAAGUCCAAACGGAAUGAAACCUUCGGGAAAGAUAUUUUUGGAACAGAAGCAAUCCAGGGGACUUGGAGUGCACGUCAAAGAAGCUUCGAGGAAGCCACGAGGGUGGGGUCGCCCCCCCCCCCCCUACUGGGCAUGCCCCUUGUCUCAUGGGACCCUCGAGCGUCCCCUGACCGACUUCUUUCACCUAUAUAAGUCCAUAUACCCUAAAACCUUCGAGGAUGAAGAUAGACCGGGAGUUCCGCCGCCGCAAGCCUCUGUAGCCAUCAAAAACCUCUCGGGAGCCUGUUCCGGCACCCUGCCGGAGGGGGAACCCAUCACCGGUGGCCAUCUCCAUAAUCCCGGCGCUCUCCAUGACGAGGAGGGAGUAGUUCACCCUCAGGGUUGAGGGUAUGUAGUAGUAUCUAUGUCUUUGGUCUCUCUCUCUCGUGUUCUUUCUAUGGCACGAUCUUGAUGUAUCGCGAGCUUUGCUAUUAUAGUUGGAUCUUAUGAUGUUCACUCUCUUGUAAUGGAUUGAGUUUUCCCUUUGAAGUUAUCUUAUCGAAUUGAGUCUUUAGGGUUUGAGAAUACUUGAUGUAUGUCUUGCCGUGCUUAUUUGUGGUGACAAUGGGAUAUUGCGUGAUCUACUUGAUGUAUGUUUUGGUGAUCAACUUGCGGGUUCCAUGAACUUAUGCAUAGGGGUCGGCACACGUUUUCAUCUUGACUCUCCGGUAGAAACUUUGGGGCACUGUUUGAAGUACUUUGUGUUGGUUGAAUAGAUGAAUAUGAGAUUAUGUGAUGGAUAUCGUACAAUCAUGCCCACGAACAUUUGAGGUGACAAUGGAGUAUCUAGGUGACAUUAGAGUUUUGAUUGAUUUGUGUCUUAAGGUGUUAUUCUAGUACGAACUCUAUGAUAGAUUGAACGGAAAGAAUAGCUUCAUGUUAUUUUACUAUGGACUCUUGAAUAGAUACAACAGAAAGGAUAACUUUGAGGUGGUUUCGUACCCUACCAUAAUCUCUUCGUUUGUUCUCCGCUAUUAGUGACUUUGGAGUGACUCUUUGUUGCAUGUUGAGGGAUAGUUAUGUGAUCCAAUUAUGUUUUUAUUGUUGAGAGAACUUGCACUAGUGAAAGUAUGAACCUUAGGCCUUGUUUCCUACCAUUGCAAUACCGUUUACGCUCACUUUUAUCGCUUGCUACCUUGCUGUUUUUAUAUUUUCAGAUUACAAAUACCUUUAUCUACUAUCCAUAUUGCACUUGUAUCACCAUCUCUUUGCCGAACCAGUGCACCUAUACAAUUUACCAUUGUGUUGGGUGUGUUGGGGAUACAAGAGACUCUUUGUUAUUUGGUUGCAGGGUUGUUUGAGAGAGACCAUCUUCAUCCUACACCUCCCACGGAUUGAUAAACCUUAGGUCAUCCACUUGAGGGAAAUUUGCUACUGUCCUACAAACCUCUGCACUUGGAGGCCCACCAACGUCUACAAGAAGAAGGUUGUGUAGUAUACAUCAGAGAACUCCGAUAGCAUGACGGCGUGGUUGUGGAGCUCGUGGUUCUCCGGCAGGGCUUCACCAAGCACUACGGAGGAGGAGGAGAUGUAUGAGGAGGGAGGGGCUUCGCCAGGGGAAGGGUGUGCCUGCCCUCCCAGACCCUCACUAUAUAUAGGGGGAAGGGGAGAGGGGGCCGGUCCCUCUAGAUGGAUCUAGAGGAGGGGGCGGCGGCCAGGAGAAACCCUAGAUGGGUUUGGGCGCCCCCACUCCCUAGGAAACUUCUCCCCCAAGCCUGGAGGGGCGGCUUCCCUAGGGGUGGCUCCCCCACCUCUCCAGGUUACAUGAGAUGGGGUGGAAGGGGCGCCAACCCCUUAGUGGGCUGGCGUGCCCCCUCCCCUUGGCCCAUAAGCCCCCCCCCAACACUUGUCCGAGCGUUUGAAACUCCUUUCGGUCACAGUGGUUAUCACCCGGUACCCCCAGAACAAUUCCAGACUCCAAUACCCUUCGUCCAAUAUACCGAUCUUCACCUCCAAACCAUUCCGGAGUUCCUCGUCACGUCCGGGAUCUCAUCCGCGACUCCGAACAACCUUCGGUAACCACAUACUAUUCCCAUUACAACUCUUGCGUAACUGAACCUUAAGUGUGUAGACCCUACCGGUUCGGGAACCAUGCAGACAUGACCGAGAUACCUCUCCGGACAAUAACCAAUAGCGGGAUCUGGAUACCCAUAUUUGCUCCCACAUGUUCCAUGAUGAUCUCAUAGGAUGAACCACGUUGUCGGGGAUUCAAUCAAUCCCGUAUACAAUUCCCUUUGUCCAUCGGUAUGUUACUUGCCCGAGAUUUGAUCGUCGGUAUCCCUAUACCUUGUUCAAUCUCAUUACCGGCAAGUCUCUUUACUCCUUCCAUAAUGCAUGAUCCCAUGGCUAACUCAUUAGUCACAUUUAGCUCAUUAUGGUGAUGCAUUACCGAGUGGGCCUAGAGAUACCUCUCCGUCAUACAGAUUUAAAAAUCCCAGUCUCGAUUCAUGCCAACCCAACAGACACUUUCGGAGAUACCUGUAGUGCACCUUUAUAGCCACCCAGUUACGUUGUGACGUUUGGUACACACAAAGCAUUCCUACGGUAUCCGGGAGUUUCACAAUCUCAUGGUCUAAGGAAAUGAUACUUGACAUUAGAAAAGCUCUUAGCAAACAAACUACACAAUCUUGUGCUAUGUUUAGGACUGGGUCUUAUCCAUCACAUCAUUCUCCUAAUGAUGUGAUCCCAUUAUCAAUGACAUCCAGUGUCCAUUGUCAGGAAACCCUAUCCAUCUAUUGAUCAAGGAGCUAGUCAAAUAGAGGCACAGUAGGGACAUGUUGUGGUCUAUGUAUUCACACAUGUAUUACGGUUUCCAAUUAACACAAUUAUAUCGUGAACAAUAGACAAUUAUCAUAAACAAGGAAAUAUAAAAUAACCAUUUUUAUUAUUGCCUCUAGGGCAUAUUUCUAAUAUUCUCCCACUUGCACUAGAGUCAAUAAUCUAGUUCACAUCACUAUGUGAUUGUAAUGAAUCCAACACCCAUGGGGUUUCAUCAUAUCUUGCUUGUGAGAGAGGUUAUUAGUCGACGGGUCUGAACCCUUCAGAUCCGUGUGUGCUUUACAAAUCUCUAUGUCAUCUUGUACAUAUAGCUACCACGCGCUAUUUGGAACUAUUCCAAAUAACUGUUCUACCAUAUGAAUCUGAUUUACUACUCAGGAGUCAUCCAGAUUAGUGUCAGAGUUUGCAUCGACGUAACCCUUUACGACGAACUCUUUUACCACCUCCAUAAUCAAGAAAAAUUCCUUAGUCCACUAAGGAUAACUUUGACCGUUAUCUAGUGAUCCAUUCCUGGAUCACUCUUGUACCCCAUGAUUGACUCAUUGUAAGGCACACUUCAGGUGCGGUACAUAGCACAACAUACUGUAGAGCAUUGGGGACGACCUUCGUCCUUUCUCUGUCCUAUGUCGUGGUCAGGUCUUGAGUCUUACUCAAUACUCACACCUUAUAACGCAGCCAAAAAUUCCUUCUUUGCCGAUCUAUUUUGAACUCCUUCAAAAUCUUGUCACGGUAUGCUCAAUGUUCAAGUAGCUCAAUCUAGGUUUUCCAUUGAAAAACACUUUUCAAAUAACCCUAUAUGCUUUCUAGAAAUUCUAUAUCAUUUCCGAUCAACAAUAUUUCAACAACAUAUACUCAUCAGAAAUUCUAUAGUGCUCCCACUCACUUCUUUGGAAAUACAAGUUUCUCAUAAACUUUGUAUAAACCCAAAAUCUUUGAUCAUCUCAUCAAAGUGUAUAUUCCAACUCCGAGAUGCUUACUCCAGUACUUAGAAGGAUUGCUGGAGCUUUGCAUACUUGUUAGCAUCUUUUAGGAUUGACAAAACCGUCUGGUUGUAUCACAUGCAACCUUUCCUCAAGAAAAUCGUCGAGUUAACAAUGUUUUGACAUCCUAUCUACAAGAUUUCAUAAAUAGUGCAGUAACUGAUAAUAUAAUUCCAACAGACGCUUAGCAUCGCUACGAGUGAAAAAGUCUCAUUGUAUUCAACUCCUUGAACUUGUCGGAAAACAUCUUAGUGACAAGCCGAGCUUUCUUAAUGGUGACACUUACCAUCAUUGUUCGUCUUCCUUUUUAAAAUCCAUCUGUACCCAACAACCUUACGACCAUUAAGUAGUUCUUCAAAAGUCUACACUUUGUUUUCAUACAUGGAUCCUCUCUCGAAUUUAUGGCCUCGAGCCAUUCAUCGGAAUCUGGGCCCAUCAUCGCUUCUCCAUAGCUCGCAGGUUCAUUGUUGUCUAGCAACAUGACCUCCAAGACGUGAUUCUGUACCACUCUGAAGCAGUAUACGUCCUUGUCGACCUACGAGGUGUGGUAGUGACUUGAUUUGAAGUUUCAUGAUUACUAUCAUCGGCUUCCACUUCACCUGGUGUACGCGCCACAGGAACAACUUCAUGUGCCUUGCUACACACUAGUUGAGGUGAUGGUUCAAUAACCUCAUCAAGUAUCCACCAUCCUCCCAUUCAAUUCUUUUAAGAGAAACUUUUCCUCGAGAAAGGACCCGUUUCUAAAAACAAUCACUUUUGCUUCCAGAUCUGAGAUAGAGGGUAUACCCAACUAUUUCAGGUGUCCCAUGAAGAUGCAUUUAUCCAUUUUGGGUUCGAGCUUAUCGGGAUGAAACUUUUUCACAUAAGCAUCACAGCCCCAAACUUUCAAGAAACGACAGCUUAGGUUUCUCUAAACCAUAGUUCAUACAGUGUCAUCUCAACGGAAUUACGUGGUGCCCUAGUUAAAGUUAAUGCGAUUGUCUCUAAUGACUAACCCAUAAACGAUAGUGGUAAUUCGAUAAGAGACAUCAUGGUAUGCAUCAUAUCCAAUAGGGUGCAGCUAUGAUGUUCGGACACACCAUCACACUAUGGUGGUCCAGGCGGAAUUAGUUGUGAAACAAUUACCAUAAUGUCUUAGUUUUGUACCAAAGUCGUAACUCAGAUAUUCAUCUCUAUGAUCAUAUCAUAGACAUUUUAUCCUCUUGUCACGACGAUCUUCAACUUCACUCUGAAAUUACUUAAACCUUUCAAUAAUUCAGACUUGUGUUUCAUCAAGGAAAUAUAAUUAGCAUCUACUCAAGUCAUCUGUGAAGUAAGAACAUAACAAUAUCCACUGCGCGCCUCAGCACUCAUUAGACUGCACACAUCAAAAUUUAUAACUUCCAACAAGUUGCUUUCUUGUUCCAUCUUACUGAAAACGAGGCUUUUUAGUCAUCUUGCCCAUGUGGUAUGAUUUGCAUGUCUCAAGUGAUUCAAAAUGAAGUGACUCCAAACGAUCCAUCUGCAUGGAGUUUCUUUAUGCGUACAUACCAAUAGACAUGGUUCGCAUGUCUCAAACUUUAUUUUAAACUGGGUGAGUCCAAAGAUCCAACAACAUGGAGCUUCUUCAUGCAUUUUAUACCAAUAUGACUCAAAUGGCAGUGCCACAAGUAGGUGGUACUAUCAUUACUAUCUUAUAUCUUUUGGCAUGAACAUGUGUAUCACUACGAUCGAGAUUCAAUAAACCAUUCAUUUUAGGUGCAAGACCAUUGAAGGUAUAAUUCAAAUAAACAGAGUAACCAUUAUUCUCCUUAAAUGAAUAACCGUAUUGCGAUAAACAUAAUCCAAUCAUGUCUAUGCUCAACGCAAACACCAAAUAACAAUUAUUUCGGUUUAACACCAAUACCAAUGGUAGAGGGAGCGUGCGAUGUUUGAUAACAUCAACCUUGGAAAUAUUUCCAACACAUAUCGUCACCUCGCCUUUAUCUAGUCUCCAUUUAUUCCGUAGCCUUUUAUUUCGAGUUACUAACACUUAGCAACUAAAACGGUAUCUAUUACCCUAGUGCUACUAGGAGUACUAGUAAAGUACACAUUAAUAUAAUGUAUAUCCAAUAUACUUCUGUCGACCUUGCCAGCCUUCUCAUCUACCAAGUAUCUAGGGUAGUUCCGCUUUAGUGAUCGUUCCCCUUAUUACAGAAGCACUUAGUCUCGGGUUUGGGUUCAACCUUGGGUUUCUUCACUAGAGUAGCAACUGAUUUGCCAUUUCAUGAAGUAUCCCUUCUUGCCCUGGCCCUUCUUGAAACUAGUGGUUUCACUAACCAUCAACAAUUGAUGCUCCUUCUUGAUUUCUACUUUCGCGGUGUCAAACAUCGAGAAUAGCUCAAGGAUCAUCAUAUCUAUCCCUAAUAUGUUAUAGUUCAUCACGAAGCUCUAGUAGCUUGGUGGCAGUGACUUUGGAGAAACAUCACUAUCUCAUCUGGAAGAUUAACUCCUACUCGAUUCAAGUGAUUGUAGUAGUCAAACAAUCUGAGCACAUGCUCAACGAUUUAGCUUUUCUCCCUUAGUUUGUAGGCUAAGAAGCUCGUCAGAAGUCUCAUACCUCUUGACACGGGCACGAGCCUGAAAUCCCAAUUUCAGCACAUGGAACAUCUCAUAUGUUCCAUGACUUUUCAAAAAUCGUCUUCGGCGCCUCAAUUCUAAACCCUUUAACAUUACUGAAAUAUCACGUAGUCAUCAAAACGUGUAUGUCAGAUGUUCGCAACAUCCACAGACGACGUUCGAGGUUCAGCACACCGAGCGGUGCAUUAAGGAUAGAAUCCUUCUGCGUAGCAAUGAGGAAAAUCCUCAGUUUACGAACCCAGUCCGCAUAAUUGCUACUAUCAACUUUCAACUAAAUUUUCUCUAGGAACAUAUCUAAAACAGUAGAACUAAAGCACAAGCUACGACAUAAUUUGCAAAGACCUUUUGACUAUGUUCAUGAUAAUUAAGUUCAUCUAAUCAAAUUAUUUAAUGAACUCCAACUUAGAUAGACAUCCCUCUAGUCAUCUAAGUGAUACAUGAUCCGAGUCAACUAGGCCCUGUCUGACCACCACGUGAGACGGACUAGCCAUCAUCGGUGAACAUCUCCAUGUUGAUCGUAUCUACUAUACGACUCAUGUUUGACCUUUCGGUCUCCCGUGUUCCGAGUCCAUGUAGGUACAUGCUAGGCUCAUCAAGUCAACCUAAGUGUUUUGCAUGUGUAAAUCUAGCUUACACCCGUUGUAUGCGAGUGUUAGAAUCUAUCACACCCGAUCAUUUCGUGGUGCUUCGAAACAAUGAACUUUCGCAACGGUGCACAGUUAGGGGGAACACUUUCUUGAAACUUUAGUGAGGGAUCAUCUUAUUUAUGCUACCAUCGUUCUAAGAAAAUAAGAUGUAAACAUGACAAACAUCACAUGCAAAUCAUAAAGUGACAUGAUAUGGCCAAUAUCAUCUUGCGCCUUUGAUCUUCAUAUUCGAGGAGCGGCAUGAUCACCUUCGUCAUCGGCAUGACACCAUGAUCUCCAUCAUCAUGAUCUCCAUCAUCGUGUCUUCAUGAAGUUGUCUCGCCAACUAUUACUUCUACUACUAUGGCUAACGGUUAGCAAUAAAGUAAAGUAAUUACAUGGCGUUUACAUUGACACGCAGGUCAUAAAAUAAAUUAAGACAACUCCUAUGGCUCCUGCCGGUUGUCAUACUCAUCGACAUGCAAGUCGUGAUUCCUAUUACAAGAACAAGAUCAAUCUCAUACAUCACAUAUAUCAUUCAUCACAUCCUUUUGGCCAUAUCACAUCAGAUAGCAUACCCUGCAAAAACUAGUUAGAAGUCCUCUAAUUGUUGUUGCAUGUUUUACGUGGCUGCUAUGGGUUUCUAGCAAGAACGUUUCUUACCAACGCAAAAGCCACAACGGUGAUAUGCCAAUUGCUGUUUACCCUUCAUAAGGACCCUCUUCAUCGAAUGCGAUUUGAGUAAAGUGGGAGAGACGGACACCCGCUAGCCACCUUAUGCAACUAGUGCAUGUUAGUCGCUGGAACCCGUCUCAUGUAAGCGUACGUGUAAGGUUGGUCCGGGCCGCUUCAUCCCACAAUGCCGGUGAAUCAAGAUAGGACUAGUAACAGUAAGCAAAUUGAACAAACCAACGCCCACAACUACUUGUGUUCAAUUUGUGCAUAGAAUCUACGCAUAGACCUAGCUCAUGAUGCCGCUGUAGGGGAACAUAGUAAUAAUUCAAAAAUUUCCUACGUCUCACCAAGAUCAAUCUAGGAGAUACUAGCAAUGAGAGAGAGAGAGGGAGUGCAUCUUCAUACCCUUGAAGAUCGCUAAGCGGAAGCAUUACAAGAACGCGGUUGAUGGAGUCAUACUCGCGGCGAUUCAUCUCGCGGAAGAUCCGAUCUAGCGUCGAACGAACGGCGCCUCCGCGUUCAACACACGUACAGCCCGGGGACGUCUCCUCCUUCUUGAUCCAUCAAGGGGAGAGGAGAAGUUGAGGCAGAACUCCGACAGCACGAGGGCAUUGUGGUGGUGGAGCUCGUGGUUCUCCAGCAGGGCUUCGCCAAGCACUACAGAGGAGGAGGAAAUGUAUGAGGAGGGAGGGGCUUGAUGUCUACUACACAACCUUCUUCUUGUAGACGUUGUUGGGAAUGCAAGUGCACAGGUUUGUAGGACAAUAGCAAAUUUCCCUCAAGUGGAUGACCUAAGGUUAAUCAAUCCGUAGGAGGCGUUGGAUGAAGAUGGUCUCUCUCAAACAACCCCGCAACAAAAUAACAAAGAGUCUCUUGUGUCCCCAAAACACCCAAUACAAUGGUAAAUUGUAUUGGUGCACUAGUUCGGAAAAGAGAUGGUGAUACAAGUGCAAAAUAGAUAGUAGAAAAAGGUAAUUUUAAUCCAAAAUUAUAAAAACAGCAAGGUAGCGAGCGAUAAAAGUGAGCAUAAACGGUAUUGGAAUGAUAGGAAACAAGGCCUGGGGUUCAUACUUUCACUUGUGCAAGUUCUCUCAACAAUAAUAACAUAAAUAGAUCAUAUAACAAGCCCUCAACAUGCAACAAAGAGUCACUCCAAAGCCACUAAUAGUGGAGAACAAACGUAGAGAUUAUGGUAGGGUAUGAAACCACCUCAAAGUUAUUCUUUCGGAUCGAUCUAUAAAAGAGUUCGUACUAGAAUAACACCUUAAGACACAAAUCAACCAAAACCCUAAUGUCACCUAGAUACUCCAUUGUCACCUCAAGUAUCCAUGGGCAUGAUUAUACGAUAUGCAUCACACAAUCUCAGAUUCAUCGAACCAACAUAAAAGUACUUCAAAGAGUGCCCCAAAGUUUCUACCGGAGAGUCAAGAACGUGUGCCAACCCCUAUGCAUAGGUUCCCAAUGUCACGAAACCCGCAAGUUGAUCACCAAAACAUACAUCAAGUGGAUCGCAAGACAUACAUCCAGUGUUCUCAUAAAAGACUCAAUCCGAUAAGAUAACUUCAAAGGGGAAACUCAAUUCACCACAAGAGAGUAGAGGGGGAGAAGCAUCAUAAUAUCCAGCUAUAAUAGCAAAGCUCGGGAUACAUCAAGAUCGUGCCAUAGAGGGAACACGAGAGAGAACACGAGAGAGAGAUCAAACACAUAGCUACUGGUACAUACCCUCAGCCUUGAGGGUGAACUAGUCCCUCCUUGUCAUGGAUAGUGCCGGGAUGAUGAAGAUAGCCACCGGUGAUGGGUUCCUCCUCCGGCAGGGUGCCGGAAUGGGCUCCCGAGAGGUUUUUGGUGGCUACAGAGGCUUGCGGCGGCGGAACUCCCGAUCAAUCUUCUGUUCUGGAAGUUUUAGGGUAUGUAGGUAUAUAUGGGUGCAAGGGGUACGUCGGUGGACCUCCGGGGUGCUCACGAGGCAGGGGGGCGCGCCCUAUGGGGGUGGGCGCUCCCCCACCCUCGUGGGCAGCCCUGGACUCCCCUGACAUGCACUCCAAGUCUAUCAGGUUGCUUUCCUUCCAAAAAUAACUUCUCCAAUUGAUUUCGUUCCGUUUCGACUCCGUCUGAUAUUCCUUUUCCUCGAAACACUAAAAUAGGCAUAAAACAUCAAAUCUGGGUUAGGCCUCCGGUUAAUAGGUUAGUCCCAAAAAUAAUAUAAAAGUGGAUAGUAAAGCCCAAUAUUGCCUAAAAUAGUAGAUAAUAUAGCAUGGAGCAACCAAAAAUUAUAGAUACGUUGGAGACGUAUCAAGCAUCCCCAAGCUUAAUUCCUACUCGUCCUCGAGUAGGUGAAUGAUAAAAAAAAAUUUGAUGCGGAGUGCUACUUUGGCAUAAUUUCAAUGUAAAUCUUCGUAAUUGUGGUAUGAAUAUUCAGACCCGAAAGAUUCAAGACAAAAGUUCAUAUUGACAUAAAAAUAAUAAUACUUCAAGCAUACUAACUAAGCAAUUAUGUCAUCUCAUAGCAUGGCCAAAGAAAGUUAUCCCUACAAAAUCAUAUAGUCUGGCUAUGCUCCAUCUUCCCCACACAAAAUAUUUAAAUCAUGCACAACCCCGAUGACAAGCCAAGCAAUUGUUUCAUACUUUAAUAAUCUCAAACUCUUUCAACUUUCACGCAAUACAUGAGCGUGAUCCAUGGACAUAGCACUAUAUGUGGAAUAGAAUGGUGGUUGUGGAGAAGACAAAAAUGUAGAAGAUAGUCUCACAUCAACUAGGCGUAUCAACGGGCUAUGGAGAUGCCCAUUAAUAGAUAUCAAUGUGAGUAAGUAGGGAUUGCCAUACAACAGAUGCACUAGAGCUAAAAAUAUAUGAAAGCUCAACAAAAGAAACUAAGUGGGUGUGCAUCCAACUUGCUUGCUCACGAAGACCUAGGGAACUUUUGAGGAAGCCCAUCAUUGGAAUAUACAAGCCAAGUUCUAUAAUGAAAAAUUCCCACUAGUAUAUGAAAGUGACAACAUAUGAGACUCUCUAUCAUGAAGAUCACGGUGCUACUUUAAAGCACAAGUGUGGUAAAAGGAUAGUAGCAUUGUCCCUUCUCUCUUUUUCUCUCAUUUUUUUGUUUUUUUUUGUUUGGGCCUUUUCUCUUUUUUUAUGGCCUCUCUCUUUUUUUAUAUAUAUUUCGUCCGGAGUCUCAUCCCGACUUAUGGGGGAAUCAUAGUCUCCAUCAUCCUUUCCUCACAGGGACAAUGCUCUAAUAAUAAUGAUCAUCACACUUUUAUUUUUCUUACAACUCAACAAUUACAACUUGAUACUUAGAACAAAAUAUGACUCUAUAUGAAUGCCUCCGGUGGUGUACCGGGAUAUGCAAUGAAUCAAGAGCAACAUGUAUGAAAAUUAUGAAGGUGGCCUUGCCACAAAUACAAUGUCAACUACAUGUUCAUGCAAAAAGCAAUAUGACAAAAGUAAUGUGUGUCAUAUGAACGGAAAGGUGGAAAGUUGCAUGGAAAUAUAUCUCGGAAUGGCUAUGGUAAUGCCAUAAUAGGUAGGUAUGGUGGCUGUUUUGAGGAAGGUAUAUGGUGGGUGUAUGGUACCGGCGAAAGUUGCGCGACACAAGAGAGGCUAGCAAUAAUGGAAGGGUGAAAGGCUGCGUAUAAUCCAUGGACUCAACAUUAAUCAAAAGAACUCAUGCACUUGUCUAUUAAUCAUCUUCAAAAAGAAUAAACCUAAAAGAACUCUACAGUAAAAAUGGCAGCUAAUCUCGUUAGUGCAAAAGUUUCUGUUUUUCACAGCAAGAUCACAUAAACUUCACCCAAGUCUUCCCAAAGGUUGUACUUGGCACUUUAUUCAAACAAAAUCUAUAAAACAUGAUUAAUAAAGUAGCAUAAUCAUGUGGACACACAAAAACAGUAAGGGUAAAUAUUGGGUUGUCUCCCAACAAGAGCUUUUCUUUAAUGCCUUUCUAGCUAGGCAUGGUGAUGACAAUGAUGCUCACAUAAAAGAUAAGAAUUGAAACAUAACGGGAGCAUCAUGAAGCAUAUGACUAGCACAUUUAAGCCUAACACUCUUCCUAUGCAUAGGGAUUUUGUGAGCAAACAACUUAUGGGAACAAUAAUCAACAAGCAUAGGAAGGUAAAACAAGCAUAAGUUCAAGAUUUUCAACACAUAGGGAGGAAACUUGACAUUAUUGCAAGACAAGCAUAUAUUCCUCCCUCAUAAUUAUUUUCAGUAGCAUCAUGAAUGAAUUCAACAAUAUAACCAGCACCUAAAUCAUUCUUUUCAUGAUCUACUAGCAUAGAAAAUUUACCACACUCCACAUAAGCAACAUUCUUCUCAUUCGGAAUAGUGAGAGUAUCAUAAAAGACUUGAACACUAAAAAUUGUUUCGACAUUAAAAGAGUAAUGUUCAGAAAAAGGGUAAUCAUAAUCGUGACAAAUUUUAUAAAUAUAAUCAUCACUACUUUUUAUAGCAUAAGUUUUAUCACAAUAAUCAUCAUAAGUAGCAACUUUGUUCUCAUCAUAAUCGAUUGAAACCUCUUCCAAGAUAGUGGAAUCAUUACUAAGUAAAGUCAUGAACUCUCCAAAUCCACUUUCAUAAAUAUUAUAAGAUUCAACAUCCUCCAAUAUUGUGGGAUCACUACUUCCUAAAGUUGACAUUCUUCCAAACCCACAUUCAUAAAUAUAAUCAUCAUAAGUAGGAGGCAUGCUAUCAUCAUAACAACUUUGCAUAUCAAAACUAGGGAUGCUAAAAAUAUCAUCUUCACUAAACGUAGCAUCCCCAAGCUUGGGAGAAACAUUAAUUUCAGCAAAUAUAUUCUCAAAUAUGUCAUCCUCAUUAAACAUAGCUUCCCCAAUCUUGGGCCUUUUCAUAUCAUAAGCAUAAUCACUCUCAUCAUUAAUAGUAUGGAUUGCACCAAUAGUAUAGCAAUUGUCAUAUUCCAAGCAAGUUCGAAAAAGAUUUUCAAGAUCAUAAGAAGUAUCAUUAUCUUCCCAAUCAUAAUCAUCACAAUAAGCAAUAGGCAUAACGAGAUCAUCAUCAAGUGCAUCAUCUUCCACAAUUAUUUUUGAUUCAUUUUCAUGAGGCACAACAAUAAUAGGAGCAACUUUAUUUGGGGGAGAUACCUUUUUACCUCUCUUCCUUUUUACUUUCUUCUACUUCACCACAUCAUGUGUGGGUUCAAUCCUCUUUUUGGAGCUCCUUAUUAAUUAGAUUGGUUGAAUAGAAGGCUCCUCCUCGUUACCUGAUUCAUCAUAAGAAAUAAUAGGAGGAUAUUGGGAAGUCCCUUCCCUUUCAUUAGUAUUCUAUUCAUCUUCUAUUUGUUUUCUUUUCUUGAUGUAAUUGGCAAUAUAAGGAUUUUCAAAGCAAUUCACCGCACAAUGCAUAUAAAUUUCCCCUAGAUCAAAACCAAGAAGUUUAUAACUGGCAAAAUCUGGGAGAUAGUUGGUUAUACGUUUCAUUUCUUCAUAGACCAUAAGAAAACUAAGUUCAUUAUAAUGUGCAAGGGAAAUCAAGUCAUCACAAUUUUUGGACACGAUUAGAUCAUGAAACAAUUUGCAUCGGAUAGCUAAAUGACCACUUUCAUUGCAAAGUCCACAAGUACGGCCAAGAUAAUUUAAAUCUUCAACACAAACAUCUAGCCUUUCUUGCAACAAUUUAGUUUCUAAGUACUUAUGACUCUUGCGAUACCUAUCUUCCCUAUUUGGCGUGUACUUGAAAACCCAAUGCACUCCACAAAACUUGACAUGUUUAUAGGAGGCAUUUUCAUCAUAACUAGUGCAAUCAUCAUUAGUACUAUGGAUAUUCAAAGAGUUCAUACUAACAACGUUGAAAUCAUGCUCAUCAUUCAAAGAUUUAGUGCCAAACAUCUUAAUGCAUUCUUCUUCUAACACUUUGGCACAAUUUUCCUUUCCAUCAUACUCACGAAAGACAUUAAAAAGAUGAAGCAUAUGAGACAAACUCAAUUCCAUUUUUUGUAGUUUUCUUUUAUAAACUAAACUAGUGCUAAAACAAGAAACAAAAAGAUUCGAUUGCAAAAUCUAAAGAUAUACCUUCAAGCGCUAACCUCCCCGGCAACGGUGCCAGAAAUGAGCUUGAUAUCUACUACACAACCUUCUUCUUGUAGACGUUGUCGGGCCUGCAAGUGCACAGGUUUGUAGGACAGUAGCAAAUUUCCCUCAAGUGGAUGACCUAAGGUUUAUCAAUCCAUAGGAGGCGUUGGCUAAAGAUGGUCUCUCUCAAACAACCUUGCAACCAAAUAACAAAGAGUCUCUUGUGUCCCAAACACACCCAAUACAAUGGUAAAUUGUAUAGGUGCACUAGUUCGGCGAAGAGAUGGUGAUACAAGUGCAAAAUAGAUAGUAGAAAGAGGUAACUGUAAUCUGAAAUUAUAAAAACAGCAAGGUAGCGAGCGAUAAAAGUGAGCGUAAACAGUAUUGCAAUGAUAGAAACAAGGCCUAGGGUUCAUACUUUCACUAGUACAAGUUCUCUCAACAAUAAUAACAUAAAUAGAUCAUAUAACAAGCCCUCAACAUGCAACAAAGAGUCACUCCAAAGCCACUAAUAGCGGAGAACAAACGUAGAGAUUAUGGUAGGGUACGAAACCACCUCAAAGUUAUUCUUUCAGAUCGAUCUAUAAAAGAGUUCGUACUAGAAUAACACCUUAAGACACAAAUCAACCAAAACCCUAAUUUCACCUAGAUACACCAUUGUCACCUCAAGUAUCCGUGGGCAUGAUUAUACGAUAUGCAUCACACAAUCUCAGAUUCAUCCAACAAACAUAAAAGUACUUCAUAGAGUGCACCAAAGUUUCUACCGGAGAGUAAAGAACGUGUGUCAACCACUAUGCAUAGGUUCCCAAUGUCACGAAACCCGCAAGUUCAUCACCAAAACAUACAUCAGGUGGAUCGCAAGACAUACAUCAAGUGUUGUCAUAAAAGACUCAAUCCGAUAAGAUAACUUCAAAGGGGAAAGUCAAUUCAUCACAAGAGAGUAGAGGGGGAGAAGCAUCAUAAGAUCCAACUACAAUAGCAAAGCUCGGGAUACAUCAAGAUCCUGCCACAGAUGGAACACGAGAGAGAACACGAGAGAGAGAGAACACACACAUAGCUACUGGUACAUACCCUCAGCCCCAAGUGUGAACUACUCCCUCCUCGUCAUGGAUAGCGCCGGGAUGAUGAAGAUGGCCACCGGUGAUGGGUUCCCCCUCCGGCAGGGUGCCGGAACGGGCUCCCGAGAGGUUUAUGGUGGCUACAGAGGCUUGCGGCGGCGGAACUCCCGAUCUAUCUUCUGUUCUGGAAGUUUUAGGGUACGUAGGUAUAUAUGGGUGCAAGGGGUACGUCGGUGGACCUCCGGGGUGCUCACGAGGCAAGGGGCGUGCCCUAGGGGAGUUGGCCCACCCCCCACCCUCGUGGGAAGCCCGGGACUCCCCUAACGUGCACUCCAAGUCUAUCAGGUUGCUUUCCUUCCAAAAAUAACUUCUCCGGUUGAUUUCAUUCCGGUUCGACUCCGUCUGAUAUUCAUUUUCCUCGAAACACUGAAAUAGGCAUAAAACAACAAAUCUGGUCUGGUCCUCUGGUUAAUAGGUUAGUCCCAAAAAUAAUAUAAAAGUGGAUAGUAAAGCCCAAUAUUGCCUAAAACAGUAGAUAAUAUAGCAUGGAGCAAUAAAAAAUUAUAGAUACCUUGAGACGUAUCAGGGCUGCGCCAGGGGAAGGGUGUGGCUGCCCUCCCACCCCCUCACUAUAUAUAGGGGGAAGGGGAGAGGGGUCCGGCCCCUCUAGAUGGAUCUACAGGAGGGGGCGGGUGCCAGGGGAAACCCUAGAUGGGUUUGGGCGCCCCCACUAACUAGGAAACUUGCCCCCCAAGCCGGGAGGGGUGGCUUCCCUAGGGGUGGAAGGGGCGCACAACACCUUAGUGGGCUGGUGUGACCCCUCCCCUUGGCCCAUAAGGCCCCCCAACACUUGUUGGGGCCUCCGAAAAUCCUUUCGGUCACACUGGUCAUCACCCGGUACCUCCGGAACAAUUCGGGACUCCAAUACCCUUCGUCCAAUAUACCGAUCUUCACCUUCGGACCAUUCCAGAGUUCCUCGUCACGUCCGUGAUCUCAAACUGGAAUCCGAACAUCCUUCGGUAACCACAUACUAUUCCCAUUACAACUCUAGCGUAACCGAACCUUAAGUGUGUAGACCCUACGGGUUUGGGAACCAUGCAGACAUGACCGAGAUACCUCUCGGACCAAUAACCAACAGUGGGAUCUGGAUACCCAUAUUGGCUCCCACAUGUUCCACCAUGAUCUCAUCGUAUGAACCACGAUGUCGGGGAUUCAAUCAAUCCCGUAUACAAUUCCCUUUGACCAUCGGUAUGUUACUUGCUCGAGAUUCGAUCGUCGAUAUCCCUAUACCUUGUUCAAUCUUGUUACCGACAAGUCUAUUUACUCGUUCCGUAAUGCAUGAUCCCAUGGCUAACUCGUGGGGUCACAUUGAGCUCAUUAUGAUGAUGCAUUACCGAGUGGGCCCAGAGAUACCUCUCCGUCAUACGGAUUGACAAAUCCCAGUCUCAAUUCGUGCCAACCCAAUAGACACUUUCGGAGAUACCUGUAGUGCACCUUUAUAGCCACCCAAUUAUAUUGUGACGUUUGGUACACCGAAAGCACAAUCUCAUGGUCUAAGGAAAAGAUACUUGACAUUAGAAAUGCUCUUAGCAAACGAACUGCACGAAUCUUGUGUUAUGCUUAGGAUUGGGUCUUGUCCAUCACAUCAUUCUCCUAACGAUGUGAUCCAGUUAUCAAUGACAUCCAAUGUCCAUGGUCAGGAAACCAUAACCAUCUAUUUAUCAAUGAUCUAGUCACCUAGAGGCUCACUAGGGACAUGUUGCGGUCUAUAUAUUCACACAUGUAUUACGGUUUCUAGUUAAUACAAUUAGAGCAUGAACAAUAGACAAUUAUCAUGAGCAAGGAAAUAUAAUAAUAGCCAUUUUUAUUAUUGCCUCUAGGGCAUAUUUCCAACAUCGGGACCAAAGGCCUCUUUUCAGCAGCCCAAAGGACGGGAAGCAAAGGCGUUUGGUCCCGGUUGGUAGCACAAACUGGGACUAAAGGAGGGCAUUGGUCCCGGUUGGUGCCACGAACCGGGACUAAUGGCUUUGCUAUAUAAGAAACACUUAGGAAAUUUUCAGAUUCAUCUCUGCAGUUUCCUGCCCCGAUGAUGCCGCCAGGCCGCCCGACCUCCCCCCAUCGACGCCGUCACCGUCCCUGCCGCCGCUGUCGCCCGCGCCCGUCGUCUCCUGCCAUCCCCGCGCCACCCCUGCCCCGACGUCGUCGCCCAACACCGUCGUCGCCGUCCCUGCGCUCGUCGUUGCCGCCGUCUGCCCCCUGCCCCGCCGCUGUCGCUCUGCCUCGUCGUCGUGCGCCGUCCUUGCUGUGAGCGCCGCCGGCCUCUUUUUGUAUGAUUUUUUUUGUUGUAUGCAUUGACGUAUUUUGAUGUAUGAUUUCUUUUUUGUUCAUAUGAUGUAUGUUUUUUUUCAUAUAUAUAUAGAUGAUGUCUGUUUUUUUGUUAGGUUAGUAUGGAUAUUAGGUUAGUGGAGAGGAAAAAGAAAAAGAAGGAAAAAGAAGAAAAGAGGAAGAAGGAAGAAGGAAUAAGAACAAAAAGAAGGAGAGGAAAAAGUAAAAUAAGAAGAGGAAGAAGGAGAAGAAGGGAAUAAGAGGAGAAGAGGAGAAAAAAAAAGAAGAGGAACAAGAAGAAAAAAAGGAGAAGAANNNNNNNNNNNNNNNNNNNNNNNNNNNNNNNNNNNNNNNNNNNNNNNNNNNNNNNNNNNNNNNNNNNNNNNNNNNNNNNNNNNNNNNNNNNNNNNNNNNNNNNNNNNNNNNNNNNNNNNNNNNNNNNNNNNNNNNNNNNNNNNNNNNNNNNNNNNNNNNNNNNNNNNNNNNNNNNNNNNNNNNNNNNNNNNNNNNNNNNNNNNNNNNNNNNNNNNNNNNNNNNNNNNNNNNNNNNNNNNNNNNNNNNNNNNNNNNNNNNNNNNNNNNNNNNNNNNNNNNNNNNNNNNNNNNNNNGAGGGGUCGAGGGUCGAGGGUCAUCGAGAGUCGAGGGUCGUUUAGAGUCUAGGGUCGAGAGGUCAUCGAGGGGUCGAGGGUUGAGGGGUCGAGGGAUCGAGGGUCGAGGAUUGCCGAGGGUCGAGGGUUUCCGUUUACAAGAAAGCCCCCAUUAUGGAUGUGCACAAGUUCAUUUUUUUCUGAUCUCAUCCAUGGCUACAUCAUUUGCUGGAAGUAACAGGAGUAUGACACUACGAAACUCUUCAAACUUGUUUUGGAAAGGAGUUCCGAAUAGGAUGAUUCGCUUUUUUCUAUGGAUUUCAGCAAAGGCCUUCCAAAUAGCGAUAUUCGGAAGGCUCUUGCUGAACUUCGUACCAAAAAGAGAAUUUUCCUAUCCGAGACUCCGUUCCAAAACAAUUUUGGAGAGCAUCGUACCGUUAUCCGCCCGUUACUUUCGGCAAAUGAUGAAGCAAUGGUUUUCUUGAGAUCAGGAAAAGUAUGGACCAUUUUAUGCACAUCCAGAAUGGCACCAUCUUAUUAAAUCCCUUAAAGGUUAAGAGAAUCCGAGCAUUCGAGGAUCGGAAAUAGCUAGGGUAGGGGGUCAAGGGUCGUCGAGGGGAUGAGGGUCGAGGGUCUCCGUUCAACAAGAAUGCCCCCAUGAUGGAUGUGCACAAGUUGAUCCUUUUUUUUCUGAUCUCAUCCAUGGCUAGAUCAUUUGCUGGAAGUAACAGGCGUAUGACUCUAAGAAACUCUUCAAAGUUGUUUUGGAAUGGAGUUCCAAAUAGGAUGAUUUGAUAUUUGGUACGGAUUUCAGCAAAGGCCUUCCAAAUAGCGAUAUUCGGAAGGCUCUUGCUGAACUUCAUACCAAAAAGCGAAUUAUCCUAUCCGGGACUCCGUUCCAAAACAAUUUUGGAGAGCUUUGAACCGUUAUGCGCCUGUUACUUUCGGCAAAUGAUGAAGCAAUCGUUUUCUUGAGAUCAGGAAAAAUAUGGACCAUUUUCUGCACAUCCAGAAUGGCACCAUCUUGUUAAAUCCCUUAAAGAUUAAGAGAAUCCAAGCAGUCGAGGAUCGGAACUAUCUAAGGUAAGGGGUCAAUGGUCGCCGAGGGGAUGAGGGUCGAGGGUCUCCGUUUAACAAGAAUGCCCCCAUUAUGGAAUGUGCACAAGUUUAUCCAUUUUUUUUCAAUAUCAUCCAUGGCUACAUCAUUUGCUGGAAGUAACAGGCGUAUGACGCCACAAAGCUCUUCAAAGUUAUUUUGAAACGGAGUUCCGGAUAGGAUGACUCGCUUUUUGGUAUGGAUUUCAGCAAAGGCCUUCCAAAUAGCGAUAUUCGAAAGGCUCUUGUUGAACUUCGUACCAAAAAGCGAAUUAUCCUAUCCGGGACUCCAUUCCAAAACAAUUUUGGAGAGCUUCGUACCGUUAUGCGCCUGUUACUUUCGGCAAAUGAUGAAGCAGUGGUUUUCUUGCAAUCAAGAAAAAUAUGGACCAUUUUAGGCACAUCCAGAAUGGCACCAUCUUGUUAAAUCCCUUAAAGGUUAAGAGAAUCCGAGCAUUCGAGGAUCAGAACUAGCUAGGGUAGGGGGUCAAGGGUCGUUGAGGGGAUGAGGGUCGAGGGUCCUCGAGGGGUCGAGGGUCGAGGAUCGCCGAGGGGUUGACAGGGGGACGUCGAUCAACCCCUUCUCGCUCGACCAACUCUCGAGGACACCCAAACCAUAGAAAAAAAAUGUUGUCGAUCUCAUACCCCCUAUCGCCCCUACCUGACAAACUCUCUCGUGAUUUAUAAGAGAUUUAUCAAGAAUGCCCCCAUUAUGGAUGUGCAUAAUUAAGUUGAUCCCUAUUUUUUCCUGAUUUCAUCUACCAUUCCAUAUGUGCGCGUUCUCUUGAGUCAAAGUAUUGAAUCGUUUGACACUACUAGACAACGUGACAUAUAGAAGGGUAGAUGAGAUCAGGAAAAAAUAGGGACCAUUUUUUUCUGCACAUCCAGAAUGACGCCAUCUUGUUAAAUCCCUUAAAGGUUAAGAGAAUUUGAGCAGUCGAGGAUCGAAACUAGCUAGGGUAGGGGGUCAAGGGACGCCGAGGGGAUGAGGGUCGAGGGUUGUCGAGGGGUCGAGGGUCGAGGAUCGCUGAGGGGUCUAUGUUUGCCACUAUUAAUAUAUCCAUCUCUCAUGUUUGUAUAUUAAUUGCCAUGUUGUAAUAUUUGGAGAAACUAUGGAUCAACAAAGAGACUUCGGACAAGAAGAGAUAUUGGGGGACAUAAUCUGCGAAGGAGGUGAUUUCUUGUUGUUUCUCAACAACCUUGAAGAAGGUCUGGAAGGAGAGAAAUCAGGUUACGGUGAUCAAACAAUGGAGGAGGAAAGUCAUGAUCAUGAUGGUGGCUCCGGCGACCGUGAUGACGGCUCCGGUGACCGAACGGAGUCGGGAUCUACUGUUUGCAAAGUACGGCGAGGUAUAGCCUGUGCUGACUAGCUAAUUGAUUCAUUAAUUGUUUUGGUAUAUACAUAUAUUAACUCUUCUUUCUUCUUUUAUAGCCCUCCGGAUCGAGCAAAACUUCGGUAACGAGACGAGGCCCGAAGAAAAAGUUGGGCCCGGAUGAAAGGUUCACGAUCACAGAAAUCGCGCGCGAUGGCCAACCGAUUAAACCCCUCGAGACCAAGGAAGCAUUUUCUGCUUAGUGCGGGGUUCUUGUUAGGGACAUGAUACCGAUCAGCAUCCACCAAUGGUAUAAGCAUAAGAAGGAAGACCCUCAAGUUUCUUUUGUCGAAGAUAGACAGAAAAAUGAUCUUUGGACCGCGCUGAAAGAAAAUUUCACCCUACCGGCAGAGGAGGAUCCGGAGAAGCCAGUUAUAGAGCCAUUGAUCAAGGCUCAUGCUCUCAACAAGAUGGCAGAUCUAUUCAGGAGGUGGAAGAAUGAUUUGAAAUCAAUGUAUGUCGACAAAAACAAGAGUCCAGAAUUCACCGGUCGAUUUGAGAAUAUAAGAGAUCACUGGACAAUACUUGUGGCCCACAAUACAUCGGAGAAGAGUAAGAAGAUGUCAGCAAUUAACAAUAUAAAUGCUGCAAAGAACGAGCAUCACCAUCUCACAGGGUCAGGUGGCUACCUCAAAUCUCGGCUGUUGCGGGACAAGGCUGAGCAGGACCUGAUUGCCAAAGGGGUCAAACCAGAGACAUUGCACUGGCCAGACCGUUCAAGGACUUGGUUAUUAGGGGUUGGGGGAACCUUGGACCAUGAAAUAGGGAAGUGUUGUUGGACGGAUGAGCAACUUGGAACACCCAUCACGAAGCUUCAGAAAGCAAUCAAGGAAGUGCGGGAAGGGAUGUUCGUUCCCCACAGAGAGAACAACGAGCUCACAAAGGCCCUCUGGAAUCCUGAGCACCCUGGACGAACAUGAGGCACGCUAGGCUCAGUUGCGUGGAAGGUUGGGUUUCCUGAGGCAGGUGGUUACAAAACCCAAGAGAGGAGGAGGAAAGUGGAGCAGAGCGAACUGAGCAGCUUCAGGAAAGGGUAAGAAAGCUAGAGGAAUGACAAGCUGUUGAGAACCAGCGAGAUCCUAUCCAAGCUACCCUAGAAGCUACCCCGCCAUGUCAGCGGAGAAGCAACGUGACUUCCACAGAGCUCAUUCAGCAGCCUGCUUCACGGGUCCUAGCUACCCCGUGGAUUUUAUCACGGAUUCACACCAGUGCCAUCUUAUGACGCAAUGGCUUCAGCUCAAAGUCAAGGCGGUUGUCGGCUCUGUGUUCCCUCCUUCACCCGGAGCAACUUUUCACUGUCGUCCGAUUCCACAAGGCUAUGUUGUUGUGACGGUGGAUGAAAUAACAGAGGGAUUUGAGGAUCUCUAGCUUGACCACCCUACAGGUGAUGGGGAGACUCAGCUGGGUCUUUCUCUGAAGACUCCGUUCCUAUGGUGGAAGGAGCACAUCAAGCUUCUGAACUUCACGCCUCUAGCGAGUCAGCUGGGCACUCCGCCUCCCCCACCUCCUCCGACGAGUGAUCGGGUCACUCCGCCUUCUGCUCCGGUGCGUGAGGGUGGUAGUACUCCGCCUCCUUCUCCGCCUGUUCCGGCUCGUCCAAGCAGCCCACCUCCUCCUUCGCCGCCUCGUAAGCAACGGCGACGGAGGAACACAGGCGCCGCUGCUCGGGCUGCUACGACGUGUCGUGGCAGUCCGCCUCCUUCUUCUCCGCCUCGUAAGCAACAAAAUAAGACAGCCGCAGCCGCUCCGGCUGCUCCGGCAUCUAGCAGUACAGCUAGAGGCGGGAGGUAAUACAGAUUUGGUCCAUCGUCUCUCAAGCCUCUAGAGAAUUACCAUACGAGAGGAGCGAGGAGGAAAACCAUAAGAUCUGUGAAGGCCAAAUGAGGGACUUCUUUGAAUUGGUAAAAGCUAAGAAACAUCCACCUCCGGAGGAGAAGAUAGAUCCGGUGAAAGUGAAGCGCACUUUGGAUGCCUGGCAGCGACCAUCGCCACCUCCGCUGUAAUCCAACUAUGACCGUGUUAUUGAAAGGACAUAUAAGGAAGCAAAGCGGUCGGGAAGUACUUGCACUAAUCAAAGGUUAGCAAAACAAAGAAGUGGGAAAAAAUUCCCCAGCUCGGCGAACAAGCGAAGCAAUCGUGCCCCCCGCUCAAUGUGUCUAGCGAUAUCGUUGCUAAUCUUUUGGGGAUGCUGCCCGGUACCAAUCCUGGAGAUUACAUGCCCGACGAUGCACUUUUUGAUACAAUGGAGGUCGACACAUUAAAAUUCCGGCACGGGAAGCCUCUCGUCAAACCUGGUACUCCUCUAACAACGAUGAUGUGAAGAUUCCAUGAUUGGUACAUGGACAUCUGCAGCAAGUCUGGGACGGAUACUUUGACGCUGAGAGUUAAAGAGGAGCACGACCUCAUUGGAAUUGAUCUGUUGUCUGUUCUAUAUUAGGAGUUCUUCCAGUUUUUCAACCAAAAGGCCCUCGAUAAAGCAAUCAUCACUUGCUACUGUCUGUAAGUACUACUUCUCUGUAAUUAAUUAAGUCUCUAUAUAUAGCUCAGCUCUUUCAUUGCAUGUAUAUAUAAUUAUCCUCACUAUAUUAUGCAGAUUGAAGAUCGCCGAAUUGAAGAAAAGACAAAUAGGUGAUAUUGGGUUCAUUAAUAGAAAUCUCAUGGAUGAAUGGAAUGUUACACAUGAUGCCAAACUAACCGAGGCCAACUUGCUCGCAUCGUUACUUUGAAAUCAAAACAAAGAUACAAUACUCUAUCCUUACGAAUACAGGUGAGUGUUAUUGUCUUGUGCAUAUUCGGUUUCCCUUAUUACUCGAGGUUAUAGUAAUGUAAUUGAUGAGUUAUGGGUGCGUGCGCAGCUUCCACUUUAUUCUGCUAGAGAUUAAGCUUGAGGAGGGACUAGUAAACGUCAUAGACUCGAAACGAUAAAAUCCCGAGGAGUAUGCGACCACGACUAAAAUGCUCGAGAAGUAAGUCCAAUAGAUCAUUAUCGCACCAUAUCAGCAACUUUGUUCAUUUCCUGAUAUCAAGUAAUUGUUUUCUUUGUCUGGCAGGGUUUGGAAAAAAUUCACUGCACACAAGCUCCGGGACUGCCGGCGGAGCUGCGUUUUAACCACCCGAAAGUAAGUACUACUAGCUAGUUCCGCGCAUCUCCCAUUGAUUCUAGCUAGUUUCGUCAACACCAUUUAGCAUGCUUGCUUAUCAGUUUGAUUCACCUCUAUUUCUUGUAAAGUGGUUGUGGCAGGAACCCGGGAAUGAUUUUUGUGGAUACUACAUUUGCGAGUUCAUCCGCCACACGACCUGAGGGGGGCUACUCUAAAAAACAAUACGAAGUCCGUAAGCCAUAAUAUUCACAAUUUUAUUUUGUUACCAUCAUUUGUGUUGAGUUUCAUUCAUAUAUAUGUAUUGACCCCCUUCUUCAAAUUAGAUGUUUUAGAUGCGGGAUGAACUCAUACCACAAGAUCACAUAUGAGCAAUUCAAGAGGAAUUGGCGGGAUUCGUUCUUGACCACGUCUAUCAACAAAGACGGAGAAUACCAUGUGAAAGUUGAGUUCAGAUGUAGGGGAUUGUAAGAGAUCUUAUAUUGUAUAUAUGUAGCCAGUAGCGUCGGAUAGAUAUACGAAAACUUAUGGUUCGACCAAUCUCUCAGAGAAGGAGAGGUCGAUCACUUCUCUUUGUAUAUGUUCACGACGAUCUUCUAUACUUAGUGGUUUCCUUCAUUUGCUUACUAGCUAGCUAGCGUGUUGAGACCUCUCUAUACGUCUAUACGUAUAGUACGUAGCGUCAACCAAGCACGGAGAUAAAAGAGGACACUUCUCAAUAUAUGAAACCCCNNNNNNNNNNNNNNNNNNNNNNNNNNNNNNNNNNNNNNNNNNNNNNNNNNNNNNNNNNNNNNNNNNNNNNNNNNNNNNNNNNNNNNNNNNNNNNNNNNNNNNNNNNNNNNNNNNNNNNNNNNNNNNNNNNNNNNNNNNNNNNNNNNNNNNNNNNNNNNNNNNNNNNNNNNNNNNNNNNNNNNNNNNNNNNNNNNNNNNNNNNNNNNNNNNNNNNNNNNNNNNNNNNNNNNNNNNNNNNNNNNNNNNNNNNNNNNNNNNNNNNNNNNNNNNNAAAACCGCAGCCCAUGAACUGCUGAUGCGUGGAAGCCUUUUGGUCCCGGUUGGUGGCACCAACUGGGACAAAAGGCCCUCCUUCCUGGGCAAGCCGCAGUGGCCAUGUGGAGCCCCAUCUGUCCCGGUUCGUGGACGAACCGGGACUAAAGGUGUUGGGCUUUAGUACCGACACUUUAGUCUCGGCUCAGAAACCGGGACAAAUGGGCCUUAUGAACCGGGAAAAAUGGAGCUUUUUCUACUAGUGACACUUUCCAACUUGUAAGCUACAAGAAAUCCGCAUAGCCUACAUCAACGUUGUAUUGUUGAAUACACUAGUACGAGAUGUUGAAAUCUCAUAGGAGUGCGAAGAUGCAUCUUUCUAUAGUGUCGAUGCAUAAGGGUAGGAGACAUGGGAAACAUAGCAAUAUUAAGGGCACUGCAAAUUUGUGAAAGUUAGUCUCACGACGCUGUUUCUUAGAGCUAUGUCCCUAACAUUGUACUCCCUCAAAUCCUAACUAGUGUCUAUUUUUUUUCCAUUUUCCCAUCAAUACUCUGCGUGGUCCAGAGAUUCGGCGAUAGUUUCCUAUCAUGCCCCUGUUUUAGGUUCGAAUGCAAUGUCUCAUAAUUAUCGCACGCAGAGAGAUAGGUUUAUUCAGGCAUGCAGGAAAUAAAAUCUGCAGGCGCAUGGAAAAAUAGUCAAGAUAAUAUCUUGUUGGCACUAAGGCGGACGAAAUGAUAAAGAACUAGAUGAUGCCCCACGUGUUGCUGCUGGAACCCUUAGUCCUACGCAUAUAUGAUAAUACAUAAAUUGGAUUCCUAUGUUUGCAUAGUAGAUAUAUGAUCUCAAGAUAGUGAAAUGUGCAUUAUGUGAUAUUUUUAUUAAAUAUAGUGGUACGGCAUAAUUAAUCUCAUAUAAUUUACAUACAUACCAAUGUAUAUAUACACAUUAAGUACAGAGAUUAUAAAUUGGAGAUGACAUAAAACAUUAUGUACAAAUUGUCAUUUUGAGAUACUUACUAUGUAUUAUCUGGUUACUCCUGUUGUAAAUCAAUCUUCUGCAUUUUACUACGUAAGUUGUACGUAGUAUAGCCAAGUAGGUAUUACAGAAGUUUAUAGCAGGAAGCAUUAAGACAAUCUGCCAGAGCACAAUCAACCAAAUUUUAAAAAGUUGAGUGGAAAUAACACUACCUGAGAAAUCAAAUGCAUAAUAGAGGAAAACACAUUUUUUUACGGAGUAGAGGAAACUAAUUACGCAUUUACGCUCCUGGUUUCAAUCCAGGACUUCAAAGCUUGUGUGGAGUCAUCUAGUAAGCACCUCCCUACAAAGAAGCAUCAGUAUUAAAUUUGAUAAGACAAUUUGAUAACAAUACAGAAGAAAAACGAGUGACCAUGCAUCGUUGGGAUAGCAAAUAAUUAGGUAUUAAGGUAAGGGAUUAUACUACGGGCUCAUGGGCGUCGUCAGCACCAUCGAAGGGAAGGUGCUCCCGAACGACACCAAGAUGCGUGUCGGCGCAUGGUAAAGUACGUGCCCUUCUCCAUGGGGGCGGAUCGAGAACAAUUGGGGGCCCGACACCGCUAGCUUCGUGCAAGCGGUGGAUCGGCGACAACGGGACGUUCUGCAACGCGUUGCCGUUCAAGUUCAUGGCGUCCCGGCUCUGACUAUGCAAGGACUCGGUGUACCUGUAGAUGAAGAUGGCGUUGGCCAUUCUGUGCAGGUUCUUUAGGUUAGUUGAUGACCACCUUCUCCAUGGCACACGACCUGAAGUUUCACAUCUCCAGGUUGCAUUUGUUUGGUGUACAAGAUGGCGAUAAUCUGUUGUAGAAGAUAAACAAAGCCAUGGAAAAUCAGUUGGUAGGGGAAUAAGCAAAGCCAUGGAAAAUCAGUUGGUAGGGGAAUUAAUUGGGGUGAUGAAGGAGAUUUUCUACCAUAUACUGCUAGAAGAUAAAGAGAGCCAUGGGAACUCAAUCAGCGGGGGAGUUAAUUGGGGAGAGAUAGGGAAACGUUGGGGCUAACUGCGAAUAGGCCUUGUGGAGCAUGGAGUAAUUAGUGUGCGAUUACCACAAAAGAAAAAUUGGUUGGUAAUAUAUAGGUAGUUUGUAAGAUUAACUGAAACCACAAAAAUAAGUAAUAACAUAGAUGGAACAUAUAUAUACAAUGCCAUAUAUACCUUUUUAAAUUUUUCAGUAAAAAUGACAUGAAAUAAAAAAAUUGUGUAACUGAUAGUAGUACUAUAGGCGGUGAAUAAACCUCUCAAGUACGACAUGAAAUAACUUGUUCCUACCCACACGUUGUAUUUUCUUAUUUAUACAUCAUAUCACAUGCUUUCUUUACAAAGUUAUCCCGUGGAUCGAACAACUCAAAAACACACAUGUUCAUCUAUAAUUUCCAGGCGUUCUGUAUACGAACCUCUUGAAACAGGGCUUAAUGCUAUCGAUUCGAAGAUCCCUAUAGGGUGCGGUUAGCGAGAGUUCAUUACUGGGGACAGACAUACUGGCAAAACAACAGUAGCCACAGAUACAAUUCUCAAGAAAAAAAGGAAAGGAUGUAAGAAAAACUAGAGCGAGCCUUCACGAAAGAAAAUGCAAGUGAAAGAGAAUUGUAAAAAUGUCCUAAAAGUGGUGGUUCUUUUCUUUAUGGAUCGGGUAGAUCCAUAUUUUCUGAGGGGGAGACGCUACCACUACUACACCCACUAUCACUAUCACUACCACUACCAUCACCACCACUACUACUCCUACUACUAUCAAUGGCACGCUUUGGGGUUGGUAAGAAUAUGGUCAUUAUUGUAGUUUGUCGAUAGUGGACUUGAAUGCUUUGCACUUUCAUUUUUUGCUCGCUUCAGCAUAACUUGGGUCUUUUAUGACUUCUUUAUUGGCCGGCAAAUUUGUUUGUGUGUGUGUGUGUGUGCGCGCGCGCCUUCAUCUUGGCUGUGUUCAUUCUAUCUGUGGAGCUCAUUGUGUUUGUAUUAUCUUGAUGCUUCAUUUUGAGUCAUUAAAUUCAGUCUUCGUUGGAGAAAAACCAAGGUGAGGGACAUGAUCGACAUAAAUUACUUGUCUAUCAUAUAUUACUUCUACAAUUUUUCCAGUUGCAAUGCCCAGUUACCUUACCAGUGUCUGCUGACAAAUGGCUAAAAAUAGCAGUUUUACUACCAGCAUGACUCAAAUAUAAUGCUCAUCAUCUCUUAUAAUUUAAACCCGUAAGAGAUCCUCUGCAUUCACUUUAUUUCCAUCGUAUCUCACGGUAGUUAUGUGGAAUAAAAUAUCAGGAGAAAUGAUUAUAAGUAUAAACCAUAUACUGGAAAUGUACAUGGUAAAACAUACAAUAAAAUCUCGGUUCUACACAAAUGGCUAAAAAUAGCAGUUUUACUACACAAAUUAAACUUCUCCGCUCUCUCAUUUCACACACACCUCCUACCUUGUACUGCUACAAGGAAUUAAAACCCAACUUCUUUGGGCAAAGUUAAAAAAACCAACUUACAUCGACUUUCUAGUCUUCAACAUACCUGCACGGGAUUUUGAAAUGAGAUAGGAGUACCUGGAUGCAUCUUCCUAUAGAUUCAAAGCGUAAGAGUAGGAGCCAUGGGGAACUUAGCAAUAUCUACGACACCCCAAAUUUGUGCAACGGAGACUCGCGAAACAGUUUUUGACAGCUACGCCCUUAUACUAUAAAGCUCACCUUUUUCCUUGGCCUGAGAACCACAUAUGUGAUGGAAAUGCGAUGGUAAUAAGGCGGACCAAAUGAUAAAUCAAACAUUUUGCAAGACAAUGGCGCGUGCCUAUGAAGAGAAUAGAAACCCAACAUCUUGUCGUGCCCCGCCGUAAGUUUUCGCACCAAGGCCUUCUCUGAGAAAAUAUGUUAGACCAGUUUUUUUAGUAAAUUUACAUAUUUCUAUUUGUACUUCAAUCGAAAUAUAUGUUCAUAUUUUCUGCCAAAACUAAAAUUAUAUCAAAACUUACAUACCGAUCUGUAUUCGGAAAAUUCUAAAAUUUUAGAACUUUUAGCACUAAGAUAAUUUCUGAGAUACACAUUUUCGGCCACAUUUUUACUAAAAUCACUUGAAUAAAAUUAGAUAUAUCUAUUUGAACUUCAAUAAACAUAUGGAGUUCAUAUUUGCUACCGAAGUUGGAUAGUUAUCUAAAUUCGGAUACCAAACUGUAUUUGUAAAAUUCUACUGCCUCUGAUCCAAAACAAGUGUCGCAGCUUUAAAUUAAGGUUAGUUAAACCUUAGCUCAAAGAUGCGACACUUAUUAUGGGUCGGAGGGAGUACAGUUUUUGAUGGAAAAAGACUGAAAUUAUGUGGUUGUGUGAUAUUGGUAAGCAGCUGACGAUCAACUAUCCACUUUCAAUGUGACACAACAUAACUUUCUUGUUAUUUUUUAUACCAUAAGCAUUUAGUCCACGUACUCCAAGCUGAAGGCUAUCACUAAAAUUUACUAAAACUGCACAAGUAAUUGAUAACAUAGACUUACAAUGACAUCAAUUUUGUAAUAUUCUAACAGUGUCUGAUUAAAGUUUUUAAUAUUCAAUCUAAAAUGCCUGAAACAAUAAGAAAAAUCUGUGCAAUUUAUAGUUGCAAUGCAGGCAGUGAACAAAUCUCUCAAUCAGGAAAUGAAAAUAAAUUGUUUAUUGCCGCAAGUUAUGUUUGCUUAUUUUGGUCACAUUACAUUAUUUCUUUCCUGAACUGAUCUUGCGAUUCUGUCUAGUCAAAAACACAAAAACAACAUAUUGUAGUUAAAGGCUUUACCAACCAUCAUCGUGGGGAAAGUCAUCGUCAAAACUGUUUUUCAUAAACUAAAUAAGCAUCAUCUUUUUUUCCCUGAAAAGUUACCCAUGAUUGUCUUUUUUUUCAUGUGGAUGAGGAUACAACAUAGAAAAAGAAAAUUGAUCAUCCCACGGUUACUUAAGCCAUUCCGGAUCGAGCUAUGUUGAGAUGAAAAAGGUCGAACUUCAGUAUAAAUGCUUACAUGUAAAUAUAUUUCAGGUAUAGUAUAUUUUUGGAAAAAUUCAAACACCUGACUCAAAUUAGCAUGGAGAGAAUAUGUCCAUCCGUGCGCCUCCUGUAAAUAAGGAGAAAAUUCUAUUAUUCCCAUGGUCCACCUAUAGCGAAAAGUAGAUAUUAACUUUCUAUUUGUGCAAGUAUUUAGUGCCGCAGUCCACUCAGCUUUCUUAUGUCGUACCCUGUCAGAACGCCGGUUUAUUACUGUGAUUGGAUCCAUAAUUACAAGUUCAUACUCUCCGAUCAAUUUAUAACAAACAUGAAGUAUAUUGUACGUACUAUCACAACCAAGAGUAUUCCAAUUUUUUGCCCUACAAGCUAACAACCAGUGUCUAAUUAAUUGACAUCUCGCUGGAUGAUCUUUCAUGUACACUGUUUGAAAUUUACCUUAAUCUGUCUAGAAGUAUAUUGCAGUGUAUUGGAUGAUGGUGAUUUAAGCAGUUCUAAGUAUAUUCUGAUUUCUUAUAAUUAAGCCAGUAGGAGUUUUUGUUGGUGGUUGCAUUCACUAGAAUUCUGUGUGUUUUGUUGAGGAACCAAAGUGAGUGAAAUGCCAUAGUUCCAUUCCUAGUAAAUUGUUGGGUUCAUUCCUACGUCUUGCUUGGAGCAACAAACUGGAAUGGAAUGCUUUCCCAGUCUUGCAUAUAUCAAAAGUGCUGAAUAACAUGCGCACGCAAGUAGAGCUGAUCAGCUGAGUAUACAAUCCAUAUAUCAAAAGUACACAUGGUACAAAGUACAGCAAACUCGGGGAGUGGAAGAACAACCAAACAUCGAUACAACAGUGUGGCCGGCCAUGCAGAGCUACUUGGACGUACGUACUCCUCUCUCUCUCACGCAGUGAGAUAAUAUGAGAGCAUUUAUUCAUAUAUAUAUGUGGGUGUGCGUGUGUGUGACCUCAACGUACUAAGCGUAGAUCCAGCAACGAUGGCGUAGGGGACGAUGGCAACAGCGAUGGCAGCAAGUGCUCGAUCAGCGAAUCUUAGAGCAGUCGACCGAAGAGCUGAUGGCGUAAGGGACGCUAACGCCGCACUUUGUGGGGAUGCCGGCGGCCUUGCCAGCGUUGAGCCCAGCAGCAGCGCUCUUGAUGCACUUGCACGCCGCUUGCUUGUCAGCGGUGCUCCGGGCUGAGCUGGCUAGACUCCUAACGCCGCUGCAGCAGGCCGCAGAUGGGCUGGCGCCGUUGCCGCGUGCAUAGGAGAUGCAGGGGCUCAAGGCAGAGCUCACCUGACCGCACGAUACAGCCGCCUCCGUGACUGCGAGGAGCAUAGCAGCCACCACGGCGACGAGCACGACCUGAGCAAUAGUAGUGGUAGUGAGCUCAGGCAGAGAUGAUGAGAUAGCUAGAUUUGCUAAGUGAUUGUAAUGGUGAGGAGUUUCGUGGGGAUGCAUGGGCUUAAAUAGGGCUUCUUACCAUCACGGGAUUCCAUUCGGAAUAAACAGUGUAGUUUCUUGGUGUCAAGUAUUGUGUCUACGUGUGCCAAUUCAAUUGAUGCGAGCAAAUGCAUGAAUUUAGGUUGUUGGAUGUUGGAAUUGAUUUAUGGGUGUUAAUGCAUUUAGGAGAUAGUUGGUUGUUACCGUUUGGUUGGGCCGAUGGAUGGACCAAGCACUACAUCCAGGCGUUCUAGCGGUGGAAUGUGGUUGAUUAGCGUGUACACAGCAGAUUAAUUAUGAGACUAAGACAUGUACGCAGUCAUAUAGUGGCCGACCAUGGAGUAGUUGAGUGCAUCUAUGAUGGUGAGCACGACCAUUGAACUGUGCAUAUACGUACAUCAUCAUUUUUACCCAAAAUACGCUCUGGCCUACCGAAUCCAAUAGCUCAGCUUCAAAGCGGAAACCGGAUUUGCUUCCAAUAGAAGCACAGCCGUGCAUCUCGGAAAAGGGAAAAAAAAUGUUUUUUCCAUCCACAAGAGGUACUGAUUUACUUCUCGUGGAGUCAAGAAUUUGCUUAUGCGAGAGGGAAAAAUCUUGGAUUUUUUCGACCAUGAGAGGCACUAAUUUACUUCUCGUGGAGGCACGGAUUUGCUUCCACGACAAGCACGGCCGUGCCUCUCAGAAAAAGACAAAAUAUGUUCUUUUCCUUCCACGAGAGGCACUAAUUUAGUUCUCGUGGAGGUGCGGAUUUGCUUCCGCGAGAAGCUUGGUCAUGCUCUUGGAAAGGGAAAACCGUGCUCUCGGUUCGAGUUUUUUUCGUCCGAUUUUUUCGUGGAAAAAAGUUCGUCGAAACCUAUCAACAUACGAUCUAGUUUUAUAGAUCUCGACGCGAGGAAUCCAACGGUGAAAUGGUUUAGGAUUUGGACACAUGGUUGAGAGAUAAAACAUUUUGAAUAAAAAAUCUACGAAAAAGGAAAAAUUCCAGGUUGCGACAAGUGGCGCACAUGCAGUUCGACACAUGUUGCACCAUGGGAAGGUGUGAGUGACAUUUACAAAGAGUACUCUUUAAUCAGUGAUUUCGGUAGUUGAGUGCAUUAAUUAUGAUGAGCUCGACAAGUGAACUAUAUCAAUCUAGUUGUGCAUGUGGUCAUGCAUGCCUGGGGAUCAUCUACCUUGCCUUACUUGGUUCCAAUAUCACAGCUUAACAUUCAUUGGUACCAUAUUCAGAGCUACAUUUCGAAUUUUUAUUUGUACAUCAUGCAUGUUUUAUCCGAAGGUGAUCCCACGAUUCUAGCAACUCAAAAACACAAAAGGACACAUGUUCAUGUUAAGACCUUUAUGUCCAUCAUCUUCUUGGUCGUCGUUACUAUUAUAGUCAUUAUUAUUGUUAUUGUUGUUCUUGUUGUUACAAUUUAUUUGUGGGGAACGCCAUUGCCCGUCUUGUUCUAAGAGAAAACAAAGGAACACUAUCUCUUGUUUCCUCACAAGAUACCCUUGCCUGUCUUUUUCGUUCACGUGGAUGUGUGUACCACCUUCAGAAACGAAAUUGAUCGUUCCACGUUAACUCUAGUAAUAUAUCAAUGGAACUAAGUUGGUAAAAACCGGACGAUAUUCGAUCUAAAUGCAUAUAUAAAUAUAUUAUUAGUUAAUAUAUUUUCAGUUGUUUUACAAAUACACAUUCUAAAUUACCACAGAGCAAAAAUGUGCACUUGGGAGACUUGUAAUUCAGCACCAAAUGUCACUGUCCCCUUGGUUCACCUGGAGUGAAUAGAUGUUAACUUGCCUCUGUGCAAGUAUUCAGUGCCAUAGUCCACUCGGCUUUUUAUUAAUGGUAAGUGCCUCAUCCGUCAAUGUAGCAGCAUGUCUCAUGAUGAUUUAGUAAUGCCGAUGGAUGCGUCAUUAGAGCAUCUCCAUCCACAAACACACUAAGCAGGCCCCAAAACACCCGCGGACGCGUCCGCGGACAGUGACCGGACAGCACAGCAAAAACGUCCGCCACAACCAUAAAACUCAAAUUUCGUACCUCCGUACCCAAAUAGCACAGCCAUGUAAAUAAAAACCUAUGUACUACGUACAUAGCUAAAAGAACUAUUGUUGGAGAUGUUGACGGUCUCCUUGCCUGGGGCUAGGUAGAUGGGAAAGUGCGGUAGCUCCUGCGCCUGUGAAGACUCUGGCCCCUCUCCACCUCCGCCUUCCCGUCCAAUUCUAUGAACAGUGCUUCCAUCGACGCCUGUUUAAUUCCGAUGAACUGUCGGUUAGCCUCGACAUAGACCUCGUCCAGGAUGGACUCAUGGACGGCGGUCUGUUCUACCAUCUCCAUCGCUUGGGCGGCCUCGUACUCCACCUUGGCAUCCGCCACGGCGAAGCCCGCAGACAGCCACACCUCCACCUACUCCCCUCUGGCUCCGCUACCUCCUUCUUCACGGGCUCUGCUUUCGACAGCCGCUCCCCCUCCUCCUUCUCCUCCUCCUCCUGCCCCACCUGCUCCUCUUUAUCCUCCUCCUCAUCCGCCACCACCUCCUCCAUGAGAUAAUACGAAGGCUUUUUUUCGUGUGUGUGUGUGUGUGUGACCUCAACGUACACAUGGUGACCAUUGGUUGAUCAACAAAUCUUAGAGCAGUCGACGGAAGAGCUGAUGGCGUAGGGGAUGUUGAUGCCACACGCUUGGAGGGAAUGUUGACGACGUUGCCAGCGUUGAGCCCACCGGGAGCGCUCUCGAUGCAGUUGCACGCCACUUGCUCGUCAGCGGUGCUCCGUGCUGUGCUGGCCACACUGCUGACACGGCUGCAGCAGGCCACAGUCUGGUUGGCGCCGUUGCCGCCGGCAUAGGAGAUGCAGGGAUUCAAGGUAGAGCUUACCUGUCCACAGGAGAUGGCCGCUUCGGUGGCUACGAGGAGCAUAGCUAGCGGCCACUAGGGCGACCAGCAUAAGCUGAGCAACUGCAGCAUGGGCCGUCUUGAUCUAGCUAGCAAUAGUAGUCAACUGAAGAUGAUAAGAAGGCUAGAUUCGCUAUGUGAUUGCACCGGGAGAAGUUUCGUCGUGGGGGUGGGUGUGUGUGUGGUGGUGGUGGGGGUGGGGACCCAUGGCGUAUGCACAACAGAUUAAUACAAGUGACCGGUCAUGGAAUUUUGUGCAUUUACGACGGUGUGCUUGAUUACUAAGGCUGCCCGUAACGGGAGUAUCAUAGGUAGUAUCAUGCAUGCCAACUAAGCAAUUUUGAUGAUGUGGCAUAGAAUUAAAUGAAGAAAGAGAGGCUUGAGUAUCAUAUUAGAGCAAGUACAAUAAGUCCUAGUCAGCUGGCUAUAUGGUGUUCCACGUCAUCAAAGUCAUUGCUGGAGGAGAGAGAAUGGAGGAAAGAGAAGGAGGCGGGCGAUUCAGCUAGCGCCGGCUCCAGCACAAGAAACAAGAAAAAUAAUUCUGCAUGCAGUCUUGUGAGCCCACAUUCCUCUCUUCUCACCAAUCACAUGUCUCUCUUUGCCUUUCCCCACUUGCAAACAUUAAAUACCAAUAGCUAGACUAUAGCUAAUCUGUUGUACUGGUGGGCUCUUAUGAAGGCUUUAUGUGACAUGGCACUCAUAUAUAGCCAGCAACGGCUUUCUUAUUAAUCAUGCUCUUAUGAUAAAGUAUCAUAUUAAAUGAUGUGUUAUUUUGUGUCAUGCAUGGCAAUAAAUGUAGUCAUCUGUGAUACCAACACAUGAUACUAUGCAUUACGGAUGUAGUAUCAUAUGCAUGAUACUACUAUAUGAUACUCCCCAUUACAACUAGCCUAAGGCUACUCAUAGUGAGGAGUAUCAUAUACUAGUAUCAUGCAUAUGAUACUAGUAUAUGAUACUACCUUCAUAGUGCAUAGUAUCAUAAAGUAGUAUCAUAGCUGACCAUAUUUAUUGCCAUGCAUGACACAAAGUAGUAUAGCAUUUAACAUGAUAUGGUAUCUACCUAUGUUACUCUAACCCUCUCUCUUCUUUAAUUGUGUGCCACAUAAUUAAGCAUGUUUGCUAGUCCCAAAUACAUGUUACCGGUUAUGUUACCUCCACUAUGGCCAGCCUAAAGUAAAUCAAUCUGACAGUACAUAUGGCCGUGCAGGACGGGCGAUAAACCGCCUUUCCUUACUCUGUUCUCCAUGUCACAGUUUAACAUUAUAAUGCUGUAUUGAUUUAGUUUAUAUGAUAAUAACGUGUUUGAGUAAAUAACAAUGUAUUAGUACUAACUACUCCAUCCAUCUGCAAGUUUAUUGGUCCUGUUAGUAUUUUUACGCCAAACUUUCACGAUAGACUUAAUUAAGAAAAUAAUAAUGCAUGUCAUAAAAAAUCAUAUCAUUUGAUUCGUAUUUGAAUAUAGUUUGUAGUGAUUUUUUUCAUGCUUUAACAUUUUAUUAGUUAAAUUUAAGGUCAAAAUUAAGCACAAAAUGCGAACAGGACCAAUAAAUCAGGACGGAGGUAGUAGGACAUAAAUUUCAUUUAGCAAAUGGCUUCGGUGCACCAGGAUCUUAUAGCACACGUCAUGCGGGUGUGUUGUUCCGGCUAUAGUUUCUCGAUCCACAUACGACAUCAUUGGGAACAGAGUUCGAGAGGUGCAUAUUUGAAGACGGAUCCGCUGUGUUUCAUCCUACGAUGUGCCACUGCUGCAGGGUCUCGAUCCAUACACGACGCCAUGAGGAAAAGAAGUGAAGAGGAAUAUAAUUAUGGACACUAAUGGAAAAGAAAAAAAAACACUACAUUUCCUUCUACCGGUAGGUUCCCUACCUGAAAACAAGCAAAGGCCAUCUCUAGGUCUUGGCCCAGCAAUAAGCAAGACCCAAGAGAGUGGCCGAAUGAAGCGGGUUGCAGCUGACAUGCAUGAAGCCCUCAAUAAAGAAAUAAACCAAAAUAUCUUUUUUUCUUGAAUACGCACGAGUGUGCGUAUAAUAUAUUGAAGAAGGAGAGGGGUGAAGAAACCCCAUCCAUAGUUUACAUAGUUCGCGUUACAUCCACAAUCGCACUCCACCCAUCAAGAAAAGGAAAAACGUGGAGACUACUCCCUAUCUGCCCAGACACCUAUCCCAGCCAUCCAGGGCUCUAAGUCGCUAUGAAUGAUCCCUGCCUUCAUCCACACCGCGCACUCAGCGGCGAUCCUCCGCAGAAGUGCCUGCACGUCCGGUGUCUUCCCCUCGAACACAAUAGAAUUCCUGUGUUUCCACAAUUCCCACAUGAUCAGGAGAUGUAGUGCACGCAAGCAUUUGGCAUGCCGCCCGACCAACGGUCUAGUAGUCCAGGCCAGAAGAUCAUCCGCUGCUGUUGGGGCCUCGCCAAUGAUACCAGUCGCCUGGCAGACCGCGUCCCAGGUUUCUCUAGCAAACACACACCGGAUGAGGAGGUGGUUAAUAGUUUCAUCGUCCUGGUUGCAAAAUGGGCAGCGUUCCUGAUGUGGGAGGCCUCUUCUCGCCAAUCUAUCCGAGGUUCACACCCGAUUUUGAAGGGCCAGCCAUGCGAAAAAUUGACAGCGCAGGGGUGCAUGCGAUGACCAUGUGAAAACUGCCGUGGGGGAGACCUGAAGCGUUGCAAAUCCUGCCGUGUAGGAAGAUCGCGCCGAGAAGGCUCCGUUCUUCUCCCAUGACCACGUCAACUUGUCUGGUGUGUGUUCCAAUAGUGCGACGCUUUCCACCUGGGGCCAAAUCCCAAGGUACUGUGCUAGCGCGUGCUCGUCCAUGUCUGGGCCCAUGUCCCGAGCCCAAGAUGCAUUAGUUAGGGCAACCACCACCGUUCGGGAUUUCCUCGUCCGUUCAGAUAUUCUGUCAUAUACGGCUGGCGUGAGCUCCUGUAUGCGGUAUCCUGUCAGCCAUCGGUCAUCCCAGAAAAGGGCGGUACAUCCAUCACCAAUGGUCAUCCUCGCAGCUGCCCGAAAGAGCCCUCUGGCCUCCUCCGAUAUGUUCAACUUGAAUUCCACCCAUGGCCUAGAGUGAUCAAUACGCUGUAGCCAGAGCCACUUGGUUUGCAAGGCGAUGUUCAUCCAUCACAGGUUUGGAACUCCAAGUCCUUCUACCUACCUCGGUCUACUCAAUGAUUCCCAUGCCACAGCACACUUGCCACCACCUGCUUCUUCCUUUCCACACCAUAGGAAACCCCUACAGAUUUUGAUCAUCGCCUUCAUGGUCUUCGGUGGCAACCCCAUUGCAAGCAUUGAGUGAACUGGGAUAGCACUCAGGACAGACUGGACAAGCAGAAGGCGGCUGCUCUUGGGCAGCGUCGCGGCUUUCCAGGUCGGUAGACGCGCUGCCAUCUGGUCGACCAUCUCUUGGAACUGCGCAGCCGUCUGCUUCCUUAUCGAGAGCGGGAGGCCGGGAUACCGGAAAGGAAAAGAGCCACCCCUGCAGCACAGCAGCCCUGUCACCGUCUGCAUAUGCUCCUGCGUGCACCUAAUUGGCAAGGCCGCACUCUUCUGCAGGUUUAUCCGGAGGCCAGAUGCGUGUCCGAACAGGUCCAGCACGCACUACAAGAAAUAUGUCAACUUGUGACCACCACUAUUGGUCACUGAAAGGUCAUGGUUUUUCAUUUGCGACCUUUUUGUGACCAAAAAGAGAAGGUCAAAAGCUGGCAGUCGUAAACUGACUAUAGCGACCUUUCUUCUGGAAUGGUCGAAGACGUUUAUGACCAAAAUAUGUCCAUUGUGGCGUUUUGGUCACUAGCAACCUCCCCAGGUCACGUAGGCAUCCAGCGUGGCAAGCUGAUGUGGCACAAGAUUCAGCCCGGUCCAAUUUGGUUUUCUACAUGGGCCUAGCCCAACAAUUCAGCCCAUUUAUGAUUUUUUUCCUUUUAAUUUUGGUCAGCUACAUUGGCCUAGCCCAAUAAUUCGGCCUUUUUAGUUUUUGAGAUUCAUGCAAUUUUUUUGGCCCUCAGCCCUUUUUGAAAUUGUUCGAUGCUUGUUGGGAUGUGGCCUUUUUCGGCCCAAUUAUUUGUCCAGUUUCGACCAGCCUUUUAAUGUUGAGAAUUAUUUGGCCCAAGCCGAAUUUAGCCCAAUCACACAUACAUACAACAUUAUUUCACUCAAAUUAGGAAAACUCCAGGUCAAAUUCAAGUCCACCAUCAUAUCACAUCACAUAACACAUCUCCCAGGUUUACAUAACACAAAAAAUCAUCUCAGGAAUACAUUUCCCUACACAGAAAUAUAGCAGGAAUAGAGGGAAUAUACAAUAAAGAAAAUGAUGGCACAUCUGCUACUAUCAUAAUAGUACAAUGUAUUUUUUUUACGGAACAACCUUUUACAGAAUAUACAAGAGGGAUUUCAUUGCUCUCUCUUACGAGACAUGCUCCAGCUGCCACAACUUGCCAUCCUACAAUGAGAGGUAUAUAACAAUGGACUUCAUGAACAUUAGAGGAGCAAACGCUCAAUCAACACCAAGGGCUAGAUAAAGCCUUAGAUAGCAUGCAUUCGAAAUUUAGACAGAGGCAAUCAGUUACAGAAAGUAAAUGAGGACCAUACUUUACAAUUACAGUACCAUAGGACUAAUCCAUCAAUCCACGAGGCAAAAUAUGAGUGAAUCCAAAAAGAGGCACAAAGUAAUACCUAUUUUGAUCCAAAGGGGCUCGUGAGCAUGGCCGUCUUCCGUAACAGGUUGGCCCUAGCACCCUGGAUCAGACGCGCUGGGAGCUUGUAGCUUGUCCUGGUCAUACUGCUAUCCUAAGUAACAGGAAAAAUCAAAGCAACAGUUUGGACUUGGUGUUAACGAAUCAAUAGCAUAUAAAGCACCAAUUCCCUCAGAUGCAAGGAGAGGAGGAGCAAAACGACAGAGAGGUGGGACAUUUUUCGUACCUGUAGAUGAUAUUCACAGCUAAGGAAGAUACAUGGGGCCAGCCUUGCAUGUGUGCUUGCUUCACCGGUACAUGCAUCACCAUAGCAGCCAAGUAAGUAGGCAUCAUCAACAUCUCCUCACCACUUUCCUGGCAACAAACAAAGAGUCAAAACAAAACAUAUUAGACCAUAAUAUGAUACUAGAGGGUAACUGUAAAUCACCAAGUAUAUCCACAACACCAUAAAAUAGUCCCAGACCGUAGUGCUAUUUGAGUAUAUCGCAUGUAGUUUAUUAUCAUGAAGGGUUGUGUAUGCACGCUAAAUCCAGAAACAGGAGGAGGAUGGCUUAUCAACAAACUGAACUUAGAAAUGAAACUUUGUAAUGCUCAAGUUUCAGCUAAUAGAGAUUACAGAAUUUUACAUGGGACAAAUUCUUCUAGUUGCACUUAUCACAGAUAGAAGAGUUUAUAGUGAAUAAACAUUUACAAUCAAAGAUACAGCCUGGAACAUAUUAAUUUCAAGCUGCAGUUUGUAUACAAUCGGACAUCUCAGGUUGUAUACUACUCAUGAUGAUUCCACUGAUCUACGAAGUCAAGGAAUGCAACUGAAGAUGGUAUUUCUUCACUAUUACAGAAAUAUAUCAUUGUUAAUGUAAAUGAUCUGGAAUACAUAUACGGAUAUUAGCACAAACACAUAUUAGGCAAAAUCCCAUCGCAAGUGAACUCGAACACGUGCUGGACACACCCAAAAGAAACACCUAACUAGUCGUACAGCUUCGUGUACAAGUCACCUGCGCCCAAAAGAAACACCCAGCCGCCGCAGGCCAUGGUUAGACAGCAGCUAGCACAACAUAAUUAACAACCAGCUAAAGCUUAAUGCAAGAUCAUAUUCAUAGUUGGCAUGCAUCAAUACAUGAAUCUAUAAUGUUGGAUAAGGUGAUAAAGAAAAACAGAAAUAGUGGAGUUAGAAACAUAUGCAGCACAAUGAUAAAACAGAACAAUAGAUUUAAUGUAUAUAUAUUCUGGUGACUGCCAAUUGUUACAUGAUACACUCGUGUGUGUAUAUUCUGAUGAGCCAUUACCAUCUAGCCAACAACAACAUGGACAUAAUACUAAUUAGCUACACAAGGCAUCAUACUCUCCACGAGAAGGCCACGGUUACUCUUUGGAGCAGUAUGAGAACGACAAGCAUUGCAUCCUGGCAUUUUACUCAAGGCUCCAGGACACAAUAACAACAUCAACACCCACCUUUUUUGCUUGAACACACACCUAAACUAGGGACACAGGAAACAAAAAGGCUAAAUUGCGCAGACACCUAUCUGGACCUAAAUCAACAUCUUUACCUACAAAGAGAAAUGGGGACAGGCCAUAGAAUCCCCUUGUGAGAAGGCCAUAGUUACGUUUGGAGCAGUAUGAGAAAAGACAGGCAUUGCAAGCCUGCUCUUUACACAUCAUUAGACCUGCGAACAACCUUGCAGGUAGCUGGCUCUCACUUAACUGAACAUGCAGGCAAUGAAAGCACCCAACAUAUUUAUUUUAGGAGCCUGAUUAAUAAAUGUAUACCAAACAAACAAAAAUUGCAAUGACCUAGUAUGAACCAUGUAAUACAUACACUUCAAUACGUAUCCUAGUUUAUCAUCAUCACCUCAUGAGCUUAAUAAUUACAUAAAGUAAUUAUCAUCAUAUCCAGAAUUACAGUAGCAGCAGCCAACACUAGGACUACCAAAUUGAUUCGAAGUUCUUUCCAUUGUGCAACAACUCGAGCUCUCAACUACUAGCUCCUGGUACUAGCUGAUCUGAAUGUGUAAGAAGUUUGAUAUAAAUUGUGACUAGAACAAUUCUUCAGAGCUAAAUGUGCAACGAGCUUCUGAAUAUUAUCACUUUGGAGGGUUACUAUUCUUAGUUCUAAGAAGCCAAGACAACAGCAAGCUUAUAAUCAAUCCAAGGUGACAGCAAGUCCAAGAUCUUAUGGCCAAAGCAGAAAUUUCCAUGGCGCCAAGGCCAUCAUAAGAUUUACCACAUAGAGCAAGGGAGAUGAGCAAAGGGGAGGAAUCAGUGGGAUAACUUAGAGGAGAGAAGCCGACGGUGAGGACGGCCAAGGCGAUGGACCACCUGCCCUUGCAAGUCGGCCUUGUAGUCGAUCCACCUCCCCAUGUGCAUGACGACGGCCUCCCACUCGGCGACGUGCUUGGUGACGAUGCUGCGACAGGUCUCGUUGUACUUGCCGAUGCCGAGGUCGAGCUUGUCGAUCUCAGCAUGGGAGCUUGCCGAUGCCCAUCCAUGGGAGCGUCUGCGACGACGUCAUAGUUGUACCUUCAAUCCAAAGCACAAGAUCCAAACGUUAGAAAAGAACGGGAAUAGUACUGCUCUGCCAACUUCACUUUUUGUUUCUGGAAAUAUAAUUGCUUGAGCUAAUUUGACAGAUACAAAAAUUAAGUUGGAACCAUUUUUCGCUUUGCUGUUGAGAAAUCUCCCAAUCCAUUCAGUUUUUUUUACAAAAGACCAAUAUCCCAAAAAUUACUUUUUUUGGGGGGUGCUCAGAACAGUCUAUAUGUGUGGUGAUUUUGUUCAAAUUCCUUCAUACACUAGUACCAGCAGCUGGCCUUUUCAAUCAAGAGAAAAAGAAAAACGGCGACAGAGAAUUGGAGGGCAAAGCACAUGCUUGGCGUUUUUUUCUUUACAGUGUGAGUGUGCGUGUGCUGUGUGCAACACCAAACUGACUGACAACCAAGAUAUUCACCAGAGGCUCCUUGAGCAGAAUUUACAGGCCCACUGCUACGCAUGCAUUGCUAAGCUACUCCCAUAUAAAUCCGCAGCAGCUUUUCUUCAAGAGCAUAGGACUAGUAGGAUGAAGCUGUUGCCAAGCCUAACCCAUGCAUGCACGGUACUCACUUGGCAGUGAAGCGCCGCGCGACGUCGCUCUCCGCCGCGGCAAAGAAGGCCCCCAUCUCCUCCGCCGGCGGUGACCUCCCCUUAUUCGCCUUCUUCGCCCUGCACACCAUGACAAACAGCAGCCAAAGCUUGAGCAGAGGAACUCCACACGCAACAGCACGGCUUGGAACGGCCAGCGCCGUGCCCUGAGGAGAAGGAAGGAAGAGGGCUGGGUGCUGACAAGUCAGCGGGAAGGCCGUGGCAGUCCCGCCCGAAGUGGCGCAUCACGUGGCGCCCGCACAUCCACUGGUGCCCCUUGACGACGGUCGCCCCGCCUAACAAUAGUUGAAGCCCUCCCGCACCGGCCGCGUCGUUAAAGAGAGGGGGGGGGGGGUCUGUCCCGGCGGCGCGAGCCCCUCCCGCUCCGCCCGUCUCUGGUGACCUGCCAUGGCCGCCGCCGGCUAUGGGGUCAGGAAGAGAUGCUCCAUGGCCGCCGCCGGCUGACCUGCUUCGGAUCCUUGCCAUGGCCGCGGGCAAAGAGGUUGUUGGGAGGAAGGGGCGCCGGCAAAGGAAGGGAGGAUGGAUGGCGUUGGGUGGCGGAGGGGCGGCGGCGGCGAUUUGGAUCGGGGAGAGGGAGGCGGAGGCGAUGUGGAUUUGGAUCUGGAUCGAGGGACUGAGGGAGGAGAUGUGUCGUGCGCGUGCGUGUAGGAUAGGUGAGCGAGAGACGCUAGAUCGAGGGACUGAGGGAGGGUGUGGACGGCUCAGAUCAACUACAGUGGGGGGCGAUCCCUGGGCUGCCUCUUGAUUGGUUCGAAAAUAUAAAAAUAUUUCUUAGUGCUAAAAACAGGGGGGUUUUGUGAAGCAACUACCAAAACUAUUCUGCAAAUUGGCAUCACUAAAUUUUUCACUUAAUAUAGACCACAUUUUAGGGAUGAUUACCAAUUUUUAUGCAUUUCCGAUCCUUCUAGCUAUUUUUGGUCAUUUAAACAAAUUUUCACCGAUUUGGUAGAAAGCGGGUCAAAUUUAAACUAUAGGUGCCUCAUACUUUUCUCUUUAUUUUUUUCAAAAAUAAUUUCUAGGUACAUAAGUAUCUAUUUAAUCAGAGAUACUUCAAAUUUUUUGCAAGAUUCGACCCUUAGCUAUGAACGGUCAUGCCCGUUGUUUUGACCGCAUUUUCAAACGGGCAUAAAAAAUUCAAAAAAAUUAAAAAAAUUGGAAAACCUUCGCAUUGUGUCAUUAAAUAUGACCAAGUUAUUACGAAAAAUAAUAAACUUGUAAUACAUCAAUUAUUUUUAAAAAGUGUUCUCAGAAACGAACUACCAUGUGUGGAGAUCAAUGGCUUCCAAGCCAAAUGAUCAAUCUUAUGGCCACAUUCAUGGCAUAGUUUGUUCAAAUGAUCUCAUAUUGUGCACAAGGGUGCAUAUUGGAAUGACAAACAAUGUUGCCUAAGGAAGUUUUCAUUUUCAAUGGCCGAAAAAAUCAUUUUUCAUUUUCCGAGUGCCCGAAAUGAGUUUUUUUGUGAAGGACCUACCAUAUAUUUGUUGCAAAAUUGGACCUAAUAAAUUAUAUAAAAUACUAGGCCAUAUUUAAUUCACAAUUGACCAAAUGGUUGGGUGUCAAAUUUUUUGAUUCACCGCUGGUGAAAAAGACAAGUUCUCAUCGAUUCAGUUGGAAGCGGGUCAAAUUUGAACUGCAGCUGCCUCGUAGUUUGCUCUUUAUUUUUUCCAAAAAUCAUUUCUAGGUAAAUAAGUAUCUAUUCAAUCAGAGAAACACCAAAAAAAUUCCAAGAUUCAACUACUAGAUAGGAACGGUCUAAGCCUGCCAUUUUGACCGCUUUUUGAAAUGGGCAUAAAAAAUUCAAAAAAAAUCAAAAAAUUGGAAAACCUUCGCAUUGUGUCAUUAUGUGUGACCAAGUUUCCAGGAAAAAUAAUAAACUUGUAAUACGGUAAUUAUUUUAAAAAAGUGUUCUCAGAAAUGAGCUAUCAAGUGUGAAGAUUCAUGGCUUUCAAGCCAAAUGAUCAAUCUUAUGGCCACAUUCAUGGCAUAGUUUGAUCAAAUGAUCUCAUAUUGUGCACAAGGGUGCAUCUUGGAAUUCCAAACAAUGUUUCCUAAGGGAGUUUUCAUUUUCUUUGCACGGAAAAUUUAUUUUCCAUUUUCCGAGUGCCCGAAAUGAGUUUUUUGUGUGAAGGACCUACCAUAUAUUUGUUGCAAAAUUGGACCUAAUCAAUUUUAUAAAUACUAGGCCAUAUUUAAUGCACAAUUGACAAAAUGGUUGGGUGUCAAAUUUUUUUAUCCACCUCUGGUGAAAAAGACAAAUUCCCGUCCAUUCAGUUGGAAGCGGGUCAUAUUUGAACUGCAGCUGCCUCAUAGUUUGCUCUUUAUUUUUUCCAAAAAUCAUUUCUAUGUAAAUAAGUAUCUAUUUAAUCAGAAAUACAUGGUUUGAUGGCGAGACAUCGAGGUUUGGACGGUGGCCGAUGGCCCCAACUCUAGAGCGCGUAAGCUCGCAUGCCCGCCGCGUGGUCAACGCGUGAUUGUGGCGUUGCCAUGUGUUCUGGGCGGCCUAGGCAUGUCUAGUGGGUUGGGCACUCCCCAGGUAGGUGCUAGGAAGAAAAUCACAACAUAAGGUUCUCACGAGGAGACCGAUCGAUGCUCAAACAUGAAUAAGCAGCCAAGUGUUUGAUUUGCGGUACGGGAAAUGCACAUGGCUAAUGGGCGUGAGUUUCGGCUGAGGAUGAUCAGUUAUUAAGAAGACCGUCUUCAGAAAUUUUCACCUCAAAAGGAGGAGCCUAGGUGGUACUUGCUUUGCAAAGUACCACACUGGACAUAAAUACGAAUGUUGAAGCUGGGCUCAAAAUAAUGAAUGGACUGAUCUGGCAUUUGGUGGAGGAUGGUUAUUUGGGCAUAGGAAAACACCGUAGAAAAUGGAUACCAUUUGGACAUGCCAAAGUGGUACUUCCUUCACAAAGUGCUGCCUUGAACAAGAUAGGAAAAUGAAUAUUGUUGAGUUAUUUUUGAACUAGACAAGGAAGGUUUUUGACAUAUUUGAUGAAGAUAUGAUCCAAACAAUUUAUGAGAAUUUUUUGGGAAUUUUUGGAAUAAAAGAAGUAUAGGUUGAUUCACAACCUAGGGCAAAAAUUGACACAUGGACAUGCCACAUAGGCAAAACUGAUGAGAUGGCGCCUAGUCAUCACAACCCACCACAAUCUACAAGGCUAUGGCCAUCUAUAUUGGUCAUUAACAACUAGAAAUAAGGCAGCGGACCAGCACUGUUUGCUUUGUGACCAUUUCGUGUAAGGAAAUUACGACCUUUCUGACCAAAAUGGUCGCAAUGGUUUAGGGUUUGGAGCCCCCGAACAGCUUUUGACCAAUUGGUCUCAAAUGGUCAUAGAUCUAUGACCAAUUCUUCCAGGGUCACUGACAUAAGGUCACUAGUUGACACAUUUCUUGUAGUGACGGUAGCGCAUGCCCGCAUAUCUCUCACUGAUGGUUUCAGGAACACCAUGAUGUCAUCAGCGUACAUGGAGACAUGCUGCUGCAGCCCAGAUCUGGCGAGAGGGGCAAGCAGUCCGGCUGUGGACGCGCACUCAAACAAGUGGUGCAAAGGCUCCAUGCAUAGGAUGAAUAGCAUGGGAGAGAGGGGGCUGCCUUGUCUCAGGCCCUGGCAAUUGUAUAUAGUCUCCUCUGCAAUGCCAUUGACAGUGAUCUUGGUGGUGGACGUUGCCAACAAACCACAUAUCCAGGCGAGCCAUUUCGGUCCAAAACCAAGCGCCGACAACACUCCACCAAAAACGGCCACUGCACGGUGUCAUAGGCUUUGGAUAUGUCUAGUUUGCAACCUGCGAGCCGUGCCUUGCACAAGCAUAAAGUUGUCGUGGAGUGUUCGUCCCCGGACAAAGGUGCUCUAUUGGUUCCCGAUCAGGUGAGGCAGAUCGUCUGCAAGCCUCGUGGCUAGGAUCUUUUCGAAGAUUUUGAUUGCGCCAUGGUUGAGCCUCACCAGCCUGAAGUAGCGAAUGUCCACUGCCCCUGGCUUUUUUGGAAGCAAUGUGACUGUAGCUCUGUAGAUCGCAUGUAAUCCACGCAUAUCUCCACCAUGAAACUCCUGCAGGGCUCUCAUGAAAUCAUCCCUGAUGAUAGUCCAACAAGUAGCGUAAAAUUGCCCCGUGAAGCCGUCAGGCCCUGGCGCCUUGUCGAGUGGCAUACUCUUGAUUGCAUGCGUUGCUUCCUGCUCCGAGAACGGCUCUUCCUCGUGUGCCAAGUCGUGAAUAGGCAGCUGCAGCAUCUCCAUGUUAAGGCCAUGUGCCCGUUCGGUGGAUGACCUGAGGAGCCUCGUGAAGUAUGUAUCCACCGCAUUUCCAAUAUUCUCCUGCCCCGUGUGCACUUGGUUCUCAGGGACGAUUGAGAGGAUCACGUUCUUCCUCUGCCUGUGGCUCUCCUGGCAAUGAAAGAAGGCCGUGUUCGCCUCCCCCUCUUUUAGCUGGAGUAACCGCGAUAUUUGCCUCGCAAUUGUGCGCUGUAACGAGCAUAAGCCAAGGAGCAUUUUCUUGAGGUCAUUGCGCAGGCCCCUCUCUUGAUCCGUCAGAAUCCGCGAGUCCAUUUCCCCAUCCAGCCUAGCAAUCACCUGCAGCGCGAUCGCAAUCUGUAGCCUAAUGUUCCCAAUCCACCUAUCACUCCACCGCUGGAGUGCUUUCGCCGUUGCCCGAAGCUUGUUGUCCAACACGACGAAGGCGUUUCCUUCCGAGCUUACCGAUCCCCAUGCAGUUUCCACAGCUUCAUAGAAGCCUUCUGCCUUUGGCCAAAAGGAUUCGAACCUGAAGCGCUUCCCGUAUGCAAAGUCUGCGUUGAUGUCCAGGAGGAGCGGACAGUGGUCCGAGACCGCUGAUCCCAGGGCAGUGAGCAGAGCAGCUGGAUGGGCAUCAUCCCAACAGUUAGUUGAGAACACGUGGUCAAUCUUCUCCUUGGUUGGGCGCUGUCGUUCAUUGGACCAAGUGAACUUGCGGCCCUUGAGGUACAUCUCUUUCACUUCCAGUUGGUUCGCCUUGUUUCUAAACCAGGCUAUCAUUCGCCGAUUGAUCACGUCAUUGUUCUUGUCUUGAGGAUUCACCAACAGAUUAAAGUCACCCAUGAUUGCCCACGGGCCAGCGUGUAACUCACGUACAUCUACCAGCUCUUGCAUGAAUGCGACCUUGUCCAUGUCAGUCUGCGGGCCAUGCACACCGGUGAACCACCAAUGCCCACCGAUCUUGGGCUUCACCAAGAUAGUUAUCGUGUUCAUGGUGCGAUGCGGGUUGGAUUGUCCGACAAUUAUCUCAUCCCAAGCCAGUAGGAUUCCACCCCUCGUUCCGGAGGCCGGCAAGUAGAAGAAAUUCUCUACAUUAAUUCCCAGGUAGUGUCGAACAACAUCCACAGUCAAGUGUUCGACCUUUGUCUCCUGAAGACACACUAUAGCCGGCCUAAUCAUAUCCACGACCUGGUACACGGCACUACGCCUAGCGGGCGAGUUUAGCCCGCGCACGUUCCACACAAGGACUUUUGUAAGGCUGUGAUUCCAUGAUCUAGUCCUAGCAAAGCCACCAAGCAUGCGCAGAUCACUGCCGCGUGCUACGUCUUGAGCUAGCGUUGGUUUUCCCCGAAGAGGAGAGGGUGAUGCAGCAAAUGUAGCGUAAGUAUUUCCCUCGGUUUUGAGAACCAAGGUAUCAAUCCAGUAGGAGACUCCUCAAAAGUCCAACGCACCUACACAAACAAACUGAGAACUCGCAACAAACGCAAUAAAGGGUUGUCAAUCCCUUCACAGCCACUUGCGAAAGAGAGAUCUGAUAGAGAUAGUAUGAUAAGAUAAAUAUAUUUUUGGUAUUUUAUAGUAUAGAUGCAAAAAGUAAAGAUGCAAAUAAAAGUAGAUUGAAAGCAAAUAUGAUAAGAGAUAGAGCCGGGGGCCAUAGGUUUCACUAGAGGCUUCUCUCGAGAUAGCAUAAGUAUUACGGUGGGUGAACAAAUUACUGUCGAGCAAUUGAUAGAAAAGCGCAUAGUUAUGAUAUUAUCUAGGCAUGAUAAUGUAUAUAGGCAUCACGUCCAUAACAAGUAGACCGACUCCUGCCUGCAUCUACUACUAUUACUCCACACAUCGACCGACUCCUUCCUGCAUCUAGAGUAUUAAGUUCAUAAGAAUAGAGCAACGCAUUAAGCAAGAUGACAUGAAGUAGAGGGAUAAACCCAUGCAAUAUGAUAUAAACCCCAUCUUGUUAUCCUCGAUGGAAACAAUACAAUACGUGUCUUGCAACACUUUUUGUCACUGGGUAAGAACACCGCAAGAUUGAACCCAAAGCUAAGCACUUCUCCCAUGGCAAGAAAGACCAAUCUAGUAGGCCAAACCAAACUGAUAAUUCGAAGAGACUUGCAAAGAUAACUCAAUCAUACAUAAAAGAAUUUAGAGAAGAUUCAAUUAUUAUCCAUAGAUAAAUCUGAUCAUAAACCCACAAUUCAUCGGAUCUCGACAAACACACCGCAAAAAGAGAUUACAUCGAAUAGAUCUCCACAAGAGAGGGGGAGAACAUUGUAUUGAGAUCCAAAAAGAGAGAAGAAGCCAUCUAGCUAAUAACUAUGGACCCGUAGGUCUGUGGUAAACUACUCACAACUCAUCGAAGGGGCAAGGAUGUUGAUGUAGAGGCCCUCCGUGGUCGAUUCCACCUCCGGCAGAGUGCCGGCGAAGGCUCCAAGAUGGGAUCUCGCGGAUACAGUAGGUUACAGCGGUGGAAAUUGUGUUUCGUGGUGCUCCUGGAUGGUUUUGGGUUCCGUAGGUAUAUAUAGGAGGAAGAAGUACAUCGGUGGAUGCCCGAGGGUCCCACAAGACAGGGGGGCGCGCCCUACAGGGGGGGCGUGGCCCCUAUCUCACGGGGUCCUUGGGAGCUUCUUGACUUGCACUCCAAGCUCUACGGAUCUUGUUCGUUCCAAAAAUCACGCUCCCGAAGGUUUCAUUCCGUUUGGACUCCGUUUGAUAUUCCUUUUCUUCGAAAUACUGAAAUAGGCAAAAAAAAUAACAAUACGGGUUGGGCCUCUGGUUAUUAGGUUAGUCCCAAAAAUGAUAUAAAUAUGUAGAAUAAAGCCCAUAAACAUCCAAAAAGGGUAAUAUAAUAGCAUGGAACAAUAACAAAUUAUAGAUAAGUUGGAGACGUAUCAAGCAUCCCCAACCUUAAUUCCUGCUCAUCCUCGAGUAGGUAAAUGAUAAAAAAGAAGUUUUUGAUGUGGAAUGCUACCUAGCAUAAUUCGUAAUGUAAUUUUCUUUCAUGUGGCAUGAAUGUUAAGAUCCAAAUGAUUCAAGAUAAAAUCUUAUAAAACAUAAUAAUAAUAAUGCUUCAAAGCAUACUAACAAAUAAUCAUGUCCUAUCAAAAUAGCAUAGCCAAAGAAAGCUUAUCCCUACAAAAUCAUAUAGUCAGGCCAUGCUUCAUUUCCAUGACACAAAAUACUCCCAUCAUGUACAAUCCCGAUGACGAGCCAAGCAAUUGGUUCAUACUUUUUAACGGGCUUCAGCUUUUUCAACUCUUACGCAAUACAUGAGCAUAAGCCAUGGACAUAACACUAUGGUGGUAUUUGGUGGUUGUAAGGACAAAAAGAGGGAUAAGAUAGUCUCACAUCAACUAGGCGUACUAAUGGGCUAUAAGGAGAUGCCCAUUAAUAGAUAUCAAUGUGCACUACUAGGAAAAGGCCUACUAAUGGCGCACCGGUUUUGCCUACUAAUGGCGCACUACCGGUGCGCCAUUAGUAGCACGCCACUAGAAUUUUUUACUAAUGGCGCAUCGCUGGUGCGCCAUUAGUAUCUGGUAUACUAAUGGCGCACCAAGAAGUGCGCCAUUAGUAUGUAACACAAUGCACCAUUAGUAUGCCUCCCGGGGGGGCAUAUGUAACCAUGUGCUUUGUCAUACUAAUGGCGCACUCUGCCUUGAUGCGCAACAAUACAAUACGUGUCUUGCAACCCUUUUUGUUACUGGGUACAAACACCGUAAGAUUGAACCCAAAGCUAAGCACUUCUCCCAUGGCAAGAAAGACCAAUCUAGUAGGCCAAACCAAACUGAUAAUUCGAACAGACAUGCAAAGAUAACUCAAUCAUACAUAAAAGAAUUCAGAGAAGAUUCAAUUAUUAUCCAUAGAUAAAUCUGAUCAUAAACCCACAAUUCAUCGGAUCUCGACAAAUACACCGCAAAAAGAGAUUACAUCGAAUAGAUCUCCACAAGACAGGGGGAGAACAUUGUAUUGAGAUCCAAAAAGAGAAGAAGCCAUCUAGCUAAUAACUAUGGACCCGUAGGUCUGUGGUAAACUACUCACAACUCAUCGAAGGGGCAAGGAUGUUGAUGUAGAGGCCCUCCGUGGUCGAUUCCACCUCCGGCAGAGUGCCGGCGAAGGCUCCAAGAUGGGAUCUCGCGGAUACAGUAGGUUACAGCGGUGGAAAUUGUGUUUCGUGGUGCUCCUGGAUGGUUUUGGGUUCCGUAGGUAUAUAUAGGAGGAAGAAGUACAUCGGUGGAUGCCCGAGGGUCCCACAAGACAGGGGGGCGUGGCCCCCUAUCUCGUGGGGUACUCGGGAGCUUCUUGACUUGCACUCCAAGCUCUCCGGAUCUUGUUCGUUCCAAAAAUCACGCUCCCGAAGGUUUCAUUCCGUUUGGACUCCGUUUGAUAUUCCUUUUCUUCGAAAUACUGAAAUAGGCAAAAAAACAGCAAUACGGGCUGGGCCUCCAGUUAGUAGGUUAGUCCCAAAAAUGAUAUAAAUGUGUAGAAUAAAGCCCAUAAACAUCCAAAAAGGGUAAUAUAAUAGCAUGGAACAAUCAAAAAUUAUAGAUACAUUGGAGACGUAUCACCGCGCAUCUACCUCUGCCACUUCCUCCUGGAGGGGGAGGGCCGGUGCCUCCCACCCAAACAACGCCAGUAUAGCCGCGAUAUGAUGGUCGUUAUGCGGCUUGGAGAAGAGAUCCACAUAGAGUUGUAGAGCUCGUCCGUGAUCACCUCCGCUUCGUUUGCAAGGCACAGUCUCUGGAUUAGGACAUGCUGCUGUUUUGAACCUACCGAGCGACUUCCCGGACCCUUGGCCAGGCGCACACUCCUUCUCGGGCUCGAGACCGGUGCCCAUUUUUUCCUUGGUCUUCUCUUGUCUUGUGGUGGUGCACGGUCCGCAGGCUUGGAAAGAACUGGGUCCAGGAUUCUCCGGGCAGAGGUACAAAAUUGGUUCAGCUCGUCACAUGGAUCUGCAACCGGAGUCCACACCUCCUCGCUCAUGGCUGCGCCCCGAGUUGGCGACUGCUCGGGCCCAUCAGAAAGACUCGCCAGGAACGUGGGUUCCGCCAUCAUGCAUGCAUGCAAACCCUCCACUGGUGUUGGCUCGCCACUUGUUGUGUCGCCAUCUGGCGUGGAGAACAAGGGCGAUCCACUGUCCGCACCAACCUGGCUGUCCCCCAGGGAAUCGAGCAUGAGAUCAUGCCGUGGCAGGCAUGUGGGGUCCCGAUUGGCAUCUACUGGCAGAUCCAGAUACCAAUCACCAAUGAGGAUGGAGCGUUCUGGGUUGAUGGUGGCGUUGGCGGUGGUACAGCCACCCAUCCUCGGGCUGCGCGCGGGUCCAACCAGCAGGGCCAACCCAGAAUCCGGUCGUCCCAUCCUGCCGUUGGGCUGGUUCACCGAGACAGGACACUGCGCAGAUGACUCAUUGUCGCCCUCCGGUUGGUGGGAGAUCCUUCUGGAGCCGCAAGACAACCCGCCCUGUCCCAUAGCCACGUUUUCCCGUGCCUCCUCUUGGUCCACCCUGGCCUGGCUUUCCACGUGUCGCCCUAUGAGAAGACCGCCCUGUCUUUCCACUUGGUCCACCCCCAGGCUUGACCGCCUGAUGUCAGCCCCUUGGGAUGGCUGCAUGGGGCCGCCCUAGCCCACGGGGCCCCCGUCACCCGGAGGCGGCGCGCACCCAUGCGACCUCGCUGGCAGCGCAGACGCCGUCGAGGACCGCGGAGAUCCAACUGGGCUACGAGGCGAAGGCCCCCGAGGCACAUACCCAUCGCGCCCAUGAUGGGCCUGCCUGUCAUCUUCCUCAUCCCCGUCCGUAGACAGCGGCGAUGGAGGGGGUGGGUGGUGACCGGACGUGCUGCCACCCGGCCUAACAGGUGGCGCUUCCCGGAUGAUCUCCACGAGAUACCACAGAGCGUCGACGCCUUCCACGCGCCCAUGGCCACUCCGGCUGGACGAUUCUUCCACGACUAGGAUGCGGCUCACAGGAACUCGGUCCGGGUCAUCCUUCUUUAGCAAAACGCGGAACCGCGACAUGUCGUGGCGCCGAGCCGUGCUGUCGGCCACCUUGACCACGACGCCAGUUCCGCGCAGCACCUCUUGCGCAGCCCGCCGAGUCCAGGCGUUCGCCGGAACACCAACCAGUGCAAGCUGCACCAGGAACGGCAUGCCAAUGCCGGUGGCCUGCGCGUGGCGACUCCACGGACGAAGUGAAAGAAAGAAACCCCGCGCUAGGGCCCGACCUCUAUCCACCAUCAAAUCUCUAAUGGCCUCACUUCCACAGAGACUUACUUUCCACAAACCAAAAUAUCUGAUGAUAAUAGAAUCGACUGAGACUUACUUUCUCAGUCGGCUUACAAUUAUCAAAACCAUAAACAAUAUGGUCAGGAAAGUUUGAUCCAAUAGUUCUUUAUAAUUAGAACCCGUCGAAAUAAAACACAUGCAAGGGUCUUCAAGUUUGGCACCAUUGAAAUAAGGGGCAAGCCCCUGCUGAACGAGGCUCUCGGCAUGCGUUGGGUGUGGUUUGAGAAGACGGCGCUGGACAAGCCUUGGUUGGGGCUGUAAAUGCCCAUUCCACCUGCAAGUCAGAGCCUUGUGCUUGCGGCUCUCUACUGCCAGGUUAGGAAUGGUGAAAGAGUAAACUUCUGGCAUGACGGGUGGAUCGACGGCCGUAGCGUCGCGCAGAUUGCUCCCCACCCGCUUCCCUUCAUCAGGCCCGCAAGCAGGGCAAUGUGCAUGGCGCAAGCCCUUCUUGGCAACACAUGGGUUGACGAGAUCCGCCGCACCCCCUCCAUACCAGCGAUAGCGGAAUUCUUGGAGCUAUGGGAGCGGGCUUCUUCCUUGCGAAACAUAUGCCGCCUUCUUCCUUGCGAAGGAGCGGGCUCCCUAUGCUGAUGUGAUCUGGAGAUCAUGGCCCCCCCUGGAGAUCAAGAACUUCAUUUGGUGGCGGUGCGAGGUCGACUAUGGACAGCGGAUAGGCUCACGCGCCGAAACCUGCCUCAUACUAGGCUUUGCCAGCUAUGCUGCCAUGUGGAUGAAGACACGACGCAUAUGCUGCUUGGAUGUCCCUUUUCCAGGGAAGUUUUGUAUCACACGAUCCUCCCCUUGCGUUUGCACAGGUUCACACCCGAUGGCUCCGCCUCCUUGGCAGACUAGUGGCCGACGAUAGGGGCUUAAACUCUGUCUAACUGGCAUAGAGAGCUCAACACCUGCAUUGCCGCAACCGUACGAUCCAUCUGGCUUGAUCGGAACGCUAGGGUUUUUCUGCGCAAGUCCACCUUGCCUGCGUCCAUUGUUCAUGCAUGUUGCCUGCGUCCGUCCUUGCCUUACAGUCCGUCUUGUAAACCCCUUUCAAAGGACAUGCAAUGCUCAUGCAUGUUCUUGAAAAAAUAAAUAAGGGGCAAGAUGCCUUCAUUACAACAAACCAAUCUGCAAGAGACAGAUCACUCGUGCACGUCACUCCCUAGGCGACGCCAGGAGCAAAGCUCCAUGCCGCCGCCAACAGCCAUCCGCUGCAGCCUCCCCUUCUGCCACUGCCACUGGCCUCUACUGCAGUGGCGGCAGGCCCAUAUCCGAAGGAGGUGGGGUUUCCUUCAGGCGUGCUGCAAGAGGUGGACAUCAGCCUGUGUGGGGAGACGCCGAUGGGGAAAGGAUGGUAGCGCGACGACCCUAGUUGUAUUCUCCUAUCCAAAUUGCCGAUCUUCUAGGUGCCGGUCGUCCUCGAUCUGGCAGCCGACAAGUUCUGGACUCCUCAAUCGACGGUGUUCACGGAUUGGUGCAUGGCACUCAUGGACCUCUAGAUCGGAUGGGAUCCGGUCAUGCGCGUCUCAAAACAUCAACUCGCGCGGCUUCAGAUUCGCAUUCUGAAGCUUCGCCGUCGACACCAAGGGGUAUAUCCGCUAUGAUCCAUGGUGUUAACAGAGGUGUAUCUUUUCUCUGGUUAACUUGUCAUGUAUUUUUUACACAUAAUGGAUUAUGUACGAAUAAUGUACGGAAAUGUUAACGCCCACACGUGUGGGCGUUUGCAUCUCGCCCACACGCGUGGAUCCGUGUCCGUUCAUGAGCGCACGAAUCUUGGCAUGUUUUUAGUGCCACGUAGGACUGGUCUGAUGUGUGGGCAUUCAUCCGGUCGCCCACACGGCCGUUUCACCACACGGGAGGGGCUGGUGUGUGCGCGUUGAGCAGUUCACACACGCCACUUUUCACGCACGCACAAGGGCUAGUGUGUGGGCAUUUGCCAUCUCGCCCACGCGCCCGUCUCCUCUCCCUCACCCAAGCUGCUAGUUGCCAUGUGCUUUGAAGUGCACAUGGCAACUUCCCUAGUGUGCUUUAUAAGCAGGUGGCGACUCUAUUUUUACCCGAGUUGCCAUGUGUUUUGUAGGGUACACGGCAACUUUCUAAUAUGCACGUAAGCAGAUGACAACUCUUUUUUACGGAGUUGCCAUGUGUUUUUGCAUGGUACAUGCCAACUGCCCUAACGUGCACGUAAGUAGAUGACAACUCUUGCUUUUACAUGGCAACUGCCCUAGCAUGCUUCUGAGCACAUGUCAACUCUCUCAACUGCCUAGUGUGAGUAUGUGGCACCUCCUUAAGUUUUGAAACCAUGGAAACUACAUUAGACCAGGCCAUACAUGGCAACUGCAGUUGAGCAACCAUGGCAACUGCAGUUGUUCGACAGGACAACCGUAGUUUAGCGACAUGACAACUGCAGUUAAACGAACAUGGACGAGAGUCUGGACCAUGGCAACUGCACGCGCGCGGUGACUGUCACACGUGGCAUUCGGGACCACGAGGUACGAAGCCUGACGUACGGGGCGUGUGGGCGUUAUCUACUUCAUCCACACGCACGCGUGUGAGUGGGUCAGGAGGGAAAAAAAGUGAUGUGUGGGCAUUACUUGUUUUGCCCACAGAUAGGUGUGUGGGAUGUUCCUCUUAUAUACCACACAAAAUGUGUGAGCAGAUUUUCUAACGCCUACACGUGUGACACUUAUCGGUGUCCAUAACGUAAGAUGCAAAUAGACUAGAAAUUACUAAGACGAUGCUUCGGUACACAGGCCAACGGAAUGACCACAAUAGCUUGUGUAGAGUGAAGAUUUGGUUACUUGCAUCAAUCGAUAGCUGAAUCUAUUAUUUUCUCUUCAAAAAUUUGCCUAAAAGAUCUGGUUACAGUCAAUACACGCGGAACCUUAUUUUGACUUUACCAGUGAUACAUCCAGUCGUCAGUCGUGCCAUACUGGGCAGGAUUUACCGCCUGAUAAAAUACCAAUGCUAUCCACUGCGGAAUUCUUCUCAAAGUUUCUAGUCGCGGCCACGUUGUUCUGGUCGGCAGGUCGAGCUCCUCAAAUCGUCGGCAAUCACCGUGCAAGCAUGGACCAAAUAGCAAGAAGACUGUGAGGUGCCUAGGGAGAGACUAGAAGGCCGCGCCUUGUGGAGCCCCAGUUUUAAUUUUUAGCAGGGACAUCUUCAUUGGGGUAUAUCAUUUUUAGGCCUUUUUUUGGUAAAAUUACAUGCAUAGACUUACAUGUAUUUAUGUGUACAACAUGAAAAUAUAUGUUCAUCGUUGCAACCAAACUCAGAAAGGUAACAAAAUUCCGAUACCAAUCUAUAUUAAAAAAAUCCUACAAAAAUUGAAAAGGCAGAUAACUAAUUAUGCAGUUGUAUGAUAAUGGAAAGCGAUUGACGGCCCUGUAUGUACUUUUAGUGUGUCACGACGUAGCUUGGUCUUACUAAUAUUAUUGCACAAGCAUUUGGUCCAUUCGAUGCUAUAGUCACUUAGUAAAAUUUACUGAAGUACAAACAUAAUACUAAUUACAUAGGAUCGACAUAUAUGUAAAGUGUCACACAAGUUGUUAAUAUUCAGUAAAUUUUAUGCAACUAAAAGGAAAAAUUGCGCAACUUAUUUUUGCACUACGGGCGGUGAAUAUAUCGCUCAAUAGGUGACAUGAAAAUAUCUUGUUGUUGUAGGUUAUGUGUUCUUAUUUCUACAUCAUACAUCAUUAUAUCUAUCUAUCAGUAUAUCUAUCUAUUACUAAUUACAGACUUCCAUGGAGCUCACACGUUAAUUCUCAGCGCUUAAAAAAUAUGUAUCGUUGAUCUAUUGACACUACUAGGGAAAAGCCUAGUAGUGACGUGGGUAAACUCUCUAAUAGUAGCGCAGGCCCCGCGCUACUACAGUCACACCACAGCUAAAAAGUUUGUAGUAGCGCGGGUGCCACCGCACGCUACUAGAAUGUUAAUAGUAGCGCGGGUGCCAUCCGUGCUACUACUAUUUUUGCGCCCGCGCUAAUACACUUUAUAAUAACCACACACUACCAGUAUCCUAAAUAGUAGUAGCACACAGUUUUUUCCCAAGCUACUACUAUCUAAUUAAGAAUUUAAAAAAUUCACCAAUUCUAUUUUAUGCAUAAACUUCUGGCAAUUAAAACAAACCUAGAUAUGCAAUCACGUUAAUUGCAACUCAGUUAGGAUUUUGGACAGGGUAUUGUGAAGAAUGUUAAUUGCAAAUCAAAUCAUCAAUGGUAACAACACUUAGAGGACACAUUUCAAGGCUAUGGUUAUAUUAACACAACGUGGUAGUGGUCCUCAUGAUACAGAAAAUGUGAAGUAAUAGAGCAUACUAUUUCAAUGUUGCUCUUGAGAUAACACUAAAGUGCAGGGACAUGGGAGUGGUCUCACGAUGCUUGUGAUUACGAUCAUCGUCGUUGUCAUCACUAAUUUCAUAGUUUUCAGUAUCUAUAGCAGCUUCCUAAUCGUUGGAAUUACUUUCUUCCUAUGGUGAUGGAACUCCAAUUUUGCCAUCAUCCAAUGCUUGAUCUAUUGACCCUUUGUGCAUCUUCACGAUAGGCGAAUCCACAAGAAAAAUUCAACUUCGCAUCUAGAUUGUAUCCAUUUCCUUGGCCAUGUUCAAGAAACACUAAAUUUAGAGCUUUAUCUACCUUAAAUACAUGAGGCAUCACGACAGAAAACAAAAGAUGAGCAAUAUCAUAUGAGCAGAAUAAAAAGCAGUUUGGAAUAUAGCACCACUAACUAUAAAAUAAUAUGCUCUAACAACAGCAAGAGUGCAACAUUGCCCCCCUUUCAAAUAUCAACACACUAAAAGAGGCUAUAAGACUCAACUAUUCGAUGCCCACUUCGAACACUAACAAGAUUAUGUAAAACAUGCCAGUCCAUGGAUCAAGGAAAACUACCUGAGCUCCAAUAGAAUACUCUCAAUUAAAACAAGCUUGUUCUCAAUGAUGGGAGAAUCAACUUGCUUCAACUGUAAUCAAUCGGGAUUUUAUUCUUACCAUGCAUGUCCAGGGGUAAUUAAGCAAAGCAAACUUUUUCCAUCUCUGGGAAGAUGCACUCUCGCAUCCGUAAGUGCAUUACUCAUUCAUUCCUAGAAUUUGUUUCUCAGUACAAUAGAUGAAAAUGGGUGACAUAGUUAAGAAAAUGGCAUGAACAUCAUCUUGUCUGGCUGAAAACUACAUGGAAGCAGAUUUGACUUACUACUGAACCCAUCAUUCACAAAUUCCCUCACGGACGUUGGCACCUUCAGAGCAGCAGAAAUGGAACAUUCAGAGAUAAAUUUUAGCAGCCACAAACACCUUCAUCAAUUGACAGUGUUCAGAAGGAAAAGAAAUAGGGUGGCCUAUAUUCAACUCAAAGGCGACGAUAGUGAGGAUGGCCAAGAUGGAGCUAUGAGUGGUGUGGUCACCUUGGAUGCUUACAAGGGAUUACCAGGGUCCUUGAGCACGAACGCACACAUCGCCUUGGCCGGUGCGAGCACGCCACAGGCCGCACGGGCCAGUCAUCCGUCAGCUCGCACUAGUAGAAAAAGGGCCAAUUGUCCCGUUUCGUAAGGGCCUUUUGUCCCGAUUUUGGAACCGGGACUAAAAGGUCGUUACUAAUGCCCCUGACCUUUAUUCCCGGUUCUUACACAAACCGGGACAGAUGGGUCUCCACAUGGCUGGUGCGGCGAGCCCAUGCAGGAGGCCCUUUGGUCCCGGUUGGUGGCACCAACCGGGACCAAUAGGCAUCCACGCGUCAGCAUUUCAGGUGCUGGGGUUUUUGUUUUUUUGGAGGGGGGGGGGGGUUAGGGGGUUUUGGGGGGUUAAUUUAGGUGUUUCGUAUAUUGUGUUAGCUAGCUAAUUAAUACAUAGAAGUGUCCUCUCUUAUCUCCGUGCUUGGUCGACCCUACGUACUAUACAUAUAGAGAGGACUAGACACGCUAGCUAGUAAAUAAAUGAAGGAAACAGAAGAUCGUCAUGAACAUAUCUAUACAGAGAGAAGUGAUAUCGACCACCUCUCCUUCUCUAAGAGAUUGGUCGAACAACAAGUUCUUGUAUAUCUAUCCUACGCUACUGGCUACAUAUAUACAAUAUAAUUAUCUCCUACAAUAUAAUCUCCUAAUUCCAAAUGAACUCAAGGUCCACAUGGUAUUCUCUGUCUUUACUGAUCACGUGGUCAAGAAAGAAUGCCGCCAGUUCCUUUGAAGUCCUCGCAUACGAUCUGGUGGUAGGAGUUCAUCCCGCAUACGAAAUAUCUAAUUUGAAGAAGGGAGUCAAUACAUAUAUACGAAUAAAUGAAACUGAACACAAAUGAUGGUAAUAAAAUAAAAUUGUCAAUAUUAUUAUUUACACACUUCAUAUUGUUUGUCGGAGUAGCCCCGCUCACAGAUCGUGUGGCGGAUGGACUCGCAAAUGUAGUAUCCACAAUAAUUAUUCCCUUGUUCCUACCACAACCACUUUACAAGAAAUAGAGGUCAAUCAAACCAAUAAUUAGCAAGCAUGCUAAAUGGUAUUGAUGAAACUAGUGCUUGAAUCACUAGGAGAUGCGUGGAACAUGCUACUAUAGUACUUACUUUCGGGUGUCUAAGUUCCAGCUUCUUCGGCAGUCCCGGAGUUUUUGAGGUGAAUUUAUUCCAAACCCUGCCAGACAAAGAAAACAAUUACUUGAUAUCAGGAAACGAACAAAUUGAAGUUGCCGAUAUGGUGCGAUAAUGAUCGAUUUAACUUACUUCUCUAGAAUUGCAGUCAUGUCCGCAUACUCCUUGGGAUCUUUUCGUCUCGAGUCUAAGACGGUUACUAGUCCCUGCUCAAGCUUAAUCUCUAGGAGAAUAUAGUGAAACCUGCGCACGCAUGCAUAACUCAUCAAUUACAUUACUAUAACCUCGACUAAUAAGGGAAACUGAAUAUGCAUAAGAUAGUAACACUCGCUGGAAUUCGUAAGGGAAGAGUAUUAUAGCUUUGUUUUGAUUUAAUACAAACGAUUGUAGCAGCUUUGCCUCGGUAUCUUUGGCCUAAAAUUUAACCAUAUAUGCAUCUAUGAGAUUUGUGUUAAUGAACACAAUAUAACCGAUUUUUCUUUUCUUCAACUCAGCGAUCUUCAAUCUACAUAAUAUAGUGAGGAUAAUUAAAAAUGCAUGCAAUGAAAGAGCUGACCUAUAUCGAGAGACUUAAUGACAGAAGUAGUACUAUUUACAGGCAGUAGCAAGUGAUCAUUAACUUAUCGAAGGCCUUUAAAUUGAAAAAGUCGAAGAACUCCUCAAAUGGAACAUUCAACAGUUCAAUUCCAACGAGGUCAUGCUCCUCUCUAACUCUCAUCUUCAAAAUAUUCCUCGCCUCAGACUCUCUGCAGGUUUUCAUAUACCAAUCAUUGAAUCUUCGCAUCAUCGUUGUUAGAGAUCUUUCAUCUUUGACGAGAGUCUUCCCCUACUCGUAUUUGUGUUCGUCCACCUCCAUUAUAUCAAAACGUGCAUCGUCGGGAAGGUAAUCUCCAAGAUCGUUAUAACCGGGCACCAUUGUCCCGCCCGAAUGAUUAGCGAUGACGCUAGACACCUGGAGCGGGGGGAACGAUUGGUUCACUUGUUCGCCGAGCUGGGCAACUUUUUUCCCAGCUCGUCGUUCUGCUAACUUUUGACCACUGACAGUACUUCCCGACUGCUCUGCUUCGAUAAAUGACUUUGUAAGAAUGCGCUCAUAGUUGCCUUUCAUCAGAGACUUUGGUGGUUUUUCAGGGCAGCCAGAGUAUGCUUCGCUUUUACCGGAUCUAUCUUCUCCUCCGAAGGUGGAUUUUUCUUUGCUUUCACCCCUUCAAAGAAGUUGGUCACUUAGGCUUGCACGAUCUUCAUGUUUUCCUCCUGGCUCCUCUCGUAUGGUAACUUCUCUGGAGUCUUCAAAGAAGGACUGUAUCUGUAUUGUCUGCCUCUGGUUGUACUGCUAGAUGCCGGAGCAGACGGAGCGGUUGCGGCUGUCUUUCCUUUCUUACGAGGAAGAGGAGAAGGAAGACGCGCCAGAGCAGCCGGAGCGGCGGCGGGUCCCUUCCGCCCUUGUUGACGAGGAGGAGAAGGAGGAGGCUGGCUGCUUGGGUGCACCGGCGCAAGCAGAGAAGGAGGCGGAGUGCCGCCACGUGCCGGAGAAGGAGGCUGAGUGCCCUGAUCACUUGCCGGAGGAGGAGGCGGAGUGCCCUGACUCGCCGGAGGAGGAGGAGGAGGCGGAGACGUCCAGUUCGGAAGGUUGAUGAGCUCCUUCCGACAUAGGCAUGGAGUCUUCAGAGAAGAACCUAGCCGAAUCUCCCCUUCACCCGUAGGGUGGUCAAGCUCAAGGUCCUCAAAUCCGUCCAUUAUUUGAUACACCAUCACCCUAGCAUAUCCUUCUGGAAUCGACCUGUCGUGGUAGGUUGUGCCAGAUUCAGUAGGUAAAACAGAGCCAACAGCCGCCUUGACUUUCAAUGUCAUCCAUCGAGCCAUAAGGUGGAAAUGUUGAGACUCCGUGAUAGCAUCCACGGGGUAGCUAGCAGGAGCUGUGAAGACAGGCUCCAGCUGCUGAGUCUGCUCGGUGGAAGUCACGCUUCUUCUCCGCCGAGAUGGUGGGGUAGCUUCAAGGGAAGCUUCGGCAGGUUGUUUGCUGCAUCUACUUCUUGUUCCUCUAGCCCUUGUACCCUUUCGUGCAGCGCCUAUAGUUGGCUAUGCUCCACUUUCUUCCUCCUCUCCUGGCUUUUGUAACCCCCUGCGUCCGGAAACCCAGCCAUCCACGGAAUGGAGCCUGGCAUGUCUCGUGUCCGUCUAGGUUGCUCGGGAUUCCCGAGGGCCAUUGUGAGCUCGUCGUUCUCACUGUCUGGAACGAACGUCCCUUGCUGCGCUUUCUCGAUAUACUCCUGAAGCCUCCUGACGGGUAUUCACCGUUGCUCUUCCUUCCAAACGCACUUCCCUGAUACAGGGUCCAAGGUUCCGCCAACCCCGAAGAACCAAGUCCGGCAACGGUCUGGCCAGUUCAAUGUCUCUGGUUCGACCCCUUUAGCAAUCAAGUCAUUCUCAGCCUUGUCCCACAAAGGUUGGGCUUUGAGGUAGCCACCUGACCCCGUGCGAUGGUGAUGCUUCUUCUUUGCAACAUUUUUCUUGUUUGUCGCUGACAUCUUCUUACUCUUUUCCGAUGUCUUGUGGGCCACAAAUGCGGGCCAGUGAUCUUUGAUCUUCUCAUACUUUCUGAUGAAUUCUGGUGCCUUUUCUUCAUCGACAAAAUCUGUUUUUAGCUCAUUCUUCCUCCUCCUGAAUAGUUCUUCCAUCUUCUUAAGAGCAUGAGACUUUAUCAAUUUCUCUUUAACUGGCUUCUCCGGAUCCUCCUCUGGCGGUAGGGUGAAAUUUUCCUUAAGCGUUGUCAAAAGAUCUUCUUUCUGCAUAUCGGAGACAUAAGACACCUCAGGGUCUUCUUUCUUAGGCUUUAACCAUUGGUGGAUAAUGAUCGGGAUCUUGUCCAUAACAAGAACCCCGCACGGAGCAUGAAAUGCAUCUCUUGUCCGGAUGGGUUCAAUUAGCUUUCCAUCAUGCGCGACUGCUAUGAUCUCAAACCUUUCAUCUGAGCGCAACUUUUUCUUCGGGCCUCGUUUCUUUAUCGAAGUUGUGCUCGAUUCAGAGGGCUAGAGAGGAAAAGAAAGACGAGAGUUAAUUAAUAUGUGUACAUAAGAAAACAAUGAAUGCAUCAAUUAGCAAGUCAGCACGGGCUUAACUAAUAUAUAUCCCUGCCCGGACUCGGUUCGGUCACCGGAGCCGUCAUCACGGUCUCCUUCCUGUACCUGCAUUGGGUCAUCAGAGCCAUGAUAAUCAUAGCCUUCUUCUUGUACCGGCAUUAAUGGGUCACCGGAGCCAUCAUAAUCAUAGCCUUCUUCUUCACUACCUCGUCCUUCCAGACCAUCGGUGUCGUUGAGAAACGACGCAACGACAUCACUUCCUUUUGUGAUUAUGUCCCCCAACAUCGCUUCUGUUGCUUCGUCUCGGGGGUGCUCCGUAGUUUCUGCAAAUAUUUUCAACAUGGAAAUUAUUAUUCAAACAUGACAGAUGGAUAUAUAUUAGUGGCAAACAUAGAACUAGCUAGCUACUCACAAGAAGGAAUCAUAUUAGUGGCCUCGACGCUGCUUCUAUAAGGUUUGGGGUGGCCUCGACAACGCUUCAAGGGUUUGGGGUGGCCUUGACACAAUGCUUCAAGGGUUUGGGAUGGCCUCGACGACAACGCUCUUUUAACUUGAUAAAUUUGGGUGGCCUCAAGAGAGUUUGUCGGGUAGGGGCGCGGCAGGAGGGGGCAGGAGACCAACAUCGUUUNNNNNNNNNNNNNNNNNNNNNNNNNNNNNNNNNNNNNNNNNNNNNNNNNNNNNNNNNNNNNNNNNNNNNNNNNNNNNNNNNNNNNNNNNNNNNNNNNNNNNNNNNNNNNNNNNNNNNNNNNNNNNNNNNNNNNNNNNNNNNNNNNNNNNNNNNNNNNNNNNNNNNNNNNNNNNNNNNNNNNNNNNNNNNNNNNNNNNNNNNNNNNNNNNNNNNNNNNNNNNNNNNNNNNNNNNNNNNNNNNNNNNNNNNNNNNNNNNNNNNNNNNNNNNNNNNNNNNNNNNNNNNNNNNNNNNNNNNNNNNNNNNNNNNNNNNNNNNNNNNNNNNNNNNNNNNNNNNNNNNNNNNNNNNNNNNNNNNNNNNNNNNNNNNNNNNNNNNNNNNNNNNNNNNNNNNNNNNNNNNNNNNNNNNNNNNNNNNNNNNNNNNNNNNNNNNNNNNNNNNNNNNNNNNNNNNNNNNNNNNNNNNNNNNNNNNNNNNNNNNNNNNNNNNNNNNNNNNNNNNNNNNNNNNNNNNNNNNNNNNNNNNUUUCCUUUUUCCUCUCAUUCUUUUUCUUCUUCUUCCUUUCCUAUAGCUAGAUAUAUAAAACUUCUCUAAAAAUGAAACUAACCUAAAAUGUACUAAAUCAGAGAACAUAUAUAGAUAAAACUUUUCUAAAAAUCUAACUUUUGCAUAUAUGAACAUAUAUACGCAGAGAACAUACAAACAUAUAUACAUUUUUAUAAAAAAAAAUAAAAACAUCAUAUUGUAUAAAAAAUCAUAUACAUAUAAUCUGAAAAAAACAUCAUAUUCUUUAAAAAAAUCAUCAUAUAUAUGCAAAAAAAUAAUUAUGAUAACAAUCAUAUAUAUAAUCAUAUAUAUGAAAAAAACACGCAUAUAAAUCAUCACAUAUAUUAAAAAAAUUAAGAAACAGGGGAGGGCGCCGGCCGGACCAAGGUGAGGAGGGACAGGGGCGCGGGGUCGGCGACGGGGCAGGGGGCGCGCCGGGGAGACGGCGACGAAGGGUCAGGGCAGGGCGACGGCCGGGGCGAUCCGGGGCGACGCGCGUCGAGGCAGGGCCAGGGCGGCGCGCAUCGGGGCAGGCCGGCGAGCGACGACGGCGACGGCGUCGGGGCAGGGCGGCGAGCAGCGACGGCGUCGGGCGAGGGCGCGGGCGACGGCCUCGGGGCAGGGCUCGGCGACGACAGCGACGAGGAGCAGCGUGGGGGCGUCGGGACGGAGAAGAAGUGAUUUUUGCAGAAACUGCUAAGUGUUUCUUAUAUAGCAAAGGACUAGCGAGUAGUGCGCGGCGGCACGCCGCGCCAUAAUGGCAAAGUAGUUCAUACAAGAAAAGAUACAUCAUACAUGCAUAAGUGAUCUACAACAUGUAGUGAUAGUGGUGGCAAUGUAGUUCAUAUAAGAAAAUAUACAUCUAGUUGGUACAUGCAUGAGUGAUCUACAACAUGUAGUGAUAGUGGGUACUGGAAUUGUGAAGCACUUGUUUUCUUUCUAGACCCAAGAUAUUGAUUCUCCUGCUAGAUCUGUCUUUGUGAUGUAGUGGUAGUGAAAUUUACUUCUGAAUCAAACCGCCGCUACGGGUCCUAAGAGACAUCUCAUCACCAACCAAUCUACACAAGUCGAUCCAAUCUGUUCAAAUCAAUCCACAGAAGCUGUGCAAUCCAUUCAAGUUGAUCCACCGAAGCAUGCGCGGCCAACUGUGCGCGGCGGCACGCCGCACCCAUUGGUUCAGUAUGUGUUUCUUUUGUUAUAGCUUUUGAAAAAUUGUUGUACGGUCUGCAUAUGCGUACCUUUGAGCCAGCUCAAGAGUUUUUUACGCCCAGCAGUCUAUUUUUUUUUCCUACAUAUACUUCUUGAACACACUUAACUACGCUUCUCAUAUAGUCACAUUCUCGGCUUUUUUGAAGUGCAGACCAACUUAUGGAGAAAAAAUUAACAUGUAGAAGGUAAAAAAGAUAUGCAACUGAUGAAUCGUUCUUUGGCUUCUUUUCUAUGAAUCAUCCAAGAUACAACAUCCAUAUGUGUGACACUCUACUUAUAUGGAGAUGCCUCAUCUAACGUCUACACCAUCAGGUAGGAAGCAACAUGCCCCAAUUCAAAACUUGUCUCCAUGUAUAAUGUCCCCCUUCUCUAUACAUGUCCCAGCACCACUUGAACCCAUCCCUGAUUGGACAUGAACAUGUGUUACGUGAAAAUUAAGAAAAACUGAUUUGUGGAGAUGUAUUGGAAUACUUUACGUAGGACCAUGGGCCAUAACAACACAAAAUUUUGCACCACAUUAGAAAAUACUUCUAAUUUUGCAACACAAAACAGGCAGCCUAUAAAAAAGACAUUUUUUCUAAUUCGCAGAUCUUCAAAUUUCAACAAUACGAAACCAAUUGAUGUAUUAUAUAGUGCUAGCGAAAAUUGCAGAAGCAUUUGCCUGUUUAGCAAACUGAUAAUUGAAAGUACGUUAGCUGGGCGAGAUACCAUCUGGCUGUCCAUGAACAAACAAACUGGAAGCACACUAUUACGGGAAAAUAGUCUAUGUAGGUGAUAGCAUCCAAGAUCACUAAAAUAUUAUUUAGCGUCUAUGGGCUUCCAGAUGAACACAUAUUUCUGUCUAUAGGCUUCCAGAUGAACACAUAUUUCUGUCUAUAGGCUUCCAGAUGAACACAUACUACAGUCUUGCCUAUAUUCCAAUAACUCUGUGUGAUUAACUGAAUAUGUACCAGCAGGCCAAUAAAAAUGGUACCUACAACACCACAAGGGAGUACCUCAUACAGGUAGCACCAAGCCAGAGACCCAGUCAAUAGUUUGUGUCAACAUAAGCUCGCAGAAUAACAAGUUCAGUCUGCAUAAACAUCAUUUCUCUCCUGUAGGCUAUGGAUUUUACACAGCUAAUGAGUAUGUUCUUAUAUAUUUCAUGCAAUAAUGGUAAUCUGAACCAUGCUUAAGAAAAGCUAUCCUACGCUACUGCUAAACAAAAACUUCUCUCGUGAAGAUACGUGUCAUGGUAACUACAACACGCUGCUUGAAUCUAUACAAUAAUGGUAAUACCUGAACUUGAUAACGGUCAGGGUUAAUCCUAGGUGUGUCGUUCUUACACUUUCUCUCCGUAAUGGGUCAUGCAGUUACUCAUUGCUCAUUUUAUCAAUUACAUUUAAAAAGCUGAUUCUUAGAUCUGUGAUUGCAGCUGACGUCAGGAACCUCAUCUGUAUUUCCCAUGUGUAAUUAUAAUGCAAGGUAUAAAGAAAAUUUAUUACUAAAUGUAUCUAUCGCUUUGUGUCUUUACCUUAUACACCUUCAUAUUUCCCCCUUAAUAUUGAAAACCUUGCUGGGGAGGCUCGGCAUAAUACUCCCAGACCUAUAAUAGAAGUGUAAAAACAGAUAUAUACAGUAAAAUGGACAUGCAGAUCGCAUAUCUUGACUACUAUUAAACUAUCAUCGGAAAAGAAUUAAACUUCCUAAUCUACAAAAUUACCAAAAGAUUAUAGAAGAGAUACAACCCUACUAAAACACGACAGAACCACAAAUCGCAAAUGCAAAUUGAUUCGAGACUUGUUCAGUGUUCACUGGGUGAUGUUAAUCGUCGUGGUGUUGCACAGUGGCACGUGAGGCCAUCUUUUUCUAUAGAUGGCCUAGAUGUAUUAAGAAAUUCAACUUCCAUUUACAGAUUCAGAAUAGUCCAUGGAUAAUUUAGAAUAAUCGGAGGAAAACUUUGCUCUCACAUUGGCUGACAUUGGUAAACAAAAUUUAAUUGAAAUGUAAAUAAGUUCAAGCUGCAAUAUUUUGAAUGCAAGACAGAUCUGUUUGUGACUAUUGCACAUGAAUUUUAGUUUUUUUUUGAAAAAUCACCAGGGGGGAGCUCCCCCACCUGAAUAUAUUUCUCAUUUUUGUAACCCAACGUCUGUCCGAUUACAAAGGUGAAUUACAUAAGCACAUGUAAGCGUGAUAAGAAGUAGGAACGCCAUGAGGAGGUGGCCUGCUUAUGCGCCGUUUUCUUCAUCCGGUGUGUCCAGAGCAUAAGGUCAUCAAUGAUUCGCUUGAGGGUGAAGAUGUUGUGGUGGUUUUGUUGCUUGAAAGUCAUGGCGUUUCUGGAGUCCCAUAUUUUCCAUAUUAGCGCGUCAAGCUGGUUGGGGAGGCGGCAGUCCCAAAGGUUGUCGAUGGAGUUGGGUGGCGACACCUAGAAAUCCUACAGGAGAGACAACAAAGAGCACAACUCGGUAGUGGCAUUAGAUGUUAGGCGGUUCCUUAUGAUUUAUUCUAGACCGUGGUUCAUAACAGCAGCCACACGAGCGAGGGGGGUGGUGGUGUGUGAGUAGAGGCAGGGGAAGAGAGUAGCGAGUGAUUGUUGGUGUAACCAAAUAUCUAGCCAAAAAUAGGUGUUUGUUCCGGACUGUGUGAUGACGAAGGAGAUGGAGUGUAGAGCUGGUAGUUGGUGGUUUAUGGUUUGGCAGAGGAAGGAGUGGCUGUUUUGUGGAGCGAUGAGAGCAUUUGGGUGUUGAAGGUCAAUCCAAUCUUGCCACGGAGUUUGGUCCGGUAGUAGAGCUUUUACAACAAAUUUCAUUAAUAGACAGUUAUUCUGAACAUGGAGAUUUUUUAGACCUAGACCACCUAGCUUUUGGGCUUACUAACAUUUUUCCAGGCAACUAAGCAUUGAGAACCGGUGCAAGUUUCCUCUGUGGCCCAGAAGAAAGCACGACGUAUGGAGUCUAGGGUUUUUAGCACACUUUUUAGGAUGAGAAAGACUGGCAUAAAAUAGACUAAGAUGGAGUCAAGGACAGCAGACAGAACGAUGAGCCGGUCGCCCCUGGAUAGGAUUUUUGCUUGCCAACCUGACAAGAAUUUUCGGCAUCGUUCGAUAAUGGGUAGAAAGGCGUUUGGGGGUAGACGGGUCGGUGCCAGGGGGAGGCCUAGGUAGAUUUGUGGAAAGGUUGAGGUUGUGCAUUGCAUGGUGGUAGCAAUGGAGUCUGCCACAGAAGGGCAAACAUGCAUAGGUACGAAAGUAAUGUUUGUGUAGUUUAUCGUGAGGCCUGUAGCCAUUGCAAAAUUUUGGAGAAUGUGUUUUAGCUGCAUGGCGGCGUCAUUGGAUGCCUUGGCGAUUAUGAGGGUGUCAUCGGCAUAUUGUAGAACGGUCGGUGGCAGGUGUGUGAACAGGAGGUGUGUUAGGUGCCGAGCGUCACAGUGUUGUGUGAUCAUUUGUUGAAGGAGGUCAGCAACGAUGAUGAAAAGGUAGGGUGAUAUGGGGUCUCCUUGUCUGAGUCCGUUUUUGCAGUUUAUCCAGUUUCCUGGGAGCCCGUUCAGCAUGACAGUUGUUUUUCCUGUUGAGAAGAUAUCCUAGAUCCAGGCCGUGAAUUUUGGCGGGAAGCCGCUGAAGUGGAGGAUGGCGUGGAGAUAUUCCCAGGAGAUAGUGUCGAAGGAUUUUGAGAAGUCUAGUUUCAUGACCAUGGUUGGGGCUUUUCGAUUAUGGCAGGAGUCGAUAAGGUCCGUAGCAUAGAUAAAGUUUUCCACGAUGCAACGGCCUGAGAUAAAGCCAGUCUGGUUUCCCUGAACAAGCAGUGGGAUCAGCGUUUUUAUUCUGUUUGUGAGGAUCUUGGCGGCGGCUUUGACGGGACAAUUUUGGAGAGAGAUCGGGCGGUAGGAUCCUGGUGUAUUUGCUUCUUCUAUUUUUGGCAGCAGAAUUAGGUGGGCGCGGUUUAAGCAUUCAGUUUGUGCAGAGAGGUUUUGGAAGUCUGUCAUGAAUAAGAAGAUGUGGUUUUUUAUGAGAUUCCAGUAUUUUCGGUAGAAGGGGGGGCCAAAACCAUCCGGUCCGGGGCUAGCUAGGGGGUUCAUUUGCAUGAAAGCAUCUUUUAUUUCAUCCUGAGAAAAGGUAGAUUCUAUAUUGAGUAGUUGGGGUAGGGGUUGGGGGUAGAAUUGUUGUGGCUGGAAGGCCCAGGAUGUAGGCGGUGCGCAACCUAUGAUGGAUGUGAAGUGUUGCUGAAGAAUGACUGCUUUUUUGUCGUGGGAAUGGAACUCCGUCCCAUUUUGUAGGAGGGAAAUUAUGGUGUUCUUUCGAAGUCUCUGGGAGGCGGUGGCGUGGAAGUACUGAGAGUUCUCCUCACCGUGAAUAGCAGCGCGCACUUUCCCCUGUUGCUUCCAGAAAGCCAUUUUUCCGAAAUAGCUAAGUGCAAGGCAUUUGAGACGACAAGUCUUAACUUGUGUUCGGCUCUAGAGAGUGGCCGGGCUUCUUCUUUUAGGUCGAGGAGGUUUAUGACUUGUUUUGCUGCUGCUUCGCGGAAGUGGGCUGGUGAUUUUUUGGAUGCCCAUUGUUUGAGAGAGGAACGUGUUGUUUUGAGGGCUUUUGAUAGGGCGGCUGCUGAGUUUAUUCAUUGGGCUGAUUGGCGGUUUGUGGCCCAGCAUUUCUGCAUGAUGUGAUGGCAUUCUGUGGAGAGAGUCCAUGCAGACCCGAAUCUAAAGUGGCAUGGUUUUGGUACACCUGUCUGGAUGCGUAGGAUUAGGGGUACAUGAUCUGAUGUGAUGCUUGGCAGUGAGGACAGUGUUGUGUUAGGGAAGUAAUUAUUCCAUGACAGAUUAAAGAACGCCCGGUCUAGUCAUUCUAAGGUUGGAAGAGAGUGUUUGUUAGACCAAGUGAAGCGUCGGUCGAGCAGUGGGAGUUCGAGUAGGGCUAACUCAUUGAUUAUGCUGUUAAAAGCAUCUGCUUCUGGUUGGUGAAAGUUGUGGUUAUUUUUUUCGUGCAAAAAACGUACAAGGUUGAAAUCUCCUACUAUUAACCAGGGCGUGUGAUCGUCUUGUUUUAUCGUUCUGAGUUCAUCAAGAAAAGCUUGUUUGAGGUUGCGACUUGCGGGAGCAUAGACGUUUGUGAUGAUAAAGGGUUGUGGGUGCGCAAGGGACGUGAGUUUGAUCGAUGUGGUAAGGUGGCUGUGCGUGUGCGAGAGCACUAAGAAGUAGUUUGAGUUGAAAGCCAAGACUGUUCCCCCAGCCGAGCCGUCGGCCGGUAAAAACACAUGUUGGUCCAGAGAGCGAGGUAGGAAGGAUCGUAAUUCUUGUUCAGUAAUGACAUUUAGUUUUGAUUCCUAUAGGAGGGUGCAGUGUGGGUUAAUGCUGAUAAGUUCGGAGAGGAUAUCAACACAUUUUGACACAUCACCAAGACCUCGUACAUUCCACGAACAGAUAGAUAGGGUGGUGUUACUCAUACAGAUAGGAAUACAUCAGACACUUAGACGAGAGCAAACUACUGAUAUGAAAUGCUAGGGAGCAAUAGACUAAGGGGUAGUUGAGGCAGACACAAGGUUUGCCCCGUGCACAUAAGCUACGGGAUAAGUAGAUCCGAUCGGCCGAUUCGCGGUAGGGACAACAAGUCACCGCUAGGCCGCCACCUGGGCGUGCGUGGGAUAGUUGGAGCAUCAUGGCAGAGCGUCAGCAUCGCCGUCGUCGCUGCUGUCAUCAGUGUGAGCAACGGAAGCAACAGCAUCGCCGUCAGCCCCGCACAGUGCAGCAAUCUCCGCAAGGGAUGCGGCAGAAGCAGACGGGGCUUUAGGGACAUCGAGCUGGGUGUUGUGGAUGGCGUCCUUGACAGCCUUUGCGACAUCCGAGGCAGUGAGGCGCGCGACUUUUGCCCUGACAGCCCUAGUAGUCAUAUCAAUGAAGACAGAGGGCUCUUUGGCGGCCAGGCGGGAGCUUGCACAUGAAUUAGAACUCAGAACUGCAUUACCUGAUUAAAAUCUAAAAUCCCAUGAAUUCAUAAGAAAAGCUAUCAUGUGGGAAAACUCAGCAAGUAAUCUCACAUAUACGGAAAGCUAAAAGUUUAGGGGGGGUUUCCUUUUCCUCCAGAGAAGCCCAUGUAAAACUGUUUUGGUCGAAAAGUGCAGGCUGACAUAUCUUGUACUCCUCGAUCUUGAAUGUAGAUACUUCCAUAAUCUGAGAUAAGCUCAACAUGAAUAUUGUAACACUUUGUGUUCAGAUCAAUACACACUUGUACUCCUCGAUCUUGAAUGUAGCAUUUGGGUAAAAUAAAUGACAGUACAUUAUCUGAUCUCAUGAACCAACCUAACUCUGAAUGAUGGGCGAAGCAGAACAGGUAAGCGGGACAGUGAGAGCAACCAAAUUAAGACGGGGAGAUGCACUUACAGGAAGGUAUGUGAAGAUUUUUUUCACUUCGAAUGCUUCCAUGCAGCAUCAGCGCGCUGAACAUCCAGCAAAGAAAGAACUAAUGAACAGCAUGAACCAAUAAAACAAAUCAAGAUUAAGGCAAACAUUAACCAAGGGAGAGUAAAGAAAAAUAGGACUGGGAAGGAACGGAGCCACACUAGUCGGAGUCUGCAGCAUGUGCUUGAAGGUGAGAUGCACCGGCACAUGAUGACCUCGCCGGAGCUCUUCUCAUGCCGCUGCUUGACAUGGAUGGUCUGGCCACCGAAGAAAGAAUCCACCCAUCCAGACUGUGAACCUGAAACUCACUAAACCAAGAUAUCAAAAUCAGAUUAAUCCAAUCUAUAGCGGUGAAAUCAACUUGUAAAUUGAGAAUCAAAUCAUGUUGCUAUUGAUCAAUCAUCAAGCACUGUGAGCUGAGUCCACUGGACAUUGUGAGUCAGGUAAUGAUGGAUCAUGAAUUGGCAAAAAUGAACAUACCAUUUGGGACGCAAGAAUCCUUCUGUGGCCUCUUCCCCUCCACCUGUUCGGCCAACGUUGCUUCUGGUGCAGUACUGCACUACUUGACGAAGGAAAGUACGUGACCAUCGUUCAUGCUCAUGCUUGGCUCAGUUUGGUCAAUUGCUAGAACACCUCGCAUGCGAGCUGAACACCAGCAUCGCAGGAGGAAGCAAGCGAGGGGCUAGAGCUAGCGCGGGGCAGAGAGGCUGCUAGAGGAGGCCAGCGUGUCAACCUAGACAGCCUGUUCACGUACCUGCAACAGAACAAUCGUCUCCCGCCCACCCUCCUUCGACGCCGGGCACGUCCUCUUCCUCUGCCCGAGCUGCUUUUUCAAGACUCCAAUGGCAUUGCCGCCCCAUCCUUCAAUGCCAACACCGCCACCGAUGACCCAAGCAGCGAUGGAGGAGCCCCUGGCCAUAUGGUGUGUCCCCGUUUCGUGAUUUUCGUCGCCUUAGGGAAAGAGGAGCGGUGUACUGCAGGAGAGCACGGAGCUCCCUUCGGCCGGUGGUAAGAGAUGAGAUGGAGGGCAUGGGAAGAAGCUCACUCCGGCGGCGUCAAGAGAUGAGGUGGAGGGCAUGGGGGAGGGGGCAUGGGGAAUUGCUGCGGGCCGCUGGCUGACUCGAUCUCGAGCAACUGCUCGGAGGCAAUGAGAGGAGACGUGUGUCUGAUUUAUAUACUGAUAUACUGAGGAGGGGACGUCUCUAGAUAAGUUGACGUGUCGAUCUGGUGAUCCCUCUUUACCUUCAGGAUUACACGCGUGACAUCCAGAUUGACCUGUUGUACACCCAAAAAACUUUUAAAAAAUCAGAAAAAAUAUGCAACGACGCGUGGGACGGGGCCAACAUACCUAAAGCGGCAACAACCCUGUGAAUCGAAUGUGAAAAAUGUAGAGACAGAUAAAAAAGGCAAGAACUCUCUGGAAACUGAUGGUAGACAAGGUAACUACCAUGCCAGGAGAGAAAACAAACUCUUCCAGACACGCGUCAUUUUUACAACAGCGGUAAAAAAAGUUCAAAAAAACCAGGAAAAAAAGAACCCUUAUGGGCCUAGUAUUCUUAGUCUUUGGUCCCGGUUUGUGGCACCAACCGGGACCAAUGCCACCCUUCAGUCCGGUUGGUGCCACCAACUGGGACCAAAGGUCUCUUUUCAGCAGCUCAAAGGGCGGGAAGCAGAGGCCUUUGGUCCCGGUUGGUGGCACCAACCGGGACUAAAGGGGGAGCAUUGAUAUCGGUUGGUGCUACGAACCGGUACAUAUGCACCGCCUUUAGUCCCGCUUGGUGCCACCAACCGGGAUCAAAGGCCCUUGUGUUGCCCGCGUCACGACCAAAGUUUAGUCUCACCUCGUUAGUUGAGAGGGGCGCGCAGUGGUUUAUAAGCCCCACUGCCGCACCCCUCUCGAGCUCCUCUCCAUUCCAGGCUUACGGGUCUAAUUAUUACUGCUAUGAUGAUGGGCCUUCUAGGGCCUGAAUCCGGGCCCAUGGAUGGGUUUCUAGUUGUACUCAGGCCGUGGUGGCCCAGUUGGUGGCAAAAAUUUUAUGUUUUCCCAUUUUUUUCUUUUUUGCUUUAUUUAUUUUGUUUUGUUUCUACUUACAACAAAAUACUUAUUUAUUUCAUUUUAUUUUGUUUAUAAUUACAUACUAAUUUUAUUUUAUGAUAAUUCUUUUUGCUAUUAAAGUUUCUAACAAAAAAAGUUCUUUAUGAAAAUUCUUUUUGCUUUUAANNNNNNNNNNNNNNNNNNNNNNNNNNNNNNNNNNNNNNNNNNNNNNNNNNNNNNNNNNNNNNNNNNNNNNNNNNNNNNNNNNNNNNNNNNNNNNNNNNNNNNNNNNNNNNNNNNNNNNNNNNNNNNNNNNNNNNNNNNNNNNNNNNNNNNNNNNNNNNNNNNNNNNNNNNNNNNNNNNNNNNNNNNNNNNNNNNNNNNNNNNNNNNNNNNNNNNNNNNNNNNNNNNNNNNNNNNNNNNNNNNNNNNNNNNNNNNNNNNNNNNNNNNNNNNNNNNNNNNNNNNNNNNNNNNNNNNNNNNNNNNNNNNNNNNNNNNNAGUUUCAUAAAUUUUAUUUAUGUUAUUAAAGUUUAUUUUUUUUCAUUUUAUUUUGUUUCUACUUAUCUCUUUUAUUAAAGCUUAUAUUAUUUUGUUUCAAAUUACUUAUUUAAUUUAUUUUAUUUUUUUCUGACUUCAUUUGUCAUUUUUCAUGCAUUUACUGAUUAUUUUGAGUUAUAAGACCAUGAAAUUGAAAAGCAUUUGAAAUGAACUCUGAAAAGGUUUCUAGUUGGCAUGGUAUCAUCAUUUCGCCCACAUAGCAUUUGCAAGAAAGUACAGAGGGUUACGGAAAAAACUGGAUGCACUUCGUGUACAAAACAGACAAUCUCCUUCGAAGUAUCAGGGUUUCAUAUGGAAACUCGUCUGUUACAAAGGAAUUUCAUUUUUUUGAACUUAUUUGAACUCCAUAGUUUUUAUGUGUUCAAAACGCACCAUUCAAAGCCACAUCAUCAAUUUACAACCCUUUCUGACUUUAUUUGUUAUUUUUCAUGCAUUUACUGAUUAUUUUGAGCUAUAAGACCAUGAAAUUGAAAAGCAUUUGAAAUGAACUCUGAAAAGGUUCCAAGUUGGCAUGGUAUCAUCAUUUCAACCACAUAGCAUGUGCAAGAAAGUAUAGAGGGUUACGGCAAAAACUAGAUGCACUUCGUAUACAAAACAGACAAUCUCCUUUGAAGUAGCAGGGUUUCAUACGGAAACUCGUCUGUUACAAAGGGAUAUUAUUUUUUUGAACUUAUUUGAACUCCAUAGUUUUUCUGUGUUCAAAAUGCACCAUUCAAAGCCACAUCAUCAAUAUACAACCCUUUCUGACUUCAUUUGUUAUUUUUCAUGCAUUUACUGAUUAUUUUGAUCUAUUGUUGUGCCCUCAUUGCUUAGUACUUCUCAGUUUUUCCCCACCCAACUAAGGUCUCUCACUUUUCCCCUUCAUCAUUCGUCUGACAGUCAAAAAUGCCCAAAACGGAGCGUUUCCGUUGGGUCAAUGUAGUUGACCACCUGAUGCACAUACUAACACGUGGAGCACCCAGGACCCACCUAUCAGCAUUUGGUUUGCGUGGAGCACCCAAGACCCACCUGUCGGCAUCUGGUUUAUUAGGGAAAAACAGUUGACUGAAUGAUGCGUCGAACAUCCCAGAACAUACAUGUCAGUGUCUGAUUUAUUUGCAAACUAAAGGGUGGAAUAUAAUGCCGCCCAUGGGGGUCGAACACCAGAACAAUCGUUGACUAUGCAUAGUGCGAGCCAUUCCACUUGGUUCGUCUUUGUGCUUAUUUUUGCAGAGCCUCGGCUAUAUAACCUAAUAUUUUCUUGCGAUCGUACAUUACAAAAGGGCUCAUGAAUCAGUGACCGUGGAAAGAAAGAACGUGCAGUGUAAAACACAUCGGAUUCAAAUAUUCUGAGAUUCAGAUAAGCCUAACAAGCACGAAAUUUUAACAGGGGCGACAUAAGAUGGCUGGCCGGCGUCGACAUAGGCUACUUGUCUUGAUCGUCCAAAUGGACAAUGCUGCCAUAGUCGUCGUCGUCGUCAUUAUGGUCUUUGUCAUCAUGGGAGGAUAGGAUGACGACGUAUGGUCCCUCACCUUCCGCCUCAAGGGCGGCCGCUGCACGCAGAUUGGUGGCCCUCCUGUUCUUCAGGCUCCCAGCGCCUAGCACCCUCUAGCUACGAUGUGGACAGAGACACGACUAGCACUGCCUACUCGAGAUGCUGCUGCACCGAGCGCAGGGCUAGCUUCGCAUGGGCAGUGAGCACACCAGCAUAAUGCAGGAGCCAACACAUCUUCCUCUGCCUCAUCUUCCAUGUCAUGGACGUCGAGGUACUCCUGCAUCGCCUUGAAGGCCACCUCCUCCUCAGCGUCCUCCUCCUCAACCUCCCUAUGGUUACAAGAUAGCUCAAAUGAUGCAAGCUCAAGCUUGGACUUGUUGGAGUAGGGGCUCGAGCCCAGCGAGUUGGAGCAGGCGCCAGACUUGGAGCCUGCGUAGGAGUUGGAGGCUGCCGCUGCUCUGGAAUUGGAGCCGCCACCGCGGUGCCGGGCACCGGCGCCCUAUGGCAAUGACCUCCCUUGGACAUGUUGCAGUUUUUUUGGCUACUUACGUACAUGUUGCACCGUUUUGGAGUACUUAUAUACAUGUUGCAUCUUUUUGGACUACUUACAUAUAUGUUGCCCCUUUUUUGGUAAGUUGUGCCAGUGCAUGAUACUCUCAUUCUAUGUUAGACCUGUUAUUAGUUAUUUUUGCAUGUUGCUAUUUUUUGAUAAGUUUGUAUGUUGCACUGUUUUUGAACAUGUAAAAGCCAAUUAACAUUGGAAUUCCUAAAGGUAGCAUACACCAACUUAGUAAGAACAUUCAAACAAAAGUUAACGACAUGAUUAAGCUUACCAAAUCAUAGUACGACAACAUCAUAUUAUUUUCAGUUAACACUAGGAAUCCACAUGCCUGGUCCUCAAAACUAGCUAGAAGGGGGUUGGAGACGCUUCAGAUGACGGGUGAUGACCCACAAGUAUAGGGUAUCAAACGUUGUCCUUUCGACAAAUAAGAGUGUCGAACCCAACGAGGAGCAGAAGAAAUUACAAUCGGUUUUCAGCAAGGUAUUUUCUGCAAGCACUGAAAUUAUAUGUGACAGAUAGUUUGGUAGCAAGAUAAUUUUGUAAUGAGCAACAAGCAGAAACUGUAACUAAGGUGCACCAAGGUAGGCCAACCCUUUUUGUAGCAAAGGACAUACCGGUACAAUCUCUUAUAUCAAGUAAAGCACUCUUGAGGACACACGGGAAUUUCAUCUAGUCACUUUCAUCAUAUUUACUUGCUUCGCGUUCUUUACUUUGAUAAUUCGAUAUGUGGGGGGACCGGUGCUUCGGUGUUGUUCUUACUUGAACAAGCCUCCCACUAUGAUUACCCCCUCUCGCAAGCUUUCGUAACUACGAAAGAAGAAUUAAGAUAAAUCUAACCAUAAGAUGAAACAUAUGGAUCCAAAUUAGCCCCUUACGGAAUAACACAUAAAUUAGGGUUUAAGCUUUUAUCACUCUAUCAAACCAUCAUCUAAUUACUACUAAGGGAAUGAUGUUGAAGUGUCAUGUAGUUCAUGUUCACAUAACAAUACUAAGGGAAUCACAACAUACAUAUCAUCAAAAUAUCGAACGAAUACCAAAUUCACAUGAUUACUUAUGAGAAGACUUCUCCCAUGUCCGCAAGAAUAAAAAUAACUACUCACAAAUCAUGAUCAUGUUCAAGAUCAUAGGGGUAUUGAAUAUCAUUAAGGAUAUGAACAUAUAAGCUUACACCAAAUAAACCAACUAGCAUUAACUACAAGAUGUAAUCAACACUACUAGCAACCCACGGGUAUGAAUCUGAAGUUUUGAGACAAAUAUUGAAUACAACAGAUGAACUAGGGUUUGAGAUGAGAUGGUGCAUUUGAAGAUGUUGAUGAAGAUUGGUCCUCUCACAAUGAGAGGAUUGUUGGUAAUGACGAUUGCUUCAAUUUCCCCCUCUCGAAGGGAAGUUUUCAAGGCGGAAUCACUCCGCCAAAGAGCAUAAGUGCUCCUGCCAGAUUCCGCCUCGAGACGAUAGUGCUUCAUCUCGAAACCCUUCUUCCGAUAUUUUUCUAGGUCAAAUGGCAGCAUAUAGGAGAAGAUGGUCCCUGGAGGCUAGCAGGGGCGCUAUAACCUUGGGGGCGCUCCCUAGGGGGUAGGGCGCGCACCCUAGGCUUCUCGCUUCCUGGUGGGUCCCCUUCUAGUAUUCUUUCUCCAGCAUAUUUUAUAUAUUCCAAAAUAAAUCUCCGUCAAUUUUCAGGUUAUUUGGAGUUGUGCAGAAUAGGUAUCUUUUGAUAUAGCCCUUUCUGGUCCAGAAUUCCACCUGCCGGCAAUCUCCCUCUUUAUGUGAAACUUGCAAAAUAAGAGAGAAAAAACACAAGACUAUUAUCAUAAAGUGAAAUAACAAUCCAUAAUGCGAUAAAUAUCUAUAGGAAAACAUGAUGCAAAAUGGAAGUAUCAACGAGCCACCUGAUGGUGGGACCGUUGAGCAUUCCGCUGAAACUGAGCCAUGAUCACAUAUUACUCCUCCACUAUCGGGAUAGUGUUGCAGCUCAGCUUGGCCUCCAAGCUAAGCAGCGGUAGAUUCUUCCUGGCAUCAGCCUCCAACAACUCCUGGUCAUGCAUCUUCUGAUCCUCGCCGUCCACUGGAAUGGUCAGAUCGUGUUUACCAACGAAGGACGAGCGAUGACCUUCAUAUCCCCUGAUAGCACAACCUUUCGGCAACCUCCUCCUGGACGAUGAUCUCCAAACACCCCGGUAGUUGUCAUCUACUGCAUCCUCCACCCGCUCCUUGUCAGAAUCCUCCUCCCGCUCCUGCUCGUCGUCAGAAUCCUCUUCCUCCUCCUCCUCCUCCUCCUCCUCCUUGUCAGAAUCCUCUUCCCCCUCAUCCUCCUUAUCAGAAUCGUCUCCCUCCUCCUCCUCGUCAGAAUCAUCUUCGUCCUCCUCAUCGUCGGCAUCCUCCUAUUAAGUUUCCUCGUCGAUGAUGUCAAUAAUACGCAAAUUCACCAUUCCUUCCGGCUGUGGAUUUGGCGGGAGCGAUAAUCGUACCAGCAUGCUCGUUGUUGAGGAUCCGACGAAUCCAUUGCUUCUGCCAUUCGCCAAAGGAGAACCUCCAUUGAUAUUGUGCCCUUCUCUUUAGGAAUCAUCCGCUCCAGUUCGACUGAUGUCACUUCAAAGGUUAGCCCAGCGAGUGCAACUCGAGAGCUUUUUUGCUUGGAAACCAGGAGCAUAUUUCCUUGCACUCGGCCAACAACUCCUCGCCUCCGGCACAAAAUUCUUCCAUUUCUCUCUUCCGUCCAAGUACAACUAGCAUCUAUUAAAGACAAAAUUUGCAAAUCAAAUUAUUAAAAAAGGAAUCGAUUAUAAGGAUCGAAAUUACCACAUAACCUAAAAUGGGCUCCUAUGAACGGAUCAUAAUCUAUAUUUUAGUAAACUAGCUGCCGCUAUCACGAAUCCAAUCCUAAAAAGACUUUCAUAACGUUUGCAAGUUGGAGCAGAUCAACGAACAACAAUUCAAUCACCCAAUCGCCCGUUCAAUCGAAUGAUCCUAAUUACUAGGGUUCCUAUUAGAAACGUGCAUGUCGCCCAACUAUAUCGGAUGGUUCCUGCUAGCUGCGACGUAUCACCAUAUCGCUUCACCAUUGGAGCUAAGGCAUACGGUCGAGUAGGCGGCGGGACUGCUAGGGUAUGGCGGCACGGGACUGCUACGCGAACAACGACAUUUGGCCUCCGUCAUAAGCGGUCACAACCAUGGACCACCUACCAUACACGGCCCGCAUGUCCAAAGAACUGUGGCCCCACAUGUCAGUAACUGAGCUGUAACUAUCAACUGGUUUGACCGGCGACAAAGCUCUGUUUUGGCUCUUGUGAGAAUGAGGCGAGUGGUGGAGGGGAAAAGUGGGGAAAGUUAGAUGAUAUGGGCACAGAAAUUCGAAACCCAAUAAAAAUAUGGACAAAAAUAUGAUACUAUGUUUUUUAAUAAUUAUGUUCACAAAGACAUCUUACUCACAAUGACCAACUAUGGAGUAGUUGAGUGUAUUGAUGAUGGUGAGGUCGACAAGUGAACUAUACCAGUCUCAUGGGUGCAUGUGGUAUUGGUCGUACAGGGCUUGGGAGUAACUACCUUGUCUUACCUUUUCCCCUUGUCACAUUUUAAAAAUUCAUUAAUACCAUAUUCAGAUCUGCAUUUUGAUUGUUGAUUUAGUUUAUAUGAAGACAAGAAUUUUGGGUAAACAGCCAUACGUACAUAGCACUAAGUAAAGUAUAAACAAUAUUUCGAAAGUGGCUUGGCCACUUUGGUGCACCCCGAUCCAAUUUGGAAUAUAUGUGCGCCAUGCCGCUGCUAUUGGGACUAUGUACUAUGAUACAUAUCCAACGCUUUUUUAACCGCACCAGUGAUACAUGGAGUCAUCUGUGAGCUAUGAUAUUUUUUUCAGCCACACAUACAACAUCAAUAAUAUUGAAACACGGGAUUCCUAUUUCUAAUGAUCGCGCCAUACUUGGUCGAAUUGUAUUGUACCACCAAAUGCAAAAAAUCAAUAAUUCAAACAGUUUUCCCAAAGCACAUCUAAAUGUGCCAUAAGUAUUGCACAUCUAAAUCCUAUAUCUCAUCUAAUUCAAAAGCUAUACUAGUCACGCCCAUGUUAUUUUGGUUGGCACAUCGAGCUCGUCAAAUUGUAUGUAAGCACCGUCCAAACAUGGACCGAAUUAAUGUGCCAUAAAAUGUAGAUAUGUGUCGUAGCAUUGGAAGCAUUAAUGCGGCAACGCCAACCUCUGCUGCCAAUGUCUUCAAAAUGUGUCUUUUUCAUUCUCCGGGCUCUCUUUUCAUACACACUUCCCAACUUGUAUGCUACAAGAAAUCCACAUAGCGUACAUCAAUUUUGUAUUGUUGAAUAUACUAGUACGAGAUGUUGAAAUCUCAUAGGAGUGCCAAGAUGCAUCUUUCUAUAAUUUCGAUGCAUAAGGGUAGGAGGCAUGAGAAACAUAGCAAUAUUAAGGGAACUGCAAAUUUUUGAAAGUUAGUCUCACGACGUUGUUUCUUAGCGCUAUGUCCCUGACAUUGUGCUCCCUCCAAUCCUAACUAGUGCCUAUUUUUUUUUCAAUUUCCCCUCAAUACUCUGCGUGGUCCAGCGAUUCAGCGAUAGUUUCCUAUCAUGCCCCUGUUUUAGGUUCGCAUGCAAUGUCUCAUAAUUACUCGCAUGCAGAGAGAUAGGUUUAUGCAGGCAUGCAGGAAAUAAAAUCUGCAUGCCCAUGGAAAAAUAGUCAAGAAAAUAUCUUGUUGGCACUAAGGCAGACGAAAUGAUAAAGAACUAGAUGAUGGCCCGCGUAUUGCUGCGGGAACUCUUAGUCCUACGCAUAUAUGAUAAUACAUAGAUUGGAUUCCUAUGUUUGCAUAGUAGAUAUAUGAUCUUAAGAUAGUGAAAUGUGCAUUAUGUGAUACUUUUAUUAAAUAUAGUGGUACGACAUAAUUAAUCUGAUAUAAUUUACAUACAUACCAAUGUAUAUAUACACAUUAAGUACAGAGAUUCUAAAUUGGAGAUGACAUAAAACAUUAUAUACAAAUUGUCAUUUUGAGAUACUUACUAUGUAUUGUCUGGUGACUCCUGUUGUAAAUCAAUCUUCUGCAUUUUACUAUGUAGUAUACCAAGUAGGUAUUAAAGAAGUUUAUAGCAGGAAGCAUUAAGACAAUCUGCCAGAGCACAAUCAACCAAAUUUAAAAAAGUUGAGUGGGAAUAACACUACCUGAGAAAUCAAAUGCAUAAUAGAGAAAACACAUUUUUCUUUACGGAGCAGAGGAAACUAAAUACGCAUUUACGCUCCUGGUUUCAAUCCAGGGCUUCAAAGCUUGUGUGGAGUCAUCUAGCACCUCCCUACAAAGAAGCAUGAGUAUUAAAUUAGAUAAGACAAUUUGAUAACAAUACAGAAGAACAAACAGUGACCAUGCAUCGUUGGGAUAGCAAAUAAUACGGAUACUCAUUCAAAUAUGUGUGUCAAAAAACAAUCGGCAAACCAUGUAGGAACAACCUGACAUGAAUCAACUGGCAUGAGAGUGGGAGAUACAUAAGGAACUCCACCUGUAUGAGCCGACACACAGGUCCAUGAAGAAAUAUUAACAGCCCCGUGUGGUAAUUUUGAUAGAUAUAAUUAGGUAUUAAGGUAAGGGAUUAGUUACCGGCUCAUGGGCGUCAUCAGCACCAUCGAAGGGAAGGUGCUCCCGAACGACACCAAAAUGCGUGUCGGCGCAUGGUGAAUUACGUGCCCUUCUCCACGGGGGCGGAUUGAGUACAAUUGGGGAUCCGAUACUGCUAUCUUCCUGCAAGCGGUGGAUCGGCGAUAACCGGACGUUAUGCAACGUGUUGCCGUUCAAGUUCAUGGCGUUCCGGCUCUGACUAUGCAAGGACUCGGUGUACCUGUAGAUGAAGAUGUCGUUGGCCAUUCUGUGCAGGUUCUUUAGGUUAGUUGAUGACCACCUUCUCCAUGGCACACGACCUGAAGUUUCACAUCUCCAGGAUGCAUUUGUUUGGUGUAGAAGAUGGAGAUAAUCUGUCGUAGAAGAUAAAGAAAGUCAUGGAAAAUCAGUUGGUAGGGGAAUUAAUUGGGGUGAUGAAGGAGAUUUUCUGCCAUAUNNNNNNNNNNNNNNNNNNNNNNNNNNNNNNNNNNNNNNNNNNNNNNNNNNNNNNNNNNNNNNNNNNNNNNNNNNNNNNNNNNNNNNNNNNNNNNNNNNNNNNNNNNNNNNNNNNNNNNNNNNNNNNNNNNNNNNNNNNNNNNNNNNNNNNNNNNNNNNNNNNNNNNNNNNNNNNNNNNNNNNNNNNNNNNNNNNNNNNNNNNNNNNNNNNNNNNNNNNNNNNNNNNNNNNNNNNNNNNNNNNNNNNNNNNNNNNNNNNNNNNNNNNNNNNNNNNNNNNNNNNNNNNNNNNNNNNNNNNNNNNNNNNNNNNNNNNNNNNNNNNNNNNNNNNNNNNNNNNNNNNNNNNNNNNNNNNNNNNNNNNNNNNNNNNNNNNNNNNNNNNNNNNNNNNAACUGAAACCACAAAAAUAAGUGAUAACAUAGAUGCAACAUAUAUAUACCUUUUUAGAUUUUCAGUAAAAAAUGACAUGAAAUAAAAAAAACGUGUAACUGAUAGUAGUACUAUAGGAGGUGAAUAAACCUCUCAAGUACGACAUGAAAUAACUUGUUGCUACCCACACGUUGUGUUUUCUUAUUUAUACAUCAUAUCAGGUGCUUUCUUUACAAAGUGAUCCCGUGGAUCAAGCAACUCAAAACACACACAUGUUCAUCUAUAAUUUCCAGGCGUUCUUUAUACGAACCUCUUGAAACAGGGCUUAUUGCUAACGAUUCGAUGAUCCCUAUAGGGUGCGGUUAGCGAGAGUUCAUUACUGAGGACAGACAGACUGGCAAAACAACAGUAGCCACAGAUACAUUUCUCAGGAAAAAAGGGAAGGAUGUAAGAAAAACGAGAGCGAGCCUUCACGAAAGAAAAUGCAAGUGAAAGAGAAUUGUAAAAAUGUCCUAAAAGUGGUGGUUGUUUUCUUUAUGGAUCGGGUAGAUCCAUAUUUUCUGAGGGGGAGACGCUACCACUACUACAACCACUAUCACUAUCACUACCACUACCAUCACCACCACUACUACUCCUACUACUAUCAAUGGCACGCUUUGGGGUUGGUAAGAAUAUGGUCAUUAUUGUAGUUUGUCGAUAGUGGACUUGAAUGCUUUGCACUUUCAUUUUUUGCUCGCUUCGNNNNNNNNNNNNNNNNNNNNNNNNNNNNNNNNNNNNNNNNNNNNNNNNNNNNNNNNNNNNNNNNNNNNNNNNNNNNNNNNNNNNNNNNNNNNNNNNNNNNNNNNNNNNNAAUGGCACGCUUUGGGGUUGGUAAGAAUAUGGUCAUUAUUGUAGUUUGUCGAUAGUGGACUUGAAUGCUUUGCACUUUCUUUUUUUGCUCGCUUCAGCAUAACUUGGGUCUUUUAUGACUUCUUUAUUGGCCGGCAAAUUUGUGUGUGUGUGUGUGUGUGUGUGUGUGUGUGUGUGUGUGUGUGUGUGGGCGCGCACGCCUUCAUCUUGGCUGUGUUCAUUCUAUCUGUGGAGCUCAUUGUGUUUGUAUUAUCUUGAUGCUUCAUUUUGAGUCAUUAAAUUCAGUCUUCGUCGGAGAAAAACCAAGGUGAGGGACAUGAUCGACAUAAAUUACUUGUCUAUCAUAUAUUACUUCCACAAUUUUUCCAGUUGCAAUGCCCAGUUACCUUACCAGUGUCUGCUGACAAAUGGCUAAAAAUAGCAGUUUUACUACCAGCAUGACUCAAAUAUAAUGCUCAUCCCCUCUCUCAUAAUUUAAACCCAUAAGAGAUCCUCUGCAUUCACUUUAUUUCCGUCGUAUCUCACGGUAGUUAUGUGGAAUAAAAUAUCAGGAGAAAUGAUUAUAAGUAUAAACCAUAUACUGGAAAUGUACAUGGUAAAACAUACAAUAAAAUCUCGGUUCUACACAAAUGGCUAAAAAUAGCAGUUUUACUACACAAAUUAAACUUCUCCGCUCUCUCAUUUCACACACACCUCCUACCUUGUACUGCUACAAGGAAUUAAAACCCAACAUCUUUGGGCAAAGUUAAAAAAACCAACUUACAUCGACUUUCUAGUCUUCAACAUACCUGCACGGGAUUUUGAAAUGAGAUAGGAGUACCAGGAUGCAUCUUCCUAUAUAUUCAAAGCGUAAGAGUAGGAGCCAUGGGGAACUUAGCAAUAUCUACGACACCCCAAAUUUGUGCAACGGAGACUCGCGAAACAGUUUUUGACAGCUACGCCCUUAUCCUAUAAAGCUCACCUUUUUCCUUGGCCUGAGAACCACGUAUGUGAUGGAGAUGCGAUGGUAAUAAGGCGGACCAAAUGAUAAAUCAUACAUUUUGCAAGACAAUGGCGCGUGCCUAUGAAGAGAAUAGAAACCCAACAUCUUGUCGUGCCCCGCCGUAAGUUUUCGCACCGAGGCCUUCUCUGGAAAAAUAUGUUAGACCAGUUUUUUUAGUAAAUUUACAUAUUUCUAUUUGUACUUGAAUCGAAAUAUAUGUUCAUAUUUUCUGCCAAAGCUAAAAUUAUAUCAAAACUUACAUACCGAUCUGUAUUCGGAAAAUUCUAAAAUUUUAGAACUUUUAGCACUAAGAUAAUUUCUGAGAUACACAUUUUCGGCCACAUUUUUACUAAAAUCACUUGAAUAAAAUUAGAUUUAUCUAUUUGAACUUCAAUAAACAUAUGGAGUUCAUAUUUGCUACCGAAGUUGGAUAGUUAUCUAAAUUCGGAUAUCAAACUGUAUUUGUAAAAUUCUACUGCCUCUGAUCCAAAACAAGUGUCGCAGCUUUAAAUUAAGGUUAGUUAAACCUUAGCUCAAAGAUGGGACACUUAUUAUGGGUCGGAGGGAGUACAGUUUUUGAUGGAAAAAGACUGAAAUUAUGUGGUUGUGUGAUAUUGGCAAGCAGCUGACGAUCAACUAUCCACUUUCAAUGUGACACAACAUAACUUUCUUGUUAUUUUUUAUACCAUAAGCAUUUAGUCCACGUACUCCAAGCUGAAGGCUAUCACUAAAUUUUACUAAAACUGCACAAGUAAUUGAUAACAUAGACUUACAAUGACAUCAAUUUUGUAAUAUUCAAACAGUGUCUGAUUAAAGUUUUUAAUAUUCAAUCUAAAAUGCCUGAAACAAUAAGAAAAAUCUGUGCAAUUUAUAGUUGCAAUGCAGGCAGUGAACAAAUCUCUCAAUCAGGAAAUGAAAAUAAAUUGUUUAUUGCCGCAAGUUAUGUUUGCUUAUUUUGGUCACAUUACAUUAUUUCUUUCCUGAACUGAUCUUGCGAUUCUGUCAAGUCAAAAACACAAAAACAACAUAUUGUAGUUAAAGGCUUUACCAACCAUCAUCGUGGGGAAAGUCAUCGUCAAAACUGUUUUUCAUAAACUAAAUAAGCAUCAUCUUUUUUUCCCUGAAAAGUUACCCAUGAUUGUCUUUUUUUUCAUGUGGAUGAGGAUACAACAUAGAAAAAGAAAAUUGAUCAUCCCACGGUUACUUAAGCCAUUCCGGAUCGAGCUAUGUUGAGAUGAAAAAGGUUGAACUUCGGUAUAAAUGCUUAUAUGUAAAUAUAUUUCAGGUAUAGUAUAUUCUUGGAAAAAUUCAAGCACCUGACUCAAAUUAGCAUGGAGAGAAUAUGUCCAUCCGUGCGCCUUCUGUAAAUAAGGAGAAAAUUCUAUUAUUCCCAUGGUCCACCUAUAGCGAAAAGUAGAUAUUAACUUUCUAUUUGUGCAAGUAUUUAGUGCCGCAGUCCACUCAGCUUUCUUAUGUCGUACCCUGUCAGAACGCCGGUUUAUUACUGUGAUUGGAUCCAUAAUUACAAGUUCAUACUCUCCGAUCAAUUUAUAACAAACAUGAAGUAUAUUGUACGUACUAUCACAACCAAGAGUAUUCCAAUUUUUUGCCCUACAAGCUAACAACCAGUGUCUAAUUAAUUGACAUCUCGCUGGAUGAUCUUUCAUGUACACUGUUUGAAAUUUACCUUAAUCUGUCUAGAAGUAUAUUUCAGUGUAUUGGAUGAUGGUGAUUUAAGCAGUUCUAAGUAUAUUCUGAUUUCUUAUAAUUAAGCCAGUAGGAGUUUUUGUUGGUGGUUGCAUUCACUAGAAUUCUGUGUGUUUUGUUGAGGAACCAAAGUGAGUGAAAUGCCAUAGUUCCAUUCCUAGUAAAUUGUUGGGUUCAUUCCUACGUCUUGCUUGGAGCAACAAACUGGAAUGGAAUGCUUUCCCAGUCUUGCAUAUAUCAAAAGUGCUGAAUAACAUGCGCACGCAAGUAGAGCUGAUCAGCUGAGUAUACAAUCCAUAUAUCAAAAGUACACAUGGUACGAAGUACAGCAAACUCGGGGAGUGGAAGAACAACCAAACAUCGAUACAACAGUGUGGCCGGCCAUGCAGAGCUGCUUGGACGUACGUACUCCUCUCUCUCUCACGCAGUGAGAUAAUAUGAGAGCAUUUAUUCAUAUAUAUAUGUGGGUGUGCGUGUGUGUGACCUCAACGUACUAAGCGUAGAUCCAGCAACGAUGGCGUAGGGGACGAUGGCAACAGCGAUGGCAGCAAGUGCUCGAUCAGCGAAUCUUAGAGCAGUCGACCGAAGAGCUGAUGGCGUAAGGGACGCUAACGCCGCACUUUGUGGGGAUGCCGGCGGCCUUGCCAGCGUUGAGCCCAGCAGCAGCGCUCUUGAUGCACUUGCACGCCGCUUGCUUGUCAGCGGUGCUCCGGGCUGAGCUGGCUAGACUCCUAACGCCGCUGCAGCAGGCCGCAGAUGGGCUGGCGCCGUUGCCGCGUGCAUAGGAGAUGCAGGGGCUCAAGGCAGAGCUCACCUGACCGCACGAUACAGCCGCCUCCGUGACUGCGAGGAGCAUAGCAGCCACCACGGCGACGAGCACGACCUGAGCAAGAGCAGAACGGGCCAUCUCGAUCAAGCUAGCAAUAGUAGUGGUAGUGAGCUCAGGCAGAGAUGAUGAGAUAGCUAGAUUUGCUAA